UUGUUUUUGGCACUCGCCAUGUUUGUGAUGAUGCUGGCCAUGGGCGUGGACGUGGGAGGAAUCGCAAAGGCUGCUGCCCAGCGCUGCCAGUCGGGGUGGUAUUGGUAUGACAACGGUUGCCACCGUUGCCAGAGGGGUUGGAGCUGGCGCAACUGAAACCUCCAGUUUCACGGGGUAAGAAAUUUGCCUUUGAUGUCAUCAUUCUGCAGUGCCAAGCUCAAUCAAGACACUGAUGACGUGUUUUCUGUAUCGUGGGAUGCUGCAUGGCAUUGCAUGAGUUCCAGCAAUAAAAUAUAAAUUGUCCAAGCCUUGAUAUAAAAUGUCUGCAUCUGUCCUUGGUCCCUCUCCUCUCUUCUCCAAAUCCCUGACUUCCAAUCGAUUGCUCCAAUGAUCGGCAAGCAAUAAGACUCGAUUGGAGCAUCAAACCAGGCCCAGGCACACCUAGCGGUGGGAGUGAAGGUCGGGGGGAGCUGCGGAGGAUGGUAGUGGGAUGGAUUUCGCUGCGUGCAAUGCAAUUAGUACGGGUGUGACAACAGCUGCCAUCGAGGGUGGCGCUGGAAUGGCAGCCGCUGCUUCCGCUGAAGAAUUGCCAAAGCUCGGGCCUCAAAGAACCAGGAACGAAUCUCGAAUCAUGAAAAGUGAUAUAUAUAUAGAAUAAGAGUAUGUUUUGGAGUCUAUUCACGUGUUUGGUGCCAUGAGACUGUCAAUGAUAAAAUGGUGCGUUUUCUGCAAAGUUGUUGCUGCAGUGUAACGUUAGGAACUUUUUCAUAUAAUCUGGACUCAAAUUUAUAUAAACUGUGAAAAAACUAAAAAUGUUGUCUUUACUGAUCUGGAAUCACAGCUUCACUUCGUGUGUUGUUCUAUGUCCCAGCAUUACAGAAAAGAAAAGGAAUUGACAAACAUGGAACGACUUCCUCAGCUAACUUUUAAAGGACAAAAAGAUGCCGUCCCAAGAGGCUAGCAUUGUAUGCUGCCUCGAGCUAUAAAUACGAGCGGCCUUACAGAUCAAAUCACUUCUCUCGAAUAUACUAUACCACGAGGGCAUCGGUGGCAAGGAGCGCCUUUGCAACAUGGUGAGAACCGAAACAACACCAAGCAAGCCUAUGAAACUAUGGCGGCUCUGUGAUCGUAAGUUUCCUCUCAGGGAUUGUUUUGCAACGUUUGGCUUGUUCUUUGAAAGCGCAUUUAAAUAGGAGCGAUAUGAAGAAAAAGUGGCAUUGAAAAAUCCAGGAAAACACCCGUACUACCACGCAGACGUACUGAUUCAAGCCUCUAGAACACAGCAGUCAGUGCUGCCCGGUCCUGCUGGUCGGGCAGUAGUUCCCCCGGCUCACCACGGGUGGCCGAUCUAGAGCAGCGCGCAUUGUCGCUCGACGACGACUACGCGCAACUUCUCACAGCUUGCAUCGAAUUGCGUCAAGGCGCCACGCGCUCAUCCUUGGGAGCACCCACCACUAAUCCAGCAGGUACCUCGCAAAUCUUCUCAUCCAACUCUAUGGAAGGUGCUAGCGCGCGGAUCGAGCAUUGGCAGGUGUUUAUCAGCAUCCACGAGCCCAACAGAUUCUCCUGGAACGUGCUGCUUGGCGCUUAUGCCCAAAGUGGGUAUCUUGGGGAAGCAAAAGAGCCGUUUGAUCAGAUGCCACAAAGGGAUGUUUCUGCAUGGAUGAUUUUUAUGACGGCUUGUGAAAACAGUGGAAACUUGGAGGAAUGUCGAGCAUUGUUUGAUCAGUUUCAGAAUGGGAUGUAGUUUUCUGGAACUCUCUACUUACAGUAUAUGCCCAUAACGGGCAUAUGGAUCAAGGGUCUUUGAUGGAAUGAUAGAACACAACAUAGUUUCUUGGGCUGUUAUGGUUACUGGGUAUGCAAGAAAAGGUCUUGUUAACGACGCGCUACGUUUUUUUUAUGAGAAUCCCCGAAACCAACGAGCUGGGAUGAACUGUUCUUGUCCCUGCAUAUCCCCAGCUUGAGCAUAAUGAAAAAGCCAAGGAGCUUUUCAGUAAAAUGUGCCACAGAAGAACGUUGCAUCGUGGUCGACAAUAUCACAGCACUGGCCGAGAGAAACCAGCUCGAAGAAGCUCGUAUUCUCUUGGAUCGACCUGAGGACUUACAUGAUCUUGGCCUACUCCAACCACGGCCACCUCAAAGAAGCCAUGAAGAUGUUUGCACGGAUGCCACAGCGCGAUCUCGUCGCUUAGUCGGCAAUGGUGGCGGCAAUUGCUUUGCACAGGAGCUUGUUCGACCAAAUGCCACAGCACGAUAGCGUCGUACAUCCAGAGCAAUUGCCCUCGUCCAAGCGCGGGAGCCCAUGCUGGUGAGAGUCACAGCGAUCUGGAUUGCCGCGAGCACUCAAAGGGGGAAUCUCUUGCAGCCCGGGAAGAUCUUUUCCACGUUGCCUGAUCGGCACAUUGUCCCGUGGAACGCGAUGAUCCAUGGCUGCGCACAGAAUGGCCAUGAGCGAAAGCCACUGAGUUUUUGGCAGCAUGGCGAUGGAGGGCGAGGCGAGAAACGAGAUAAGUUUCCAGGCGAUUCUCCUGGCUUGCAAUCACGGUGGGAAGCUCCGUGUGGCACUCGACUACUUUCGAUCUAUGGUGGCCGAGUACAGCAUUUCUCCAUGUGAUUCACUUCCAGGCGAUGGCAGAUGUGCUGGGACGAGCCGGGCUGGUUGCCGAGGCCGAAGGUCUGCUGCUGGCAAUGCCCUUCUAGCCGCAUUUCCUCGCGUGACAAUUUGUAAAUAAUAAUUUAUUGAUUCUUGAUACAAUUUUUGGAACUAAUCGUUAUAAAUUAAAGUUUUUAUUUAUUCUAAUCACUAUAAAGUAAAGUUUUCAUUUAGUUUAAAGUGAAUAAUCUUUGAUAAUUUACAAUUUCCAUUAUACACUUUUAUUAUGCUCUUUUUUGGGCAGAGAGCUCGGUGGUGGAUGUCCAGCUCCAUGAUGCUCGGGAGACCUGGUGCUCCAUGAUGCUCAAGAGAGCUCGGGCUGACCCCCAAAUUCGCGAGCUCCUGAGGCCACCAAGGCGGCCUUCCCAUUGGUGCUCUGCAUCCGGAAACGAUCCACUCUUUCGUGCUGCUAAUCCAGUGCAUGGCCAGCAGGGAAGCCAGGGAAACGUCAUGAUGGAGGAUCCUCUUGUCGUCUUUCCUGCAAAUGAAGUUGACGAGCAGCCAAGGCUGUUUUCAGCCACUCGUCCUGAUCCGGAGGAUGAUCCACUCUUCUCGACUGGUGGCUACUCUCAUCAUCCAGCAGGCGAGAAAAUGGCUGCAAACGAGCUCCCAGUGCGCCUAUCAUCUCGACACGACUGGGUUCCAGAGCAGUUUCAUGGACAGGAACAAGGACGAAAGGUGGAAGAUCGUUCUGGCACCGUGUUCGAUCCUGGAGAUGUCGCAGCACUGGCAAAGAAGCGGGCUGAGAUGGAAAAACAAAUGCAGAAGUUCAUCAUGAUGGACCCCUGCAUCCGGCCUUUUUCCCACAGGUUAGUAGUCUCUGCACUUGAGCCAGGAAGUGCGAUGUGGAGAACAGCCCCGAGAUCACGAGCGACGAGAAGCUUCUUUGGAAGUUGACAGCCAAUGAUCCCAAGUGGGUCAAGAGUAAUUUGGAGGUGGAGCCAUCUGCUCCGGGGCAUGCUUCUUUGACAAGUGAGUUCUUCCACCUUUGAGAGAGACAGGGAACUUGAUGAGGUAUGUUUCUUUGAAGCCAAUUUGUAUAGAUGCUACUCCUUGAUUGUAGGCAUUGUGAGAGACAAAACAUAAGAACAAGUGAAAAACAAAUAGAAUUGAGAGUGAAAUCUAGCUUUCUCUUUAGUCCUUAGGGUCCUCUUACCUUAAAUGCUUUUCAUACUCCACCACCCAUAAACAAAGUUUGAUGUCCUCAUCGAACGCUAAACCAUUUUAUAAAGUAAUAUUAGCAUGUAUUACUCUUUCCAUAUUUGGCACAUAACUAAUAUUCGUCAAUAGUUUAACACUAAAGGCUCACCAUGCCUUGUCCAUUCUUUAAGGAGCAUAAUGUAAACAACUAAAGGGAACGACUCAAGAGACGAUCCAUAGGGUUCAAAUAUAGAGGGAAAAGGCUCAUGAAUAAAAGUGCACCCUCUUUUCCAAUCGGUUAAAGGUGUUGAGAUAUUUGGGGUUAAGUGUCCUUAGGUUUGAAUAGUACUGGGUUAGGAAGUCCAAAUUUAGGAGCUUAUAUUUAGUAUCAGAGAGGUCUCAGGUCCAUGGGAUUCAAAUAUAGAGGGAAAGGGCCCAUGAAUAAAAGUGCACCCCUUUUUUCAAUUGGUUAAGGGUGUUGGGAUAUUUGGGGUUAAGCAUCCUUGGGUUUGAAUAGUACUGAGCUGGGUGACAUCCCGGAAAGUUUAAAUUCCAGAGCUUACACAUAAUCUCUCUAACAUAGAGACUCAUUUGACCACUUGUGGUGGUUCUUUCCUUUUAUUAGUUUAAUUCUUGUUAAACCUCUUAAAAACACCUUCUUUAUCUCAAUCCCACUAUUCAUUCUCUAAUAUUCUUAAUUUUUAUCGAUAUAACUUUUGCACUUUGGAACUUUUAAUUUUGACUUUUUGAAGUCGAUUUCCUAAGUGUCUCUAACACCUUGCAUUGCACAUAUUGUGCAACUCCACUUCCCCAUCCUUGGAAGUUCUCUAUUUAAGGGCAUCAUCAUUUUCUUUUCUAUUUUGUGUCACAUUUGGCACUAAGUUCCAAUUAUCAUAAUUCGUGUUAAGGCUAUCCACAGCCCUACCAUUUGACUACCUUAUUGCUUAUUCCUUUGGAGCUUUCACUUUCACCAAAUCGGAGCAAUUGAGAAUCCAUCCUUGGAAAUAUAUUGCCUUUCCUACAAUCCAUUAGCAUCCAACAUCUUGGUGUUUCUGGUCUAACUUUGCCAUUUAGAUUCCUUUUCAUAAUUCCCAUGGUUGUUUUCUUAAUCACUAGUCUUUGCUUCUAUCCUUUGAUUGUUGCACCUAGCAAUAUAAGAUUGCUACCUCCAUUCUUGAGGUAUUCUUUUGGUUCCAUAGUAAAGAUUUUUUUUUGCCAAGUCCAGAGGGUGUUCACCCCUAGUAUGUCUUUUUAGCAUUUUCUGCUGUGGGCUCUAUCCAUAGCCCAACUUUGUGACCCUCCCAUAAGUUUUUUUAUAAAGAUUACUUUCUCCAGACUCACUAUGCCAUCGCUUUGACAUAACUUUUUUCCUUUAGGUGUUUUUCCCAUUUGAUCACUUUGACCAAGCCACACCAUCAUCAAUAGUUCAAACCAACACUUUGAACUAAGAAUGUUAUUCCUCAACUUCACAAGGACCUUGUCUUUACUUAGUCAUAAGAUCACUUAAUGAUCUACCCUUGACACCAUAACUGGUUUGCCAAUAAGUAUUAGGCCUUCUAGAUCUUUAAGUUGUUGACCAUGAACCCAGGACACUUGGUAAUGUACCCAAGUUAGCCCUUCUAGCCAAGGGUCCAUAGCAACUAAAAUUGGGUGUCCCCAUCUCAUUCACCACGUCAUUGAUGCCAUUUAUACCAAAGUGUUCAAAUUAAAUAUGCCGAGCUUUCACACUAAGCUGUCAAGACCCCCAACAAGAUCAAGGCUGGAAAAUGCUAAAGACAAAGAGAAAAAGCUAGUGAAAACAAAGAAGAGGCCUUAGACUAGCGUUGAUUCAGAUUGUGGAGAAAUGGAACAAGGCUAACCUAUAUAUACUAUAGGUUGAUGAAGCUCCACCACUCUUGGAUCGAGGACGGCCUAAAUAUAGUUGAGGUCGAGGAGGCGCCACAUCAAUAUUAGGAAUGUGGCUCGAGACUCAGGAAUCGGGAAGUGUUUUGAGAGUUAGGAAUAGGGAAGUGUCUCAAGAGUCAGGAAUAGGGAAGUGUCUCGAGAAUCAGGAAUGUGGUCUGCAGGUCAGGAAUCCGGCGAGAGUCAGGAAUAUGGCAAGAAUUGGGGGAUUCCUAACAGCACCCCCUCCUCAAGAACGAGUGGAACGAGAAUGUGAAUGAGAACGACGAGGAGGAUGAGAUGAGCGGCGAGGGAUGGGAGAUGGAGAAAACGAAUGAGGACUGGGACGACUAGGAUAGCGGCGGUGGAAGUCCUGAACAAGGUCAGGAGAAUGAAUCAGGUUGUCCGCAGGUUCCCAAGUGUGUUCUUCAGGCUCGUAACCCUUCCAGUCGACCAGAUAGUAGAGUUUAGACCGUGAAAUCUUGGAAUCAAGGAUGUCCUGAACCUCGUACUCAGACCCAUCCUCGAGCUGCACUGGUGGAGGUGGAGGAAUGACCCGAUUGGGAAUAGGACUGGGAAUAUAAGGCUCAAGGAGAGAGGAAUGAAAAACGGGGUGAAUUUGAUAUGAGGAGGGAAGUGCAAGGCGAUAAGUGACAGGAUUAAUGAUGGCAGUGAUAGGGAAAGGAUCGAGGCGUUUGAAAUCAAGUUUUGGACAGGGCCUGGUGGUGGAGAUAUUUUGCCUGAGGAGCCAAACUUUAUCCCCGAUAUUGUAAGGGGGACAAUCCUGACGAUGGACAUUGGCAAAUGUUUUGUGAGAUUCCUGAGCACGAUGGAGGUGGAAGGAGAUGGAGUUGUGGAUUUCUUGGAGGUUGGAGACAAAUGCCUCAGAGCGGGGAUUUGAAUGAGAGGAUUCGGAUGGAGAAGGAAGUGAGAGAUUGAAUCGGGGAUUUCAGCCAAAGUUUGCAAAGAAGGGGGAAAUUCGAAGAGAGGAGUGGAUAAAGUUGUUAUAAGAGAACUCAGCAAGGGGAAGGAUAUCGAACCAGUUAUCCUGAUGAUAGUUGAUGAAGCACCUCAAGAAUUGUUCCAACGUCUGAAUCGUUCGCUCGGACUGCCCAUCAGUUUGAGGAUGAUACGCCGAAGAGAGGUUGGCCUUCACUCCAAGCAGCUGCAAAAACCGUUGCCAGAAAUGAGAGAUGAACUGAGGCCCCCGAUCCGAAACCACAUCUGUAGGAAUCCCAUGAAGUCGGAAAAUUUCCCUGAAUACCAGUUUUGCCAUGUCCUCGCCCGAAAACUCCUUGGUACAUGGCAAGAAGUGCGCCAUCUUUGUGAAGCGAUCCACCACGACUAAAAUGCUGUUGAAGCCUCCAGAACUCGGAAGAUCACUCAAAAAAUCCAUGGAGAUGGAUUCCCAAGGACCUGAAGGGACCGGAAGGGAACGAAGCAAACCUGAAGGAAGGUGGCGAGGUACCUUAUUCCGGGCGCAAGUGUCACAAAAGGUGACAAAAGCUUUGAUGUAGUCGUCCAUGUGAGGCCACCAAAAGUCCCGUGCAACUAGCUCAUAGGUUUUCGCAAUGCCAAAGUGACCAGCAGUCGGGCUAUCGUGGCACGCCAUUAGGACCAACCUUCGAGCAUCACCUUCAGGAACGUAAAGCUGCUCCCCACGGUAUAAUAAGCCAUCUAAGAACUCGAACUCGUCAAAUCAUCGGCAGUCGGGAGUCACAGGGUGUCCAGCCUGAAGAUGGGGGAAAAUGUCGAUGGCGAGAUCAUCGGAUUGAAGAUUGUUUCUGAUGGCAUCCAUCAAGGAGGAGUUCUGAGGGGCCAGGGAAAUUGCCAUAACUUGAAGCCGAUUAGGACCGAGGAUAAUUUGAUCCUGUUGAUCGAAGGCAGGAUUACCAGGCCUGAGACUGAGAUAGGAGCGCCUUGAAAGAGCAUCAGGAAGGCCUUGAAGCUUUCCAGGUCUAUACUUGAUAACAAAGUCAAACCGACUCAAGAAUUGUGCCCACCUUGCUUGACGACGGCUUAAAACUCGAGAAGUGGCAAAGUACUCGAGAUUUUUGUGAUCCAUCCAGACUGUUGUUUGAUGGCCCGCCCCCUCCAAGAAACGGCCCCACUCUCCAAAGGAAUCCACGAUGGCAAGGAGCUCUUUGUCGUGGAUUUCGUAAUUGAUCUCCGCAAGCUGGAAUUUCCGAGAAUGGAAAGCGACCGGAUGAAGUUCUUGAUCCGCUCCGAGUUGAGACAGCACAGCACCGAUGGCAAAGUCGGAGGCGUCAGCCUCGAUGAAGAAAGGUUGUGAGGAAUUAGCAUGGAUCAAAACAGGAGCAGAAUUGAAGGCUGCCUUGAGUGUGUCGAAGGCGUGCUGGGCAGCAGUAGACCAAGAGAAGGGGACAUCCUUGCGAGUGAGAUGCGUGAGAGGAAGGACAAUGUCAGAGUAGUGAUCAAUGAAUUUGCGGUAGAAGUUGGCGAAGCCAAGGAAAACCUGAACGUCCGACAUUGAUUGUGGAGGCUCCCACUCGAGAAUAGUCUUGACUUUGGCAGGAUCCAUCGUGAUACCCUCAGGAGUGACAAUGUACCCAAGGAACUCCACAGACUGCUGAUCGAAGGAACAUUUCUCAAGCUUCGCGUAUAGGCCGUGUUCUCGCAGCUUUGCCAGCACCUUGCGUACAUGUUCGUUGUGCUCCUCCUGAGUUCUUGAGUAGAUGAGGAUGUCAUCGAGGUAGACGAUCACCAUCUGAUCAAGAAACUCCCGAAAGACGUCGUUCGCCAUGUGUUGGAAAACUGCUGGAGCAUUUGUCAAGCCAAAUGGCAUGACAGUGUACUCGAAGUGGCCAUAGCGGGUUCGGAACGCAGUCUUCCAUUCAUCACCAGGCCGGAUCCGGAUCAGGUUGUAUGCGCCACGGAGGUCAAUCUUGGUGAAGAAGCGGGCACCGCCGAGGCGUUCCAACAGGUCCGAGAUCAGGGGCAGCGGAUAACGGUUCCAAACAGUCACCUUGUUCAAACCUCGGUAAUCGAUGACUAGCCGCAAACUCCCAUCCUUCUUCUUGACAAAGAAGGCAAGCGCUCCAGCCGGGGACUGCGAAUGCCGAAUGAACCCUGAGGCAAGGUUCUCAUCCACGUACUCUUUGAGGGCCUUAAGCUCGGACGGGGAUAACCCGUAGAUAGGCCCCUAGGGAGGCGACGCUCCUUCCUGUAAAUCAAUGGGACAGUCAUAAGGCCGAUGAGUAGGCAGAACACUAGCUUUUUUCUUGUCAAACACAUCCCCAAAAUCAUGAUACUUCUCAAGAAGAUUGACAGGAAAAACAUGCAAAACAAAAAGGAAAAUAGGUUCUUCAUGAAGGAGUUCUUGCAUAGUGAUUGUGGAGAUAGGAGGACAUGUACGCCUAAAUGGAAUGAUGAGACGAGGAUACUAUCCAGUGUAAGAUGGAAAAGAGGAAAAAGAAGAGGGUGAAAACUUCGUAGAAUCAGGAACAGAACCCCGAUUUGAGUUUAGGAACUUUUCCUGAUUCGGACUCGAUGAACAGCAGGGGAAGCCGUGGGAGAUGGUGAUAUGGGAGAGAUGAGCUGUAAGUCCUUCCAACAAAUUUGAGGCUGAUGUAGUUGGAACCAAGGAAGACCGAGCACCACAGAGGAGGACUUGCUGUUGAUGAUAUUGAAGGCAAUAUCGGUGACGGUGGACCCAAUGUGUACUCGAACGGGCAACGUUUCCCUAAUUCCAGAAGAUGGAGACACAAAAUGCCCGCCAAUGCCUUCAACCCUCAGAUCCCGUAUGGUAGGAGAAAGAGGAACGUGAUGUCGGGCAGCAAAGUCCGUGUCCAUGAAGCAGGAAGUUGCACCCGAGUCCAGUAGCGCCUAAGCCUUGAGUCCUGAUUGUCUAGUGAAAGAAAGGAGACAUGGGACGCAGAAGUUGCGGGAAUUGGUGGUGGCUUUGAUAAAAGGUGGUGAGGAGCUUGAUAAGGAAGAAAAGUGAUUUUUAUUCAGGGAGUCCAAACAGACAACUCCUACUCUGUUUGGACAGGGUCGUUUCCCGACUGCAACAGAGGUGGACUUUGAGGCAGAGUGAACUCAAGCAAUUGGGGAGGCUUCUUGGGACACACAGUUGCUUUGUGAUUAGGAUCAGCACAAUAGAGGCAAAGAUUAUGAGAUAUUCGACGUUGCUUCUCAAUAGGACUCAAAUUCCCUUUAAUGAGUCGGGGAGUACCAGAAAUAUCCAUCGGGACCGGAGCAAUAGGUUCAGGACUAUGCCCCGAAGACUCAAGCUGGGAUUCCUGAGUCUGGGACGGAAAAACAGCGGCGCGGUGACUUUCCUGACGACGUUCAAAGAGACGAUUGUCAUAUUGAACAGCUUUGUUGAUGGCGUCUGACAGGUCCUUGGGAUCCUCCAUGGUGAGCAACAAAUCCUUGACACCGUUGUUGAGGCCAAAACGAAAUUGGUCAAUCAGGGCCCGCUCAUCCCACUGAGUGUCCAAGGCAAGGAGUUGGAACUCUGCAGCGUAGAUCGAGGCAAGACGAGACCCCUAAGAGAGACGUCUCAUCUUUGUGGUAGCAGCCCAAACCCGAUCCGUCUCGCCAAAACAUGCUUCGAGCUUCUCUUUGAACAAUUGAAGAUCCAUUAGCUCCGGAACCACGAACCCUUUCAUGCUCUUCUCCAGAAGAGGAGAAAACCAUGACAAAGCUGCACCCUCGAGCAACGUCCCAAUCGCGCCGAUUUGAGACUCAGGAGUGGGGUACCGCCGAUGUUGAAGUGCAAAGAUCAGCUUCAUUUGGUUCAAAAAUCCACGAAGCUCCAAACGCUUGCCUGAAAAUUUCGCCGGGAAACUCACCUUCGGUUCAGGAACUUUGCUGGAUCCUUGAGCCGAAAGUGAAGCAAGCUCUUGCUGCAUGCGAAGAAGGGUCGCCUUCAGCUCGGUAUUCUCAGACUGGAUUUUUGCAAGGACUUCAGCAAAGAAAUCAGGAUGGCUUGGAGACUCUAUUGGCAAGAAGAAAGAAAAGAAAGGGGGGAAAAAGACAAAGGCAAUCAAAUAAUCAAAACAAGCUAAAAGAAAAGCAAAAAACACAAUCUGAAUCAAACUGUCAAGACCCCCAACAAGAUCAAGGUUGGAAAAUGCUAAAGACAUAGAGAAAAAGCUAGUGAAAACAAAAAAGAGGCCUUAGACUGGCGUUGAUUCAAAUUGUGGAGAAAUGGAACAAGGCUAACUUAUAUAUACUAUAGGUUGAUGAAGCUCCACCACUCUUGGAUCGAGGACGGCCUAAAUAUAGUUGAGGUCGAGGAGGCGCCACAUCAAUAUUAGGAAUGUGGCUCCAGACUCAGGAAUCGGGAAGUGUCUUGAGAGUUAGGAAUAGAGAAGUGUCUUGAGAGUCAGGAAUAGGGAAGUGUCUCGAGAAUUAGGAAUGUGGUCUGCAGGUCAGGAAUCCGGCGAGAGUCAGGAAUAUGGCAAGAAUUGGGGGUUCCUGACAUAAGCUACCUAACCGUGUAUCACGACUCCAAGGCAUCCCCCACUUAGCAGUGUGCCCAAGCCAGUCUCCUUACUAAGAAUCCAUGACCAUUGAAAAAUGAAUAUUCUCAUAUUCUAAACCAUCACCACACCCUAAUGAGUUGGGAUUCGAACCCAAGCACUAGAGGGUUGGGACUCAAACCCAACCUCCAUAUAUACAUCUAUGGAUGGCAUCACCUAGGAUGCCUAGCGUGACUCCACACACCAGUGCAUCAAUUUAUACUUAAAGCACAUUAUAUAUCAUAGCUUAGGAAUUUAGUUCCUCUACACUGCCAAGUCCUCUCAUUUGACAUGUCUGUAAUCAUGCAUAAACUCCUCCAUGCUUGGCCCUAUGGGCCACCCUUUUUGAAGUUAGCACCUUCAACUAAAGUUUUUGUUCCCCCGACUUACUAAUCUCACAUAGCAAAUCAUCCGACCACCAUAACAUAGUUCAUGCACAAGCAUGAAAGUCCUUAACCAUCAAUUUUCAUUCAAAGCCCUUUCUUUGAACACUCAAGAACUACUUCUCUAACCUUGAUAGCCUCGCCUCCUAGCACACUUCAAAACCACGCUUUUGCUGCACCACUUUAAUUUUGCACACUCUAUAAAUCAUUUACACUUGGCUUUCUAAGUACUUAUUUACUUAAAAUUGUCUUUGGGAACCUUCAAGGAACUCUAUUCUUUAGCUUGUUAACACCUUUUCUUUUUGCAAGUUUUCUAAUUAAGUUUAACAUAGAUAAUUCCAUAUUUAGACUCUCCAUGGUAUCAUAGUUGCUUGAGCCCCCAUUUAAUUCUCUACUCCCAACUCGCAUAACCACAUUUAGUUAUGUCCUUCGAUUCCUAUGAUUCGGUUCUAUCCCUUUUUUACUCCUUAUACAUUUCCUUUGGUUAUUCUCCUUCAACCUAGGAGGAUCUUUGCACUUCUACCAUGCCUUAGUAAGUAUUCUUAAAGAUGAACCUACCCAAUGGCCUAGGGAGUGGUUCCUCAAUCUAAGUAUGCUUACCUUGUAAUCCCAUAUACCGAAAUUAAUGUUGCCACUUAUGGGCCUUUAUAUGCCUAUUACUAGCCUUGCCAAAAUCACUUUUUAGCUUUGUCCAAUUCAAGUAGACGGACUUCUCUCGUCUCCACAACCUUAAACAUUUGGAUAGCACCUCCUAUCCAUCAUUCAUUAGGGACUUAGUCCCUUAGGCCUUAUCUAAUGCACUCACGAUAGCAAACAUCACUUUUUGGUGUUUUAGAGCGUUUGAGUGUCCCAAUGAUAGCCUUCUUUGAUAAUAAACAUUCCCUUUAUAACAUUGACUUACUAUAUCGCAACAUAAACAAUUUAUCCUCUAUAAAGGUAUGUUCAACUUCUUUAUCCUAAUAAGAAAUCUUAGGUAGCUAUUUUUUACCAGUUUAAUCAAUUAUUUUGCACCUUUUGCUUAGUUGCCUCAUAGUUGUCAAGUCCUACAACUCAUUAAUGGUGUUUCCAUACCUCUAUCAUUAUUUGGGUCAUCACACUCCAACUGCAUGCCUUCUAGCUUAGGCUAUGUAAUUCUUAUUUCCAUUAGGAUUUUUUGGAAAAGGGUUCUCAUUAACCCACUAACUUGACCUCAAGGCAUCAUGCCUUGGCACAUUUGGUGUUUCUACACCAUUGGCUUUACAAGCCUACCUUUACAAUACUUCCCAUUUGUGUUUAGGUCUUUGCCAAGACCAAAGCAAUCUUUUUUUAUGCCAAUAAUCAAUUAGCAUUGCACCAUAGUGUCCACAUACAACCUUGUGCCAAAGUUGUUUUCUUCUGGAAACACAUUUCCCACAAUUUUAGUAUGGUACAUUUUGUCAUCAAUGAGAUACUCACUAUUCUCACUAUUAGAUUUUAUAAUCAUCCCCAUCCUUCGUGGGGUACAACACACCUCAGUCCAAAUACUCUUAUCAAUCCCUUAGGACUAUUCCUUGACUUUACUUGAGUCAUUGGACUUUACUAAUUUGACGACCCGUGAAGUCUUAUUUUUGAGGUGCCAGCUCAUUAAAAUGCAACUUCUUGUAUUCAUGUUCUACUCACAAAGACCAUCUUUGCAAGUGUUUCUUUGACACUUGAUUAUUUUCCAUUCUCUGUAGGCUACCUUUACCCUUUAGGAUUAUUUAUCCAUAUAAUGAGAAUACCAACUCAUCCUCUGAGCACACCCCCAAUUCCUUGGGUUUAUUUCAGCAUUUAUAAAAGGUAGCCCUGCUUACCAUUUCAAGGACUUGUGUCCCCAUCUGUAUUUGACCUUUCACGGUCAUUAAUUCCAGUCUCAAAUUCAUGAGCACUAGCUUUAACUAUAUAAGGAUAAUCUUGUGACUCCUUUAUUAUUUUGGAGUCUUUAUCUUUCCUGUAAUCCCAACCAUAGUUAUUUAACACAACUACAUUAGCAAUUUGCUAAGUCAAAUGCUCAUUUGGAUCACAUCCUCAACUCUCUAAGGAGAACCUUAUAUUAUUCCCAAAAUCCUGAAGUCGUUCUCUUAUUGACCCUUUCCUAUCCAUCACAUUGCCUACAAGUUCACACAUAAACUGUAGUGGGGAGCCAUGUCCUCUUAACAUGUUGUUCCUCAAGGAUAAGCCAAAUCCUAAGACCUUCUGAUACCAAUAUAAGUGGUGAUAUACUUGGCCAUCAAUAAGAAUCAGACUAAAGAACAACUCAAAUUGUAAGCAACUAAUUUUUCCAUUCUACUUUAGUCACUUAACCACACCUCCGACCACUUAGAGGAGUCUCAUUCACAACCUCUAUAAGUCCAAUUUAGGACUUGGGACUUACUAGCCCCAAGAAUGGCAUCCAUACCACUCAACCUUUGCACUUGGCAUAAGUGCUCCACGUGUUUGAUCCCAUGACUGACACCCCAAAGUACCACUGAUAUAUCAGCCCGUUACAUUAAGGCUAUGCCUAUUCAUCUUGGUCAUACCGGUGGUAUAACACCACUUGCAUCAUAAUCCCAUCUCUUAAAAACUAAGCUAUCCGUCCAUGAGUGAUUAUCCCAGAUCCACUCCUUAGCAUCCUUAGAAUGCCCGCAAAUAUGAGGUACAACCUUCCCCAAUAUCCCUUUACAAUCCCCAAGUCAAAUCCCUUUUCUGUCUAUAGCCGUGUUUGCCAACACUACCCUUGGGACAAGGCCCACAGGCCCUACCACUAAGUCUCACUAUUUUUUAAGACUUCCUCCCCACAUGAUUAUAUCCUUGGUCCCCCCACUAGAGGAUUGCUCCUUUUCCUUUCCCCAGUUUAGGACUUUAGGACAACAUUUCGGAACACUGUGGCUCUUUAUGAGCCUCAUAGGUACUCUCCCCCCCUUCUGUCUUUGGGUGCUCUACUCAUGGGUUUAGAGCGAGGUUUUGUUGAGCCCCCCCCCCCCCCCACUCCUUGGGGGACAAUUGCUUUGGGCUUUCACCCAACAGCCUGUAUUAGUAUUCAGACUCAAACUCGGACUCAAAAUCAGUCUCAGUCUCGGACUCAGACUUGGUCUCGGUCUUGGUCUUGGUUCCACCUCGAACUCCAUCUCGGGUCCAUUUUAGACUCCAUCUCGGGUCCAUCUUGGACUCCAUCUCGGAUCCAUCUCAGACUCCAUCUCGGACUCCAUUUUGAACUCCAUCUGGGACUCCAUUUGAGACUCCAUCUCGGGUUUAUCUCGGACUCUGUCUCGAAUCCANNNNNNNNNNNNNNNNNNNNNNNNNNNNNNNNNNNNNNNNNNNNNNNNNNNNNNNNNNNNNNNNNNNNNNNNNNNNNNNNNNNNNNNNNNNNNNNNNNNNUUGUUGCUCGCUUCGUGCUCAUUCCUUAAGCACUUUGUUAAGAGUUCCACUCCCACUCUCAACUUUUUAAGUUGGAGUUUUUAGUCCAAAUGCGUUACUUUCGCUUCCGCCACUACCACAUGGCACCCUUUUGGCUCCACUUUGUGGCUUAGGGAUUUGUGUCUCACAGAAUGCUAAAACACCACUCGAUUGAGGAGGAAGUAUUUAACAACAAUUGUAGAGGCACUAGCAAGAGCACUAACUUCCACAUAGUGAGUCAAAUAGUUAGAAGCAAUAAUAACAUACUCAUUGCCAACAAUCAAUUGUAGAAAAGGUCUCAUAAGAUCAAAUGCCACCAACUCAAAUGGACGGGAAAUUGCAAUUGACUCCAACCAUCCUUCUGUACCAUGAGGGGGAGUAUUACAAGCUUGGCAAUAAAUGCAACUACGCACAUACCGGAUAAUAUCACGUCGCAUCUCCAGCCAAUAGAAAGACCUGUGCAACUUCUCGGUCACAUGACGAUGUCCCAUAUGCCGGCGUAGAAUAGAAGAAUCAUGGUAGGUAUGGAGAAACCGUGGAAUAAAGACAAAAGACACCAUUGGCCAUAAAAGAUCAUCAGGAUCCAACCCCACAAAUAAAGAAGGCUAUCGUUAAGGCGAUACUGAGAAUGUAAUGUAAACAACCAAAGGGAACGACUCAAGAGACGAUCCAAUUGUAAGCAACCAAAGGGAACUGUAAGCGACUAAUUUUUCCAUUCUACUUUAAUCACUUAACCACACCUUUGACCACUUGGAGGAGUCUCAUUCACAACCUCCUUAAGUCCAAUUCAAGACUUGGGGUUUGCUAGCCCCGAGGAUGGCAUCUAUGCCACUCAUCCCUUGCACUUGGUCUAAGUGCUCCACGUGUCCGGUCCCAAGACCGACACCUAAAGGUACCACUGACAUAUCGGCCCGUUAUGCUAAAGCCAUGCCCAUUCACCUUUGCCACACUAGUGGUCCAAUACCACUUGCAUCACAAUCCCGUCUCUCCAAGACUGGGCCAUUCGUCCACAAGUGGUCAACCCAAAUCCACUCCUUAGCAUCCUUAGGAUGCCUAUAGACAUGGGGAAUAGCCUUCCCCAAUAUCCCUUUGUUAGUUCCUACCAAGUCCCUUUUCUGUCCAUGGCCAUGUUCGCCAACACUGCCACUAGAUCAAGGCCCACAGGCCCGACCAUUAUGUCCCACGGUCUUUUGGGACUUCCUCACCACUCGAUUGUAUCCUUGGUCACUACACCAAAAGACUACUCCUCUUCCUUUCCACAGUUUGGGCCUUUGGGACAACAUUUCGGAACACCGUGGCCCUAUGCGGGCCUCAUGGGUACUCUCCCCACCUUCCGCCAUUGGGUGCUCUAGCCAUGGGCUUAGAGUGAGGUUCUAUUGAGCCACACCAGGUAUCCAAGUAGGUAGUGCCACCCACACUUGGACUGGGAGCAUCGGCCAGUCGAUCUCCCGGGGGAACUAGAGCCGGCUCUUGAACACUUCACCAAGCUACCCCGCUUGUCGGUCCGUAUUCACUCUAGUUUUGGACUUCCCAGUGGUCAGUUCAUCACCCAACACUGGGUCUGGCCUUCCUGGGCCAAACUGGCCUUCCCUGGCCAAAUUGGCUCCACUGCAGUCCUCCCCCCUUACUAUACUUUUGGAGCUCACCAAACCCCCUAGGGUCUGGGAGACGAACGCUUUGGGCUUUCACCCUCUCAGACUCGAACUCGGACUCGGACUCGGACUCAGGCUCGGGCUUGCGCUCGGUCUCGGCCUCGGAUUCGGACUCAGACUCGGGCUCGAGCUCGAGCUCGGUCUCGGCCUCGGCCUCAGCCUCGGUCUCGGUCUCAGUCUUGGUCCCGGUCUCCGUCUCGGUCUCAAUCCCGGUCUCGGUCCCGGUCUCGGUCUUGACCUCGGACUCCAUCUUGGGUCCUUGUCGGACUCCAUCUCGGACUCCAUCUCGGGUCCAUCUCAGACUCCAUCUCGGACUCCAUCUCGGGUCCACCUCGGACUCCAUCUCGGACUCCACCUCGGACUCCGUCUCGGGUCCACCUCGGACUCCAUCUCGGAUUCCAUCUCGGGUCCAUCUCGAACUCCAUCUCGGACUUCGUCUCGGUCCAUCUCGGAUUCCAUCUUAGACUCCCCCAUGUGUCAUAUGUUGGUCCUUUUGGGUCCCUUUUUGGAGCCUUGCUUAUUGCUCGCUUCAUGCUCGUUCCUUGAGCACUCCGUUGGGAGUUCCACUCCCGCUCUCGACCUUUCAAGUCAGAGCCUUUUAGUCCAAAUGUGUUACGCUCGUUUGGCUUUUGCUUCGGCCACUACCACGUGGCACUCUUUCGGCUCCACUUUGGGGCUUAGGGAUUUGUGUUUCACAGGAACGACUUGAGAGACGGUCCAUGGGGUUCAAAUAUAGAGGGAAAGGGCUCAUGAACAAGAGUGCACCCCCUUUUCCAAUCGAUUAAGGGUCUUGGGGUACUUGGGGUUAAGAGUCCUUGGGUUUAAAUAGUACUGGGCUGGGUGGCCUCCCGGUUUGUCCAAACUCAGGACUUUACACCAAUGGGGUUCAAAUAUAGAGGGAAAGGGCCUAUGAAUAAAAGUGCACCCCCUUUUCCAAUCGGUUAAGGGUCUUGGGAUACUUGGGGUUAAGCGUCCUUGGGUUUGAAUAGUACUAGGCUGGGUGACCUUCCGGGCUAGCACUUCCAAGUCGGAGCCAAUGACACAACGUUGAGCUCCUCCGGCGUCACUCUCUGGAAAGUCCAAACUCAGGAGCUUACAUUUGGUAUCAGAGCAGUCUUAGGUUCGACUCUGUUGGUUGGCUAAGUGAAUCACACCACAUGUUGAUUGACAUCUGGCUGGUCCAGUUUGCUCCCGCUAGGCUCGACCCGAGGGGUAGGGUAUCAAGAGAGCGGGGCUCUCGGGAGAGCUGCAGCUCGUAACAUGGUGGAUUGUAAGCAACCAGAGGGGUAGGGUAUCAAGAGAGCGGGGCUCUCGGGAGAGCUGCAGCUCGUAACAUGGUGGAUUGUAAGCAACCAGAGGGAACGACUCGAGAGACGAUCCAAUGGGGUUCAAAUAUAAAGGGAAAGGGCCCAUGAAUAAAAAUGCACCCCCUUUUCCAAUCAAUUAAGGGUCUUGGGAUACUUAGGGUUAAGCGUCCUUGGGUUUGAAUAGUACUGGGCUGGGUGACCUCCCGAAAAGUCCAAACUCAGGAGCUUAUAUGUAAAUGCUGAAAUGGCAAGUCAUCAGCAAGUGAUGCAGGAUUCUCAAACCCAUCUCGAAGCCUUCGAAUCCAUAGCUUAAGCUUUUGAGCCUUGCUUUUGAACCUCAUCAAGAGAAGGUAGAUCUUGUUUUACACCUUAUAGACAUUGAACAUUAAGUACAACAACUGCCACAAAAUCUUCAUAUAGAAAAUCUAUAUAUGCCAGAACAAUAGGCUCAUCAGAAAUAUGAGAAAAGAGUGGAAAAGGAAGAGGAACUUAAGAAAGAGCAUCAACAUCAGCCAUAGAACUCCCUAGAUGAUGAACAACAUCAAAAUCAUAUAUCUAAAACUUCAAAGCCCACUAAGUAAUAUGACUAACCAGGUUUUUUCACUUCAAUAAUAAAAUAACGGUAGCAUGAUCACACAUCCAAGAGCAUGAAGUUUCUCGAAACCCUAGACUACUGCUAAACACUCCUUCUCUAUAGUGGAGUAGUUCACCUCCACUGGUUGUAAUGUACAGCUUAUAUAUGCAAUAGGAUGGCACUAACCAAGCACACUCGGGCUCUCUUACAUCAACACACCUCCAAGACCAAUAUCAAAAGCAUUCACGCGCAAAAUAAAAGGUUGAGUGUAAUAAGGAUAUACCAAAACUAGAGGAGUUGUCAAGAGCUCUUUAAGAUCCACAAACGCCUGCUCACAAUCCGAAUAUCAGAUGAAAAAUGACAUUGAUGAUUUCAACAAUGCUUGCAACAGUUCAAUACUAUCAAAAAGAUGAUCCACAAAACAACCGAGAUACUACACCUUGCCCAGAAAGCACUACACACCAUUCACACAUUUCAGAGUAGGGAAUUUUAGAACUGCCACAAUUUUGUCAUAAUCAAUUUGCAAACCUUCACGAGAAAUAUGGUACCCAAGAUAAAUUGUAUCCUUGGACCCAAAUAUGCACUUCAACUACUUUAGUUUUAAACUAAUGUCCUGUAGUUGAUCCAACACUUUACAAAUAUCACAAAUGUGCUCCUUUCACAUCCCCUCCGAGUGGAUUAAGACAUCAUUAAUAAAGUUAGCAAUCACCUUUGGCAUAUCGCAAAGAACCUCAUCCAUCAUUCAUUAGAAAGUUGCUGGAGCAUUGUUCAUACUAAACGGCAUCACUAAGAAUUCAUACAAACCAAACAGUGUAUGAAAAGUAGUUUUAGGAAUAUUUUCUUCGACUAUCGAUACUUGUCAGUACCCAAAAGCAAGAUCUAGCUUGGUGAACUAACGACUUCACCCCAAAUGAUCCAAACGAUCAGCAAUGUGAAGAAAAGGGUACAUAUCUGGGAUUGUCACUUUAUUUAAUAAACGAUAGUCAAUGCAGAACGAAUACUCCCAUCAAGCUUCGUCACAACAUGAGGUUCAUAAGCCCAAGGACUCCGUAACUUCCAAAUAACACCCUUCUUUAACAUCUCCUUGACGUUUGCAUGUAAAAUCUUGAUCUCUUUGGGUGAUCGAUGAUGAAUAGGAACCUUGAUUGGACGAGCAUCCCCAGUUGGAAUCAAAUGACGUGUGGCAAUUUUGACCCCAGACGAUAAGUCAAAUUCAAAGAGAUCAUAAUACUCCUUCAUAAGCUGAUCAACUACUGUAGCACAAAGGUUGUCAAAGGGAUUAGAAAAGGGAAAAGCAAAAUAAGAUGGAAAUAUAAGAGGAAAUAGUGGGGGGACAAAAGUAAUAGAGGUAGAGGUAAAAAUAGAGGGACGAAAAGGUACAGAAGUGAGAGGGAUGGAUGAAAUAUAAAGAAGUAUGAGACAAGGGGGAAAAGUCUCAAAGUCACACUUUAAGUAACAAUAAAAAUGUGUGGGUAAAACAACAUAUUUUUUGAGUAUAUAUGCUCUAUAUGUGACAUAAUCUUAGAUUGGAAUAGUGCCAAGGUGUGGCAUGCCUCUUGAUCAGUAUAUUUGGCUAGAUGAUAUAUUCUAGCUAUCCUUAAAUCAUCCUUUUUUAUUGUAGCUGCUGCAUAUCUCUUCAAUCUUUGGUGAAGAUUGCGGUAAUUGGAGGCACUUGAGCUUACAGAUUGCAUUGGGGUGUUCAACCUACAUGCUCAUUCCACCAUUUUUGGCAAUCUUGCACUAUUGAGUGUUAAUUGAUCAUGUCAAAAUUGAACGAGCCGAAAAUGUAUUUAUCUCCAAAGUCCCUCUUCUAGCUUUUACAAACUCAAAGUUUGAUAGAACCUAAUCUGUGGUCAAAAUGGAAGACAAGAACUCUGGAGCAUAUAUAGUAGGAUUAUAUACGCUACAAGAAAAGUGGUAAAUGCUUCAUCGUCUCUUCUCACUGGUAGGCUCUUGACAUCUCUUGGGCAAUCCAGCACACCCGAUUGAUCACACAGCAGUAGGGAUCAUCUCAGCCAUUGGGAGGUAUUAUCCAUUUAAAAUUAAUUAAUUUAUAAUAAUUUUCUGUUAUUAGAUCUGUGCGCUGCUCUAGAUCAUCCACAGCCUGUUCUAGAGGCUUGAUUGAAUCGGUAAGUAGUGCCAUCUUACCGAUGUUUUCCUGGAGACUGAAGAUAGAGCUUUGAUUUGUCACAAGGAAGUGCGCACUAAACGGUGGUCAUUUCAGGACUUUAUUAACUGUUUCUUCAUAUCGCUCCUAUUUAAAGGCGCUUUCAAAGAACACGUUGUAGCCAAAAUUUGCAAAACAAUCCCCGAGAGGAAACUUAGAGGAGCUAGCUGCAGCGCUUUUGACGUCCACUCCCAUGGCCAGCACCAGCAACAUGGCGAGAACCGAAAACAACACCAAGCAAGCCUAUGAUCAACGAACUCUAGUAUAUUCGAGAGAAGUGAUUUGAUCUGUGAGGCCGCUCGUAUUUAUAGCUCGAGGCAGCAUACAAUGCCAGAGUGGUGCCUCUUGGGAACUUUGUCCUUUGAAAGUUAUUCAAGGAAGUCGUUCCGUAUUUGUCAAUUCCUUUUCUUUUCUAUAAUGCUGGGACAUAGAACAACACACGAAAUGAAGCUGUGAAUCCAGAUGAGUAAAGACAACACUCUAGUUUUUUCACCAUUGCUAUAGAUUUCACUGCCACUGAAAAGAACAAAAAUCCAAUAAAUAGUUGGAUCUUGACGAUCUCUGGAAGAGAAGUGUGUGUCAUUUCAUUUUCGAUUGUGUUUUAUAUACGUGGUUGGUGUAUGUAAUUGCUAGACUUUGUCUUGGGAAAGAGAUCAGAUUUGUUGAAAAACUUGUCUCCACUAAAAUAUAUAUCAUUUUAGUCAAUAUUAUAUAAUAUAAUUUUGAGCCCAGAUAGAUUGACUUGGCUUUCUUUCUAUUUUAUCUGUCAUGUUCUAAAUUAUCCUGUCAUUCUGGUUCAAGUUUUUUGACUGAAUAUGUCACGUUUCUAUAUAUUAAAAGUCCAUACAUUGUGAACGCUACACUGCAACAACAACUCUCCAGAAAACGCACCAUAUUUAUCAUUGACAGUUUCAGACCCAGGGCAUCAAAGACGAAUAGACUCCAAAACAUCUUCGUUCACUCUUAUUCUACAUAUAUCUCAUCCAGGCUGUCAACCCAACUUUUCAUGAUUCGAAAUUCGCUCCCGUGGUUCUUUGAGGCCCGAGGCUCGCGAACUUUGGCAAUUCUUCAGCAGAUGCAGCGGCUGCCAUUCCAGCGCCACCCUCGAUGGCAGCUGUUGUCAUACCCGUACCAAUUGCAUUGCACGCAGCGAAAUCCAUUCCAGUACCAAGCGCUGCGCCAUCGCCUUGGUGAUGCCGCCGACCUCCAUUCCCACCGCUAGGUGUGCCUGGGCCUGGUUUUGAUGCUCCAAUCGAGUCUUAUUGCUUGCCGAUCAUUGGAGGAAUCGAUUGGAAGUCGUGGGAUUUGGAGAAGAGCGGAGAAGGACCAAGGACAGAUUCAGACAUUUUAUAUCAAGGCUUGGACAAUUUAUAUUCUAUUGCUGGAACUCAUGCAAUACUAUGCAACAUCGCACGAUACAGAAAACACGUUAUCAUUGUCUUUAUUCUUGUUUCCAGACCCUUGGCACUGCAGGAUGAUUAAAUCAAAGGCAAUUAUGAUGCUGAUUCUUAACUUGGGCUUACCCCGUGAAACGAGAGGUUUCAGUUGCGCGAGCAGCGAUUGUUGCGCCAGCUCCAACCCUUCUGGCAACGGUGGCAACCGUUGUCAUACCAAUACCACCCCGACUGGCAGCGCUGGGCAGCAGCCUUUGCGAGUCCUCCCACGUCCACGCCCAUGGCCAGCAUCAUCACAAAUAUGGCGAGCGCCAAAAACAACACGAAGAAAGCCUUGUUCUCCAUGAUUUGCUGCUAGCGAAGUAAGCUUGUUAGAAGUGGUUUGAUUUAGGCUCAUUUUUAUAGCUCGAGCCAGCACAGAGACGGAGUCCUUAUCUAUUUUGGUUCCGUGUUUGAGAAUUUCUUCUCUUUUUUAUAAUGCUGGGAUCCACAUAAAAUCUCUAUUAAGUUCCACAAAAUCGCCAACAAGCCCUGCAUUUGCCACGUGUGUGCCAUAUCAUCAGUUAAAUAUGGAACGGUUCCGAUUAUUUUAGAUCGACGGCUUUGAUUUAAGUAUAACGACAGCCCAGAUUGUAUACAGUGGACGGCUCAGAUUGUAUAUAAAGGAACGGUCCAGAAUGUUUUAAAUGCACGGUCUAGAUUGUGACUAGCUUUCCAGAAUAUACUAUUCUUCUAUUUAUACGAAAAGGAUAUAUUUACCAUUCGUUUACCGUACGCAUCAGAAGUACUUAACUUUCAGACAGUUUAAUGCCCAGCGAGCUUGGCUGAAAUACUGCGACUUUCUCUGGUAAGCUUCAUCUCUGACUAUGGCUCGCACGCCACCUCCACCUCACCGGGAGCAUGCGAGGAGGAUGCCGCCGCCCAAACCAUCGUCAAAGAGGACGCCGACAACUUCAUCUCCCCCAAGAGGUCUCCACCGGCACCAGCCAAGAGGCACAGUCAUUCACCACUAAAGCCCACAGAGGGACAUCACUCACCAACAAAGCCAGAGCACCAUGGAGCUGUACAUCCACCAUCUUCCUGCCGGCAUUCAACUGCGAUGAUGGUCGAGGCUCCACUUUGGUAAUGAGGUGCUCCUGGCUGCUGCUGCUGCCGCUGUUGCCACCGCCAGGCUGAUGGCCAUACUCCACCAGGAUGAUGUCGCCGUGCACCUUGUUCCUUCUCUGCUUCAAGAGUAUCCAGACUCCAGUGACGAUGGCUACCAGUGCGAGCAGGAGCAUAACGAUGCCUGCCACGAGCACACCAGGUGAUGCCACAAAUGCAGCUGCUGCUGAAGAUGGUGCUGACGGCGCAGUAGGCGGAGAGGUGCCCAAGCCAAGGGGCCUUGUUAUGGUCGAAGGUGGUGGCGAUGGCGGCCCGGCCCUCCUUGGUCGCCAGGUUACAGUGUUGGCCUUGUUGGGCGGCGAAGAAGAAGGUGGCGGCCCUGUAGCAGCUCCAUCAUCAGCCCGUCGAUGUCCAUGGUGCCUCUUUGGCUCAGCUGCUGGAUGUUCCUUGGUGGGCGGAGAGCUCGGUGGUGGAUGUCCAGCUCCAUGAUGCUCAGGAGAACUCAGUGGUGGCUUUGCUGGUGAGUGAUGUCCCUCUGUGGGCUUUGCUGGUGAAUGACUGUGCCUCUUGGCUGGUGCCGGUGGAUACCUCUUUGGUGGCGGAGAUGAAGUUGUCAGUGCCGUCUUUGGUGAUGGUUUGGGCGGCGGCGUCCUCUUUGUGUGCUUCAGUGAGGUGGCAUGGGCGGGGGCGUGGAGAUUUUGCGAGCCAUAGUCAGAGAUCAAGCUUACGAAAAAGUCGCAGUAUUUCAGCUCAAGCUUGCUUGCUUACCAUCGUGCUCAAGUUACUUCCCCUUUUUUAGGGCAUUAAAGUGUCUGAAAGCUAAGUACGGUAAACGAAAUCCUUUUCGUACAAAUAGAAGAAUAGUAUAUUCUUAAAUCUAUAAGAUCUGAGAACUUGAAAUCUGGGCCGUCUAUUGGACAGUCAUUCAUGUACAAUCUAGACCGUGCAUUUAAAACAUUCUGGACCGUUUAUUUAUAUACAAUCUGAGCCGCCCACGGUGUAAAAUCUGGGCUGUCGUAUUAAUUAAAUCAAAGCCGUCGAUCUAACAUGAUCUGAACCGUCCCAUAUUUAACUGAUGAUAUUGCAGGCUAAUGCAAAGUGGUGUGUCUUUACAAGAACAUGUGUGCUUUCAAACACUACUUAGGAUUGUUUUCAUCUUUUCGAGCUAAACUCCAUGGCUUUCUCUAUCUGCAAGCUUGUAGUACGAACUUGUGAAGUUUUAGCAACGAAUGAUUCUCAUUUGAAGGGUUGGAGAGAUUUAUGAGUAUUAUAGAAAGAGAAGAAAAUUUCAAACACAGAAGCAAAAUAGAUAACGACUAAGCAAUGCCGUCCCACAACAACUCUCUAGCAUUGUGUGCUGGCUCGAGCUAUAAAUACAAGCCCCUCCCAUCUCACAAAUCAAACCACUUCUCUCUAAUAUAACAAGCUUACUUCUCUAGCAGCAAAUCAUGGAGAACAAGGCUUUCUUCGUGUUGUUUUUGGCACUCGCCAUAUUUGUGAUGAUGCUGGCCAUGGGCGUGGACGUGGGAGGACUCGCAAAGGCUGCUGCCCAGCGCUGCCAGUCAGGAUGGUAUUGGUAUGACAACAGUUGCCACCGUUGCCAGAAGGGUAUGAGCUGGCGCAACAAUCGCUGCUCGCGCAACUGAAACCUCUCGUUUCACGGGGUAAGCCCAAGUUAAGAAUCAGCAUCAUAAUUGCCUUUGAUUUUAUCAUCCUGCAGUGGGUCUGGAAACAAGAAUAAAGACAAUGAUAACGUGUUUUCUGUAUCGUGCAAUGUUGCAUAGUAUUGCAUGAGUUCCAGCAAUAAAAUAUAAAUUGUCCAAGCCUUGAUAUAAAAUGUCUGAAUCUGUCCUUGGUCCUUCUCCUCUCUUCUCCAAAUCCCACGACUUCCAAUCAAUUCCUCCAAUGAUCGGCAAGCAAUAAGACUCGAUUGGAGCAUCAAAACCAGGCCCAGGCACACCUAGCAGUGGGAAUGGAGGUCGGCAGCAUCACCAAGGCGAUGGCUCAGCGCAUGGUACUGGAAUGGAUUUCGCUGCGUGCAAUGCAAUAAUGAAAUUUGUGACCUAUAGUUUAUCCUUUACUUUUACUAUUUAGUGAUAAAGGUUGGCAUGAAAAAAUCUACCAUAAUAAGUUGUACGUACUACUUCAGUAUUAUAUAUAUUAAUUAUCUCAAUGAGAUAACAUUAACAAUGUUUUCCUUUAUGAUCAAUUACUACAUAUUGGGAAGUUCAUUCAAUAAUUUAUAGUUGAUGUUUAUGCAAAGGUUGAGUCUAACAAUUUUUAUUUCUUUCACACUCAUAAAAAACACUUAAAAAUGGAUUACUAUAUGAGUCUUAUGGAUUAUGUUAGCAAUAGAGCUGCUACUAAUAAUGUUGAGUCUGGAAAAAUUAUAAUUUUGCCUUUUACAUUUCUUAAUAUCCCACGAGCAAUGCAACAACAUUAUCAAGAUGCUAUUGCUAUUGUCACACAUUCUUGAACUUAUUCAUUACAUUUAUAUACAACCUUAAAAUUGUGUAAAAUUUAUAGCCAAAUGAAUCAUCUAAGGAUUAACCAAAUCUUAUUUCAAGAGUUUUCCAACUUAAUUCUUAUAUAACAUAAGUAUCAAAUGAAUUUUUAGAAAAUGCAUUACAUAUGUUUAUGUUAUUAAAUUCUAGAAAGAGGUCAGCCUCAUUGUCAUUUUUUAGCAAUAUUCGUCUGGGUUAUUGUUUAACUAUUUCUAAAGCCAAAGGCCAAACUUUUGACCAUGUUGGCCCUUAUCUCCCCCAAACUAUUUUCACACAUAGUCAACUUUAUGUUGCUCUCUCAAUAUGUAGAUUAUAUGAACAACUUUGUGUUCAAGUGCUCGUAAGCCCCUUUCAAUGCAAUCUUAUACCACAUGAUCAACACUUUCACACUCUAAAUACAAUUUAUGGUGAGAUUCUUAUAAUUACAUGGCAUAAUUCCAAAUCCAAUUAUAAUUCUACAAAGCUAUCUACUCAACCACCCUUGACCUGCAAUUGCAAGUUUCAAAUCCAUGGCACAGGAAAGUUAGCAUUGACUGGUGUGCAUUGAGUGGUGUGCCAUUUUAGUUAUGGUAACGUGCUAUCAAGGUCCUAUUGCUUCUUGGGUGCAACUAUCAUUGCAGUGUAAUGGUUUCCAGCUCAUCCUAGGAGGAUUCUCCUGCUCUGUGGGUGGGCUGUGGAGCAAGUGGCAACAAUUAAGCCAAAGAUGGACUUAGAAGCAUUCUUUUGCCUUUUUAUGUUUAGAAUUGAGGAAUGCAACUCAACAUUGAUCUGAUUUGGCUUAUGAAAUCUGGAUUUGAGAAGUUUAGACAACAAUCAAGUACACUAAGUCCAUUACUGUUUUAUGAUUACAACUAACUUGUGGGGCAUGAUGCAGGGGCUGAGCAAUAACCACAGCCACCACAAUUUAGUUUUUCUGAAAUGUCUAGCACUUUAACACACACUAAGUUAUCAUUAAGACAUUUUUGGUCAAGAGAAUGCCUUUCAAUUGUGGAGUUGAUCAAGUAGCAAACAUAUCUAAACUCAGUAAACCUCUUGAAAUAGCAUGAAAUCUGCCAACCACCCAGCAUUUGCUGGGCAAUUGCUAGUAAUAUAAUAUAUAUUUUUGUCAAUGAAAGUUGUGGACACUCUGCCAUCUUAGUCUCGACAUGGAACUUGGAAAAGCAACCAGAUGGAAAUAUGACACAGUAGUGGAGACAAGUUUUUCAACGAAUCUGAUCUCUUUCCCAAGACAAAGUCUAACAUAUAUAAAACAUGAUUGAAAAUGAAAUUAAACACACACUUCUCUUCUAAAGAUCGUCAAGAUCCAACUAUUUAUUUGAAUUUUGUUCUUUUCAGUGGCAGUGAAAUCUUUAGCAGUGGCGCAUGGUGAUGCAUGAGUUCAUAUAUUAUAUAAACUGUGAAAAAACUAAAAUGCUGUCUUUACUCAUCUGGAUUCACAGCUUCAUUUCGCUCUGUCCCAGCAUUAUAGAAAAGAAAAGGAAACGACUUCCUCGACUACCUUUCAAAGGACAAAGUGAUGCCGUCCCAAGAGGCGCCACUCUAGCAUUGUAUGCUGCCUAGAUUACGUCAGGAGCUAUAAAUACGAGAAAUCACUUCUGUCGAAUAUACUAGAGUUCGUUGAACUCUUCGUUUCAUGGAGAACAAGGCUUGCCUGGUGUUGUUUUCGGUUCUCGCCAUGUUGCUGAUGCUGCCAUGGGAGUGGACGUGAGAGGAAUCGCAAAGGCUGCUGCCCAACGCUGCCAGUCCGAUAGUUGCCACCGAUGCCCUCGGCGCUGGUUACAACGUGUUCUUUGAAAGUAUGAAGUUAACGGAUUAUGGAUAAAGUCGGUGAAAUGUUUAGUCGAACCUCAUGCACAAUGGAAACGCAUUGACAAAUCAAAGCUCUAUCUUGUCAGUCUCCAGGAAAACACCGGUAAGAUGAUAGGAAUCACUACCACGCAGACGUACCGAUUCAAGCCUCUAGAACAGGCCGUGGACGAUCUAGAGCAGCGCGCAUCGUCGCUCAAGGACGACUACGUGCAAUUCCUUACAGCUUGCAUCGAUUUGCGUCAAGGUGCCAGGCUCCACGCGCUCAUCCUUGGGAGCAGCCACCACCAAUCCAACAGGUACCUCGCAAAUCUUCUCAUCCAACUCUAUGGAACGUGCGAGCGCGCGGAUCGAGCAUGGCAGGUGUUUAUCAGCAUCCACGAGCCCAACAGAUUCUCCUGGAACUUUCUGCUUGGCGCUUAUGCCCAAAGUGGGUAUCUUGAGAAAGAAAAAGAGCUGUUUGAUCAGAUGCCACAAAGGGAUAUUGUUGCUUGGAUGAUUUUUAUGACGGCUCGUGCAAACCGUGGAAACUUGGAGGAAUGCCGAGCAUUGUUUGAUCAGGUUCCAGAAUGGGAUGUAGUUUUCUGGCGGGCAUAUGGAUCAAGCAAGCCAGAUCUUUGAUGGAAUGCUAGAACACAACAGAGUUUCUUGGGCUGUUAUGGUUACUGGGUAUGCAAAAAAAGGUCUUGUUAACGACGCGCUAAUUUUGUUUAUGAGAAUCCCCGAAACCAACUGUUCAUAUGCCCAGCUUGAGCAAAAUGAAAAAGCCAAGGAGCUUUUCAGUAAAUGCCACACCGCGACUUAAUCUCGUGGAACGCAAUGCUAUCGGCAACGUCCAGCCUGCAAGAAGCUGUUUGAUGCCAUGCCACAGAAGAACGUUGCAUCGUGGUCGACAAUGAUCAAAGCACUGGCCGAGAGAAACCAGCUCGAAGAAGCUCGCAUUCUCUUCGAUCGACCUCCCUAUCACGACGACGUGGUGUGGCCUGACAUGAUCUUGGCCUACUCCAACCACGGCCACCUUGAAGAAGCCAUGAAAAUGUUUGCACGGAUGCCACAGUGCGAUUUCGUCCCUUAGACGGCAAUGGUGGCGGCAAUUGCUUUGCACGGGAGCUUGAUCGAUACCAGAGUCUUGUUCGACCAAAUGCCACAGCACGAUAGCGUCGUACAUCCAGAGCAAUUGCCCUCGUUCAAGCGCAGGAGCCGAGAGACACAGCGAGCUGGAUUGCCGUGAGCGCUCAAAGGGGGAAUCUCUUGCAGGCCGGGAAGAUCUUCUCCACGUUGCCUGAUCAGAGCAUUGUGUCGUGCGUACAGAAUGGCCAUGAGCGAAAAAUCCGCUGAGUUUUGUGGCACCAUGGAGCUUCCCACCGUGAUUGCAAGUCAGGAGAAUCGCCUGGAAACUUAUCUCGUUUCUCGCCUCGCCCUCCAUCGCCGUGUGGCCUAGUACAGCAUUUCUCCAAAUGUGAUUCACUUCCAGACGAUGGCAGAUGUGCUGGGACGAGCCGGGCUGGUUGCCGAGGCCGAAGGUUUGCUGCUGGUGAUGCCCUUCCAGCCGCAUUUCCUCGCAUGCGGUUUUAGGUUUUAGCGCUUGCAAAGUUCAUGGUAGCGGCAACAACAUCGAUGCUGCAGCUCGUGCCGCAGAGAAAAUCUUGGAGAUAGAACCAGGGGACUCGGCGCUGUACGUGCUCAUGUCGAAUCUGCAAAAGCAGGAUUCCACAGAAAGCUUGCCUUCCAACGUUCAUGCGUGGCCUUGCAACAGCUCGGUUUUUCAAGAUCUGGGACAGCACAAUGCACAAGAAGAGGAAAAAAUAAGAAACAUAAACAUAAAAUUUGACCAUUAGCUUGUGCACAAGCGUAACUUUAAGAAGAUUUAAUUAGUAACAGAAAAGUAAUUAUAAAAUAGUUUUAAAUUUACCACUUUCAUUGAUGCUCUCCCAUGCUGACCACUUUCUGGUCUUGAGGGUCUUGUUGCUGAUCACUACUGCUGCAUGAUCAAUCUGUUUGGGUGUGCUAGAUUGCCCAAGAGAUUGUCAAGAACGAUGUGGCAUUUACCACUUUUCUUGGAGUCCGUGGUUGUCAAUUUUUAACACUUGAUAGUGCAAGAUUGCCGAAGAGAAUGACCGUGUAUGUCCUGAUCUGCAAAUGUAAGCUCUGUUACCUCCAAUGACCAGAAUCUUCAUUGAAGAGAUCUGCAAAAGCUACAACAGACAAGGAUGGCUCAAAUAUAGUCAUACAUGCCUACACCUGGAUGAGUGAGGUGGCACUACUGCCACCUAGGAUCAUGUCAUAGAGAGCGUAUAUACUCGUAUGCUCAUUGUCCCACCCUUGAACACAGCCAAGAAUGUCAAGAACAAACCGGUUGUGAUGUUGGUGUUGGUGGAAUCGUCGCUGAUGUACGUCCCUUUGGCUCUUCCCACAAUCUGGGAGUCAUGCGAGGGAGAACAUCUUCAAUGACAAGCACCACUCCAAAAUAACCAUUCUGGGGGUCUGCGACCAAAACCACCAUGGAAUUUGAUUUGAGUUGCAUGAGAAAAACCAACUGAGCGCCAUAGGAUUUCUGGUUAAUCAAUAAUAUAGUUUAGAUUCUAAAAAUUAAAAAAAAUAGAUUAUAUCGAUUCCUAAACUUUUGCACCCCGAUUAAAAGUGAGGAAGGCAACAGGACCUUCCUGUGACUUACUCAAGCCCAUAGAAGGGACUGAAGAGAAAGCCAGAUAAAUGACGUAUUUGUUUUUCACUUGUUCUUAUGUUUUGUCUCUUGCAGUGCCUGCAAUCAAAGAGUAGCAUCUAGACAAAUUGGUUUCCAAGAAACGUACCUCGUCAAGUUCCCUGUCUCUCUCAGAGGUGGAAGAAUUCACCAGGAUACAGAAAGGCUCGUACCUGGUCGGCGUUUUCACCUGUCAGAGGAGGGUGCCCCGGAGCAGAUGGCUCCACCUCCAAAUCACUCUUGACCCGCUUGGGAUCAUUGGCUGUCAACUUCCAGACGAGGUUCUCGUCGCUCAUGAUCUGGGGGCUGUUCUCCACAUCGCGCUUCCUGAUCGAUUCAGCUUCGUCAGUCCAUAUUGUCAGCUCAAGUGCAGAGACUACUAACCUGUGGGAAAAAGGCCGGAUGCGGGGCUCCAUCAUGAUGAACUUCUGCAUUUGUUUCUCCAUCUCAGCCCGCUUCUUUGCCAGUGCUGCGACAUCUCCAGGAUCGAACACGGUGCCAGAACGAUCCGCCACCUUUCGUCCUUGUUCCCGUCCAUGAAACUGCUCUGGAACCCCGUCGCGUCGAGAUGAUAGGCGCACUGGGAGCUCGUUUGCAGCCAUUUUCUCGCCUGCUGGAUGAUGAGAGUAGCCACCAGUCGAGAAGAGUGGAUCAUCCUCCGGAGUGGCUGAGAACAGCCUUGGCUUGUCGUCAACUUCAUGCGCAGGAAAGACGACGAGAGGAUCCUCCAUCAUGACGUUUCCGCACUGGAUCAGCAGCACGAAAGAGUGGAUCCACUGCGAGCUUGUUUCCGGACGCAGACUUGUGGCGAGCACCAGCGGGAAGAGCAGACGGUCGUAGUCGCCUUGGUGGCCUCGGGAGCUCGUGAAUUCGGGGAUCAGCAGCUGCCUUCUUCCUACCGGCAUUCAACUGCGAAGAUGGUCGAGGCAAUACUUUGGUCAGGGGAACAUUAAUGAGGUGCUCCUGGUGGCUGCUGCUGCUGCGGCUGUUGCCACUGCCAGGCUGAUGGCCAUACUCCACCAAGAUGUCAUCGUGCACCUUGUUCCUUCUCCGCUUCAAGAGUAUUCAGACUCCAGUGACGACGGCUACCAGCGCGAGCAGGAGCAUAACGAUGCCUGCCGCGAGCACACCAGGUGAUGCCACGAAUGCUGCUGCUGCUGAAGAUGGUGCUGACGACGCAGUAGGCGGAGAGGUGCCCAAGCCAAGGGGCCUUGUUAUGGUCGAAGGGCGGCGAUGGCGGCCUUGGGUUCCACGUUAUGCUCGAAGGUGGUGGCGAUGGCGGCCCGGCCAUCCUUGGUCGCCAGGUUACAGUGUCGGCCUUGUUGGGCGCUGAAGAAAAAGGUGGUGGCCCUGUAACAUCUCCAUCACCAGCUCGUCGAUGUCCAUGGUGUCUCUUUGUGGGCGGAUGGCUCGGUGGUGGAUGUCCAGCUCCAUGAUGUUCUGGAGAACUCGCUGGUGGAUGUCCAUCUCCAUGAUGCUCAGGACUCGCUGGUGGCAUUGCCGGUGAGUGGUGUCCCUCUGUGGCACAGAAAGUAUCCGGCUACCAUCGCUUGCACAGACGCCUCCUCCACAUCCUGAUCACUGACCAGUGGUGAAUGACUGCUGGCACCGGUGGAGUGGUGGCGGAGAUGAAGUUGUCGGCGCCCUCUUUGGCGAUGGUUUGGGCGGCGGCGUCCUCCUCGCGUGCUCCCGGUGAGGCGGCGGGGGCGGUGGCGUCAUAGUCAGAGAUCAAGCUUACCAGAGAAAGUCGCAGUAUUUCAGCUCAAGCUCGCUUCCUUUUUUAGGGCAUUUAAGUUUCUACGAAAGGCUAGGUUAGCCGGCGGGAUUAGGGCAUUAGGGGGCGAUGGGGUACAAGAACAAGGAGAAGCAGAAGAGACCGCAGCCGCCGGCACCUCCGACGCGUCCACCGGUUAGCCCUGUGUCUCUGACCAUCCUCUACUACGAGCUUCGCAAGGACUGGCCGGUGCCCCCGAGUCGAAGAUGGACGAUCUAUGCAACGACAAUGGUUUCGUGGCUGACGUGGACGCGUGGCUCAACACCCUAGGUCUCUCGGAAGAGGUUGGCGUGGAGCGAAACCUUCAUCCUCAUGGUAAGGGAGGCUGGGCCGUGCGUUAAGUUCAUAGAACAGGGCUGCUUUGUUGCGUACUGCCCUAAUGCCAAUAGCAAAGAUCACACUGGAUUGCUGUACCGGCAGGCGCUGCGUUUCCAGAACUAUGCGAAGGCCAUGUUGCUCGCGGAAGAGGCAGCGCAGGCAGUGCAAGAAAGGCAAGAUGAAGGGGGAGGCAGCGGUAGAGGUGGCGGCACAGGCAGCGCAGGUGGAGGAGGAGAAGAAAGGGAAGAUGAAGGAGGCAGCGGUAGAGAUGGCAGCUGAGUCUAGUGGUAGCAAGUUUGUGACAACACUCGUAUUCCAAAGCAGCAAUCUUCACGUCCAAAGCAGCAAUCUUCACAUUCAAAGCAGUGAUCUAACUUGGUGCAGCGGGAGCAGAUUGCUGCUUCGGAUGUGAAGAUCGCUGCUUGGGAAGACGAGAAGUCGGUGCAGCGGGAGCAGAUCACUGCUUUGAUAGAGGAGAACUUGGAGCAGCGGCAGCAGAUCGCUGACUUGAAAGAUCAGAUCACUUCACUAAACCGGGAGAAGGCUUCGAUGCGGUCGACCUUGAGUUCGCUCAAAGCCCUGUUCAAGAGGAAGCUACUGGAGUCAUUCAGAGUGAAAGUCGCGCGCAUGUUCCCAGAAGCAGUCUGGAACGGGAGCGUCCCUGAGAUUCGAUGGUGGCGUACCUUCAUCCAAGACCCCAGGAGCAUUGCAGCUCUCUCUUCGGCAUCGGGAAUCGCUUUUGACAUGCCCGACGCUUGCACUGACGAGCUACGACCACGGCUCAGCUCAAUCCAGCAAGCGGGAGGAGUGGCUGCACAUGUCAUCACCGAAGAACCCGAGGUCUAUGCCACUCUGGUCUGUCAGUACGCUGGCGCUUCGCUGGAGAGGAUGAAGAAGAUCUAUCGGCUGGUCUUCGGGCGUGACGCUGCCCAGGAUGCCUUUGGGGACGUGGGGUGCUGCAAGUGUCCAGUCCAUUGUCCGGAGGUGGAGUAAGUAUAUCUUCCUCUGCAAAAGUUCUAUUGGUUGUUUCUCUUAUGCAGGGCGUAAAAACGGGGCAGUCUCCUUCCAGAAGACAAGCCAAGGAUUUUGUUUGCCUCUUUUAUUUUGUUUCUUGUCUUUUCUUUUGUUUUCGCAUACAACGUCUCAAGCUCAAAGGCUCCUUCCAGAAGAUAAAGAACGAGUAGAUAGAAGCAAUAUUACAUACCCGACCUGUAUUUGGCUUUUAUCCAAAAUAGUAAAUGCGGCUUCCAUAAGUAUGGGGUAUUUGCAAAGCUCUGGGAUGCUUUUACAAGUUUUGUUAACCAAAUACAGGUUAUUUGCUGCAUUGUAUGGAUGCUGGUUCCAGUCGCAUUGUCUCCGAGUCUUGGCGAUUUUGUGGAACUUAAUGAUCCUCAUUUGAAGGGCUGGAGAGAUUUUAUGAGCAUUAUAGAAAAAGAAGAAAAUUUCAAACGCGGAACCAAAAUAUCAUAUUGGCCAACUCCAACCACGGCCACCUCGAAGAAGCCAUGAAGAUGUUUGCAUGGAUGCCACAGAGCGAUCUCGUCGCUUAGACGGCAAUGGUGGCGGCAAUUGCUUUGCACGGGAUCUUGAGUCUUGUUGGACCAAAUGCCACAGCACGAUAGCGUCGCGUGAAACACGCUUAGAUCCAGAGCAAUUGCCCUCGUCCAAGCGCGGGAGCUGAGAGACACAGCGAGCUGGAUUGCCGCUCAAAGGGGGAAUCUCUUGCAGGCCGGGAAGAUCUUAUCCACGUUGCCUGAUCAGAGCAUUGUGUCGUGGAACGCGAUGAUCCCUGGUUGCGCACAGAAUGGCCAUGAGCGAAAAGCCGCUGAGUUUUUUGGCAGCAUGGAGCUUCCCACCGUGAUUACAAGUCAGGAGAAUCGCCUGGAAACUUAUCUCGUUUCUCGCCUCGCCCUCCAUCGCCGUGUGGCACUCGACUACUUUCGAUAUGGUGGCCUAGUACAGCAUUUCUCCAAAAGUGAGUCACUUCCAGGCGAUGGCAGAUGUGCUGGGACGAGCCGGGCUGGUUGCCGAGGCCGAAGGUCUGCUGCUGGUGAUGCCCUUCCAGCCGCAUUUCCUCGCGUGGAAGAGCUUGAUCAGCGCUUGCAAAGUUCAUGGUAGCGGCAAGAACAUCGAUGCGGCAGCUCGUGCCGCAGAGAAACUCUUGGAGAUGGAAUUGGCGCUCUACGUGCUCAUGUCGAAUCCGCAAAAGCAGGAUUCAAGGUUGCCUUCCAACGUUCAAGUGCGGCCUUCUAGGUUUUUCAAGAUUUGCACGCUGCACCCUAGGAAGAAAAAAACAUAAACACAAAAUUUGAAAUUCGUUCAUUAGCUUGUGGGAAGAAUUGCGAUUACUGCAAUUUCGGUUAACUUUCUAGCAUCUAAAAAUGUAACAUAAUACAAACAGAAAAAUAAUUAUUAAUUAAUUAAUUUUAAAUGGAUAAAUGAAGCAUAAACCAUUUUCUGAUCCCAUUGCUGAUCACUACUGAUGCAUGAAUCUAUUUGGGCAUGUUAGAUUACUCAAUAGAUUGUCAAAAGCCUACCAAUGUAGCAUUUAUUUAUAUGCUUUAGAGUUCUUAUCUUCCAUAAAUCAAACUUUCAAAUAGUUUAAUUAUGUGCAGAUUAUUUACCACAGAAAGUAUUGUGAUAAUAAUAAGAUUCCCUAUUAUGGUCAACUUGAUCUGACUAAAGAAAAAUCACUAUUUAAUUAAAAAAAUUUGGUAGAUAUUCAAAAUUAGGUGAUUCAUAUGAUUUAAUGGGAUUUUAUAUCAAAAUAAAGUUAUAAUAAAUAUAUACAAAUUGUGGAAAAAAACAAAUCAAUUGAUAAACUUCUUUAUUAAAAUAGUUUUUUGGCUAUGCAGAAUAUCAACAAUUUGCAUAAAAAGUAUUUUUUGUCAACUUAUUGACUAUACAAGAAUGAUGCAUAAAGUGUAUGUAUAUAGAAAAACACAAAUCACAUGAAAGUAUUUUUUGGUGAACAAAAUAAAGAUUAUUUUACUAUUAGGAUUUAGACAAUUUAGUAACUAUAAUAUAUGGUGAAAUUUACAAAUAAUAAUUUGUUGACUCUUGAUGUAAUUUUUGGAACUAAAAACUAUAGAGUAAAGUUUUCAUUUAUUUUAAAGUGAAUAAUUUUUGAUAAUUUAUAGUUCCUAUUGUACACCAUGUUUAUUUCUUAUUAUCAUAAAAAAAUGGUAUUUUAGUUAUAUGGGAUAAUGAGAGAUGAGAGAAUAUAUGAAAAAUUAAAUAAUAACUUUUAAUAAUUAAGUUUUAAAACAUAUACCAGAUUGGAAUGAAUGAUAAUUUAACAUUGUGAGUGCUUGGAAUAUGAAAAGGAAAUACAGUGAAUGUGUAUAUCAAUUACCUCACAAAUCUUCUCAUCCAACUCUAUGGAAGGUGCAAGAGCACAGAUUGAGCAUCUGUUUGAUCAGAUGCCACAAAGGGAUAUUUCUGCAUGGAUGAUUUUUAUAACAGCUUGUGAAAACCGUGGAAACUUGGAGGAAUGCCGAUCAUUGUUUGAUCAGGUUCCAGAAUGGGAUGUAAAUUUCUGGAACUCUCUACUUACAGUAUAUACCCACAACGGGCAUAUGGAUCAAGCAAGGCAGAUCUUUGAUGGAAUGGUAGAACACAACAUAGUUUCUUGGGCUGUUAUGGUUACUGCGUAUGCAAGAAAAGGUGUUGUUAACGAAAUUUGUUUAUGAGAAUCCCCGAAACCAACAAGCUGGGAUGAACUGUUCUUGUCACUGCAUAUGCCCAGCUUGAGCAUAAUAAAAAAGCCAAGGAGCUUUUCAGUAAAAUGCCACACCACGACUUAAAUCUCGUGGAACGCAAUGCUAGCGGUAACGUCCAGCCUAAGAAGCAAGGUCUCUGUUUGAUGCCAUGCCACAGAAGAACGUUGCAUCGCGGUCGACAAUAUAACAGCACUGGCCGAGAGAUACCAGCUCGAAGAAGCUCGCAUUCACCUCCCCGACGACGUGGUGUGGACUGACAUGAUCUUGGCCUACUCCAACCACGGCCACCUCGAAGAAGCCAUGAAGAUGUUUGCACGGAUGCCACAGCGCGAUCUCGUCGCUUAGACGGCAAUGGUGGCGGCAAUUGCUUUGCACGGGAGGUUGAUGGAUGGCAUCUUGUUCGACCAAAUGUCCCAGCAUGAUAUCGUCGCGUGAAACACGAUGCUGGGAGCUUACAUCCAGAGCAAUUGCCCUCGUCCAGCGCGGGAGCUCUUCGCGACCAUGAUGGUGAGAGACACAGCGAGCUGGAUUGCCGCGAGCACUCAAAGGGGGAAUCUCUUGCAGGCCGGGAAGAUCUUCUCCACGUUGCCUGAUCGGAGCAUUGUGCCGUGGAACGCGAUGAUCCAUGGCUGCGCACAGAAUGGCCACGCUGAGUUUUUGACAGCAUGGCGAUGGAGAAACGAGAUAAGUUUCCAGGCGAUUCUCCUGACUUGCGGAAGCUCCGAGUGGCACUCAACUACUUUCGAUCUAUGGUGGCCGAGUACAGCAUUUCUCCAUGUGAUUCACUUCCAGGCGAUGGCAGAUGUGCUGGGACGAGCCGGGCUGGUUGCCGAGGCCGAAGUGUUGGAGCAGGAAUCAAGGCGUCAAGGACACAGGAAUCUGCAGCAGGAAUCUAGGAAAGAUUAAAGAAGAUGAACGAGUAUAUAAGACUGUAUACAACAAGCAUUCAACAGCAGCUUUUCCCGUUCCAUCAUGGUAUCAGAGAAUUUUCUGUUCAGCAGGGCAGUGGGCUUGAUGCAACGUAAUGCAGAUCAUGAGAGCCAUCACAGGCAAAGCUCUGCCUCAGUAGGGCUUCUUCCUAUUCUUCCCCUGCACUCUGUCUCUGUAGAGAUUUUUUGAUAGGCGGCAGCAAGCUGCAUGGAACAGUGAUAGGGUCAGGCAAGCAGUGUUCCAGUCUUGUGUGGAUUUGCAUGCAAGUCGUGCACAGCAGUCAAGAUCUUGAGCAAUGUUCAGGAUAAGGCCGAACAGAAUUUGGUGGAGCAAGAGGGUCCGAUCAAGUUGAUCUUGUUCUGCAGGCACUGUCAAGAUUGACACCUGUCGAUUGAGAUGUCGACAGGUGAUGGGCGCAUCCUGACUAUCGCGAGCAAAAGCGGACAUACCCCGAGUCCAGGUGAUGGUGUCCCUCGUGAAGGAGUCCACUUAGCAACCAGCAGGGAUUUGGAAGGAUUUCCCGUGGAAAUUAGUGCUGCUCUGUGCGAGGCCUACCGUCGCUGGCAGGGAAAUUGCGGAGACUUUCUUUGCGAGCUGUCAUCUGGCGGUGUUCUUCGCGCAUAUGAUCCAGCUAAAUACCGGGACUGGAUACAGGAACUCGAUUGGUUGGUUUGACAGCGCUGGUUUUUUCAGCCCGAUCCAGCCAUUCGAUGGCCCUGGAUCGCUCGACGAUGUGGAGACGCUCCUUGGCAGUGGAAAAAGGAAGCUCGAGCUCUUCCACCGACACGGCCGGGGCUUGUUCCACCGUGGAAGACGAGGGUGGCGAAGUGGAAGACGUGACUUCUAGCCGCAACAAGCUCUCCAAUCUUGUCGUUUCCAGCGGCGGCAGGCUCGCGAAGCUCGAGGUUGGCGAUCCAAAACUUGUCGACGUCAAAGCAGCGUUUCUAGCGGGGCUCGGGCGACUCUCGGCAGUGGCGACUCUCGGCAGUGGCCGAUGUUACUUCGGUGUACAAAGUUCUUUACGACUGUCCUGGCAGUCAGGCUCGCCGAGAAGCGUUUGAGACGCUCAGUGCGAGGUGGGGAUGUGAAUUUGCAUCAGGGUUGGUAGGGGUGUUCUCGAAACGAGCUUCUCAGUGUCAUAUGGUUUUGGACUCCACCUAGGGUGUGGGGAUAUAUCUUAGUCCGGAGAGUCUGUCUCGUCUGAGUUGCAGAGGCACGGAUAUUGACGUCUUGCUGUGCCGUGCGAUUCUUGGCAAAGCUGAGCUUGUGCGAGAUACACCACCAGUGGAUGCUACUGAGGUCUUGCUGCAGCACAACAAACCGGAGACCUUCACCACAGAUUGUCACAGAGAUUGUCUUGAUGAUGGCUGGUCACACCCAAGCAGGGCAUGGAUUCCUUUUCCUAUCUUUUUAUUCUCAUAGUUUGACCUUACAGCUUGGCAUCGUCAACUACUUGUGGAAGGCCAAAGGAUCUGAUACACAUGCAAGGACUGUUGAACGAAGCUACAAUGAAGGCUCUUUGGGAAACUAAGGUACCUCAAUAUUAUUCAAGUUUGGUUUCAAUGUUUGGAGAUGAUUUGUGGUGCAAUAGUAGACGACUUCAACCGUCACUCCAUUGUCUGUUGUGACUCGAUCCAUUGUGAUCAGAUCCACUCUUUCAUUUCUUUCUCGAAGAAUUUCGAAGAGCUCUAGCCAUGUGAGCAUAAGUCUUGGAGAUGAAGAUGCUGUCUCGGCAGAAUUUCAUACAAUUCUGGCCACACAUUGGACCCUCCAUGGUCAAGACGAAAUUGGGGAGAGCAAAGAUGGCAGCAUUUCAUACAAUUCUGGCCCCACAUUGGAAUCUCCUUCCAGAUUUCUGCACCAUACAAGCAUGGUGGGAAGGAGAAGAAGAUGAUGAGAUGCAUCUUAUGCAACGCUGAAAUCUAUGAUGUACCAGUCUUCAGACAGGUACAGCACUUACUCUUUUGUACUUACAUGUGUUUUGAAUGUAUAGGAUAUCUGUAAGAUGGAUUGCUAUGGAGGGACAAUGUUCUCUUACGCAACCAAGACGAAGGUAUUUCUUAUUUCUGGCAUUAAACCAAAGGUGGCAGGUUACAGUGCUAUCAGGAUACUGCUGUAUUAGUACUAAGCAGAUUUGCCACUCUUGGAGGAAAAUACAAUGCCAUAGUGCUCCUAGAGCCUCCAACUCAGAGAAAGGUACAAUUCUACAUGGCACUGACCCUAGAAAGUGUAGGUCCAGAUACUUUACAGGUCUAGCCAGAAAAUGAUAGGUCUUGGUCAGUAAUUUUGAAGUUUGUAGUAUCUUCUAAUACAUGGGUUCUACGUGUUCACAACAUAAGUAUAUUGCAAACUUCUUAAGGUGUUUCUAAACCACGUUCUGAGGGGGAGAAAAAGGAGAUGCUUUACCAGAACGUGUUUCUCAAGUCAUAUAUUUUGAUGAGUGCUCCUUCUGGCUCUCGUACAUGGACACUGCUAGGUUCUUCUUGGAGAGCAACUCAAUCCAGGACAGCAGCGGCAGAUGCAAGAGCUGUGUGCUGAGGAUUGUGGAGCUUGUUACCCAGAUGGAAUGCCAGGGAUCAGCAUGUUCGUCGACACUUUCAUGGAGGACAUGGAGAUGAGGGAGACGAUCCGGGCCGACAUAGCUGCCAUCCCCGAGCGGCGAGUUUGAACGUUGACAAUAAACGAUACAACCAGGUACAUUAUUUUAAUUUACUAAUACAGUGAGUUUUUGGUGUAGCAUGCAAUGUUGCUAUGGAAGGCAGCUAAAGAAACACUCUACGUUUUGAAUUGCAAACAACCCUGAAUGACAACACAGGUGAUUGCCUGGAAAGAAUGAAUACUUUCUCAUGAAGAUCUCAACACUUGCUACUGAUAGGCAUUGUGAUCAUGGGGGCGAACUUGGCAGAGCUGAGGAGUCCACUGACAACAUGAUCACAUACUAGUACGUGCUGUGCAAUCAUGAGCGUGAAUGUGGAGCUCAGAAUCGAUGAAAAGGAGCAGCUGGAACUCCAAGACGAGCCAAUACUGGUUCCAAUGCUCCAUGCUUACGAGUGCAAGCUGCUUGCGAAGGCAACUCUGGACACAACAGUUCACCACAAGCUAGGACCGUACCAACGCAGGGGGAGUAGGCGAUAUGGUCUGAUCUCUAGGAUGGAUCAGAUCAAGGGGGAGUGUUGGAGCACGAAUCAAGGCAUCAAGGACACAGGAAUCUACGGCAGGAAUCUAGGAAAGAUUAAAGGAGAUGAACAAGUAUAUAAGAUUGUAUACAACAAGCAUUCAAUAGUAGCUUUUCCCAUUCCAUCACGAAGGUCUGCUGCUAGUGAUGCCCUUUCCUCACGUGCUUGAUCAGCAGUUGCAAAGUUCAUGGCAGCGGCAAGAACAUCGAUGCUGCAGCUCGAGCCGCAGAGAAUAUCUUCAUGAUGGAACCAGGGGACUCGGCGCUCUACGUGCUCAUGUCGAAUCUGCAAAGGCAGGAUUCCAGAGAAAGCUUGCCUUUCAUGCAUGACCUUCGAACAGCUCGAACUGGGACAGCAGGAAGAAGAGAGAAAAGUAAGAAACAUAAACACAAAUUUUGACCAACCUGAUGUGAUCUAACCAAAUUCAUUCAAAUGAAUUUGCUUGUGACCAGCGAAGAGAAUUGUGAGCAAUUUUCGGUUGCAUCUAUAAAUGUAACAUAGUCUGCAAAUAUUUAUAACUUUAACAAGACUUAAUAUCAGAAAAUAAUUAUUAAUUGAUUAAUUUUAAACGCAUAAUACCAUGCUGGAUGGCUGAAGCAUAGACCACUUUCUGGUCCCGUCACUGAUCACUCUGCGUGAUUAAUCUGUUUGGGUGCUGGAUUGCCCAAGAGAUUGUCAACAGCCUCCUAGUGAGAAGAGACGAUGUAGCAUUUACCACUUUUCUUGCAGCGUAUACACUCCUAAUAUAUAUGCUCCAGAGUUCUUAUCUUCUAUUUCGACCACUGACUUGGUUCUAUCGAGCUUUGAGUUUGAGCUAAAAGAGGGACUUCAUAGAUAUAGAUACAUUUUCGGCUUGUUCAAUUUUGACAUGAUCAUUAACACUAAAUAGUGCAGCAUCGAUAGUUUAGAUUUCAUAAAAACAGAAUAAAAAAUUAACAAAAUAAAUUUGUGAUCAUCCUGGCUAUUGAUUGAUGGUUCCUCCUAAACUUUUGUACCCCGAUGAAAAGCGAGGAAGGCAACAGGACCUUCCUGUGACUUACUCAAGCCCAUAGAAGGGACUGACAGAUAAAUGACGAGCUUUCGCUCUUCCUGCUAUUUGUUUUUCUCUUGCAGUGCCUGCAAUCAAAGAGUAGCAUCUAGACAAAUUGGUUUCCAAGAAACGUACCUCGUCAAGUUCCCUGUCUCUCUCAGAGGUGGAAGAAUUCACCAGGAUACAGAAAGGCUCGUACCUGGUCGGCGUUUUCACCUGUCAGAGGAGGGUGCCCCGGAGCAGAUGGCUCCACCUCCAAAUCACUCUUGACCCGCUUGGGAUCAUUGGCUGUCAACUUCCAGACGAGGUUCUCGUCGCUCAUGAUCUGGGGGCUGUUCUCCACAUCGCGCUUCCUGAUCGAUUCAGCUUCGUCAGUCCAUAUUGUCAGCUCAAGUGCAGAGACUACUAACCUGUGGGAAAAAGGCCGGAUGCGGGGCUCCAUCAUGAUGAACUUCUGCAUUUGUUUCUCCAUCUCAGCCCGCUUCUUUGCCAGUGCUGCGACAUCUCCAGGAUCGAACACGGUGCCAGAACGAUCCGCCACCUUUCGUCCUUGUUCCCGUCCAUGAAACUGCUCUGGAACCCCGUCGCGUCGAGAUGAUAGGCGCACUGGGAGCUCGUUUGCAGCCAUUUUCUCGCCUGCUGGAUGAUGAGAGUAGCCACCAGUCGAGAAGAGUGGAUCAUCCUCCGGAGUGGCUGAGAACAGCCUUGGCUUGUCGUCAACUUCAUGCGCAGGAAAGACGACGAGAGGAUCCUCCAUCGUGACGUUUUCCCGGCUUCCCUGCUGGCCAUGCACUGGAUCAGCAGCACGAAAGAGUGGAUCGUUCCCGGACGCAGACUUGUGGCGAGCACCAGCGGGAAGAGCAGACGGUGGCAGCCGCCUUGGUGGCCUCAGGAGCUCGCGAAUUCUGUGGUCAGCAGCCGGCUUCUUCCUGCCAGCUUUCAACUGCGAUGAUGGUCGAGGCUCCACUUUGGUAAUGAGGUGCUCCCGCUGGUUGCUGCUGCUGCCGCUGUUGCCACCGCUAGGUUGAUGGCCAUACUCCACCAGGAUGUCGUCGUGGUGGAUGUCACCGUGCACCUUGUUCCUUCUCCUCUUCAAGAGUAUCCAGACUCCAGUGCCGAUGGCUACCAGUGCGAGCAGGAGCAGAACGAUGCCUGCCGCGAGGACACCAGGUGAUGCCACGAAUGCUGCUGCUGAAGAUGGUGCUGACGACGCCGUAGGUGGAGAGGUGCCCAAGCCAAGGGGCCUUGGUUGCCACGUUAUGGUCGAAGGUGGUGGCGAUGGCGGCCUUGGGUUCCACGUUAUGGUCGAAGGUGGUGGCGAUGGCCUUGGGUUCCACGUUAUGCUCGAAGGUGGUGGCGAUGACGGCCCGGCCCUCCUUGGUCGCCAGGUUACAGUGUCGGCCUUGUUGGGCGGCGAAGAAGAAGGUGGCGGCCCUGUAGCAGCUCCAUCACCAGCUCGUCGAUGUCCAGGGUGCCUCUUUGGCUCCGCUGCUGGAUGUUCCUUUGUGGGCGGAGAGCUCGGUGGUGGAUGUCCAGCUCCAUGAUGCUCAGGAGAACUCGGUGGUGGCUUUGCUGGUGAGUGAUGUCCCUCUGUGGGAUUUGCUGGUGAGUGACUGUGCCUCUUGGCUGGCGCCGGUGGAGACCUCUUUGGUGGCGGAGAUGAAGUUGUCGGCGCCCUCUUUGGCGAUGGUUUGGGCGGCGGCGUCCUCCUCGUGUGCUCCCGGUGAGGCGGCGGGGGCGGUGGCGUGGAGAUUUUGCGAGCCAUAGUUAGAGAUGAAGCUUACCAGAGAGAGUCGCAGUAUUUCAGCUCAAGCUCGCUUGCUUACCAGAGAAAACUCGCGCUUGCUUACUUCCCCUUUCUUAGGGCAUUAAAGUGUCUGAAAGCUAAGUACGUUGUAGCGGCCAAUAACGAGCCCGUAGAACAAAGUGAGGCGGGACACGUGGAUGAUGACAUGGAGAGAGAUGACUUGGCAUGGGGUCCGACGUGGCGGGGAGGAGACCGGUUUGUUACAGAGGAUCGGGCGGCGCAUCAGGGGGGACUUCUUGGGAUGCAGCGGGGCGGCGAUAAGAAGGCGUGGCGGGAGCCAGGGCAGGGGGGAGAUCAUCUCAGGAGCAAACCCAAGGCGCUGGCAAGCAGGGGCUAUCAAGAUCCGACCAAGGUGAGGGCUUUGACCGGGUGUGGACUCCAGUAAGCCUCGCCCGGGCUUACGCCCAUUUUAAGAAAUGAUGUGUGAAUGGUAUUUUUCGUACAAAUAGAAGAAUAGUAUAUUCUUGAAAGAUAUAAGAAUUUGAAAUCUGGGCCGUCUAAUUGACAGUCAUUGUUGUACAAUCUAGACCGUGCAUUUAAAACUUUCUGGACCGUUCCUUUAUAUACAAUCUGAGCCGUACACUGCAUAAAAUCUUGGCUGUCGUGUUAAUUAAAUCAAAGCCGUCGAUCUGACAUGAUCUCAACCGUCCCAUAUUUAACUGACACACACACACUUGGCUAAUGCGAUUCUUUUAACAUAUCUAUCUGUAAGCUUGUAAUACGAACUUGUAAUGGAAUGGCGAUUUUCGGGAACUUAGUGAUCCUCAUUUGAAGGGUUGGAGAGAUAUUAUAGAAACGAGAAGAAAGUCUCAAACAUGGAUAGAUAAGGACUCCCACGACAACUCUCUAGCAUUGUGUGCUGGCUCGAGCUAUAAAUAUGAGCCCAAAUCAAACCACUUCUAACAAGCUUACUCUAGCAGAUCAUGAAGAACAAGGCUUUCUUCAUGUUGUUUUUGGCACUCGCCAUAUUUGUGAUGAUGCUGGCCAUGGGCGUGGACGUGGGAGGAAUCGCAAAGGCUGCUGCCCAGCGCUGCCAGUCGGGGCGGUAUUGGUAUGAAAACAGUUGCCACCGUUGCCAGAGGGGUUGGAGCUGGCGCAACCGAAACCUCCAGUUUCACGGGGUAAGCCCAAGCUAAAAAUCAGCAUCAUAAUUGCCUUUGAUGUCAUCAUUCUGCAGUGCCAAGCUCAAUCAAGACACUGAUGACGUGUUUUUUGUAUCGUGGGAUGCUGCAUGGCAUUGCAUGAGUUCCAGCAAUAAAAUAUACAUUGUUCAAGCCUUGAUAUAAAAUGUCUGAAUCUUCUCGUCUCUUCUCCAAAUCUCGGACUUCCAAUCGAUUGCUCCAAUGAUCGGCAAGCAAUAAGACUCGAUUGGAGCAUCAAAACCAGGCCCAGGCACACCUAGCGGUGGGAGUGAAGGUCGGGGGGAUCACCAAGGCGAUGGCGCAUCGCUGCUGCGGAGGAUGGUAGUGGGAUGGAUUUCGCUGCGUGCAAUGCAAUUAGUACGGGUGUGACAACAGCUGCCAUCGAGGGUGGCGCUGGAAUGGCAGCCGCUGCUUCCGCUGAAGAAUUGCCAAAGCUCGGGCCUCGAAGAACCACGGGAACGAAUCUCGAAUCAUGAAAAGUGAUAUAUAUAUAUAAAAUAAGAGUAUGUUUUAGAGUCUAUUCACGUGAGACUGUCAAUGAUAAAAUGGUGCGUUUCCUGCAAAGUUGUUGCUGCAGUGUAACGUUAGGAACUUUUUCAUAUAAUCUGGACUCAAAUUUAUAUAAACUGUGAAAAAACUAAAAAUGUUGUCUUUACUCAUCUGGAUUCACAGUUUCACUUCGUGUGUUGUUCUAUGUCCCAGCAUUACAGAAAAGAAAAGGAAUUGACAAACACGGAACGACUUCCUCAACUAACUUUUAAAGGACAAAAAGAUGCCGUCCCAAGAGGCGCCACUCAAGCAUUGUAUGCUGCCUCGAGCUAUAAAUACGAGCGGCCUUACAGAUCAAAUCACUUCUCUCGAAUAUACUAUAGUUUCAUAGGCUUGCUUGGUGUUGUUUCGGUUCUCACCAUGUUGCAAAGGCGCUCCCUGCCACCGAUGGCGCUGGUAUGGCGGCUCUGUGAUCGUAAGUUUCCUCUCAGGGAUUGUUUUGCAAAGUUUGGCUUGUUCUUUGAAAGCGCAUUUAAAUAGGAGCGAUAUGAAGAAAAAGUGGCAUUGAAAAAUCGAAGCUCUAUCCAGGAAAACACCGGUACUACCACGCAGACGUACUUCAAGCCUCUAGAACACAGCAGUCAGUGCUGCCCGGUCCUGCUGGUCGGGCAGUAGUCCCCCCGGCUCACCACGAGUGGACGAUCUAGAGCAGCGUGCAUUGUCGCUCGACGACUACGCGCAACUUCUCACAGCUUGCAUCGAAUUGCGUCAAGGCGCCACGCGCAGCCACCACCAAUCCAGCAGGUACCUCGCAAAUCUUCUCAUCCAACUCUAUGGAAGGUGCGAGCGCGCGGAUUGACAUGGCAGGUGUUUAUCAGCAUCCACGAGCCCAACAGAUUCUCCUGGAACUUGCUGUUUGGCGCUUAUGCCCAAAGUGGGUAUCUUGAGAAAGAAAAAGAGCUGUUUGAUCAGAUGCCACAAAGGGAUAUUGUUGCUUGGCUGAAUUUUAUGACGGCUCGUGCAAACCGUGGAAACUUUGAGGAAUGCCAAGAAUUGUUUGAGGUUCCAGAAUGGGACGUAGUUUUCUGGAACUCUCUACUUAAAGCAUAUGCCCAUAACGGGCAUAUGGAUCAAGAAAGCCAGAUCUUUGAUGGAAUGCUAGAACACAACAGAGUUUCUUAUGGUUCCUGGGUAUGCAAGAAAGGUCUUGUUAACGACGCGCUAAGUUUGUUUAUGAGAAUCCCCGAAACCAACGAGCUGGGAUGAACUGUUCUUGUCAGUAAAAUGCCACACCGCGACUUAAUCUCGUGGAACGCAAUGCUAGCGGCAACGUCCAACCUGGAAGAAGCAAGGUCUCUGUUUGAAGCCAUGGCACAGAAGAACGUUGCAUCGUGGUCGACAAUAUCACAGCACUGGCCGAGAGAAACCAGCUCGAAGAAGCUCGCAUUCUCUUGGAUCGACCUGAGGACUUACAUGAUCUUGGCCUCGGCCACCUCGAAGAAGCCAUGAAGAUGUUUGCACGGAUGCCACAGCGCGAUCUCGUUGCUUAGUCGGCAAUGGUGGCGGCACUUGCUUUGCACAGGAGCUUGAUCGAUGCCAGAGUCUUGUUCGACCAAAUGCCACAGCACGAUAGCGUCGUACAUCCAGAGCAAUUGCCCUCGUCCAAGCGCGGGAGCCCAUGCUGGUGAGGUCACAGCGAUCUGGAUUGCCGCGAGCACUCAAAGGGGGAAUCUCUUGCAGCCCGGGAAGAUCUUCUCCACGUUGCCUGAUCGGCUCAUUGUCCCGUGGAACGCGAUGAUCCAUGGCUGCGCACAGAAUGGCCAUGAGCGAAAGCCACUGAGUUUUUGGCAGCAUGGCGAUGGAGGGCGAGGCGAGAAACCAGAUAAGUUUCCAGGCGAUUCUCCUGGCUUGCAAUCACGGUGGGAAGCUCCGUGUGGCACUCGACUACUUUCGAUCUAUGGUGGCCGAGUACAGCAUUUCUCCAUGUGAUUCACUUCCAGGCGAUGGCAGAUGUGCUGGGAUGAGCCGGGCUGGUUGCCGAGGCCGAAGGUCUGCUGCUGGCAAUGCCCUUCUAGCCGCAUUUCCUCGCGUGACAAUUUGCAAAUAAUAAGUUGUUGAUUCUUGAUACAAUUUUUGGAACUAAUCAUUAUAAAUUAAAGUUUUUAUUUAUUCUAAUCACUAUAAGGUAAAGUUUUCAUUUAUUUUAAAGUGAAUAAUCUUUGAUAAUUUACAACUUCCAUUAUACACCAUGCUUGUUUUUUAUUAUGCUGCUGGAUGUUCUUUUUUGGGCAGAGAGCUCGGUGGUGGAUGUCCAGCUCCAUGAUGCUCGGGAGACCUUGGUGGUGCUCCAUGAUGCUCGAGAGAGCUCGGGCUGACCCCCAAAUUCGCGAGCUCCUGAGGCCACCAAGGCGGCCUUCCCACUGGUGCUCGCCACAAGUCUGCAUCCAGAAACGAUCCACUCUUUCGUGCUGCUGAUCCAGUGCAUGGCCAGCAGGGAAGCCAGGGAAACGUCAUGAUGGAGGGAUCCUCUUGUCGUCUUUCCUGCAAAUGAAGUUGACGAGCAGACAAGGCUGUUUUCAGCCACUCGUCCUGAUCCGGAGGAUGAUCCACUCUUCUCGACUGGUGGCUACUCUCAUCAUCCAGCAGGCAAGAAAAUGGCUGCAAACGAGCUCCCAGUGCGCAUAUCAUCUCGAGGCGACUGGGUUCCAGAGGAGUUUCAUGGCCGGGAACAAGGACGAAAAAUGACGGAUCGUUCUGGCACCGUGUUCUGGAUCCUGGAGAUGUCGUAGCACUGGCAAAGAAGCGGGCUGAGAUGGAGAAACAAAUGCAGAAGUUCAUCAUGAUGGAGCCCCGCAUCCGGCCUUUUUCCCACAUGUUAGUAGUCUCUGCACUUGAGCCAGGAAGCGCGAUGUGGAGAACAGCCCCGAGAUCACGAGCGACGAGAACCUUCUCUGGAAGUUGACAGCCAAUGAUCCCAAGCGGGUCAAGAGUAAUUUGGAGGUGGAGCCAUCUGCUCCGGGGCACGCUUCUCUGACAGGUGAGUUCUUCCACCUUUGAGAGAGACAGGGAACUUGAUGAGGUACGUUUCUUCAAAGUCAAUUUGUAUAGAUGCUACUCCUCGAUUGCAGGCACUGCGAGAGACAAAACAUAAGAACAAGUGAAAAAAAAAAAAAGAAUUGAGAGCGAAAUCUGGCUUUCUCUUCAGUCCCUUAAGGUCCUCUUACCUUAAAUGCUUUUCAUAGGUGUACAAAUCAUCGAUAUACAAUUAGCCAGAAUGAUCACAUAUUUAUUUUGUUAAUUUCUAUUCUGUUUUUAAGCUAUUUUAUGCUGUAUUAUUGCACUAAUAGAUAUUAGACAACACCAGAAAUCCUACUGCCUCUCACUUGGUUUUUCUCAUGCAACUCAUAUCAAAUUCCAAAGUGGUUUUGGUCACAGGCCCCAGAAUGGCAUUUUGGAGUGGUGUUUGUCAUCAAUGAUGUUCUCCCUUGCAAGUCCAUUUUCCCCAGAAUCCAUUUUGCCCAAGUUUUGAGAUUGCAUAUGAGUGUGAUGGUUAAGUUUUAUAAUUAAUUUUAAUCUACUAAAUUUUGCUCUCUUUGCUUCAACAUAAUAAAUUUUACUUAAUGUUUGCAAAAUUGUCUUUUAGUUGCCCAUAAACAAUUACACUAAGUUGAAAAAACUUAAUUACUGUGUUAUUCACCUCUAACGAUGAGAUACCAUAUAGAUAAAUUUGAAAAUGAUUAUACAUAAGAUUUGUGAAUAUUGUAUUUAUCAAAUUUUACUUGAGAGUUGUUAAUAUUUCUUGCUUUAACAAUCACACCAUUAAUUAAUUUUUGGUACUUAUAAUUUCAAAUAAAACAAUGAUCUUUGCAAUAAGUAGUAAAUCAGUACUUUAUUUGAACUUUAAUAGUAAAUUGACGAAUUGCCUAAUUUAUCCUUAGAGUGUUUUGUUUUUUUGGACAAGAGUUUAAAUUUCAUAUUGGAGUUAUGAGUGCUUGGAAUAUGGAAAGGGAAUAUAGAAAAUGUGCAUAUCAAUUAACCCAAAAACCCUUAGCUUAUAUACAAGAGUGAGUGAUCCAAAUUAAACUAAUCUGACGGCUACCAAAAUUUCACUACAUUAAGAUUAGUAUAUGGCAUUAUAGCCAUACACUUGGACCUCACAUAAUCCCCUCCUCUGAGAAUAAUGGAAGACCAUCAAGGUUCUCUUGUAAAUGGGCCGGGAUCUAGAGGAACGUCAAGAGGAGGUAUCAGCAGAUUUGUAGGUGGUCUCAAUUGUUCAUGAUCCCUUUGUAUGAAGCAUUUCAACUAAUGUACAUGCACAAUUUAUGGGGGAUUGGCCUGUUAGACAUUAUACUGAACCUCAUAAACUUGCAAUCCAACUUGUUGCAACACCUAAUAUAGUCCUUUCCACUAAGCAAAGAGCUCCUUAGAUAAACCACGUACCAUAAAGUGGGGAAAACAGACUAACACUAAGUCAUCCACUUUGUGGUGGAUGAUAAUAGGAGUUGUAACUUCGUUGUUGUCCCCUAAGUGUUCAGCAAACUUUGCUCGGACAAAUGGAAGAAUGCUUAUCAAAUAUUGAUCUCACCACCUAGCAUCGACAGCUCGUGGCAAUUGCAAAGGUAAACCCAACUCCAUUGGUAAUAUUGUAUCAUGACCAUAUAGAAGUUUAUAUGGUGAAGCACUAAUAUAACUCUAUAUACGCAUAUGUAUACCGAAGAGAUGGCAAAUAACCAUCCCAAUUUGAAUGCUGAAAGUUCACAUAUUUCGUGAUCAUUCCUUUGAAUGUCCGAACAAGCCGUUCCACCAAACCAUAUGACUGUGGAUGAUAAAUACUCGUGAAAGUGUGGCAUAUCCCCAACCGAGACGUCAAAACAUGAAAUUCCUUAACUAUAAAUGCGGGAUUAUUAUCCAAAAGAAUCUGCUCCAGACAAGAAUGUUAGAACACCACUCGAUUGAGGAAGAAGUCUCCAAUAGUAGUUGUAAAAGCACUAUCAAGAGCACUAAUUUCCACCUGAUGAGUCAAAUAGUUAAAAAUAAUAAUAAUAUACUCAUUGUCAAUAGGAAAAGGUCCAAUAAGAUCAAAUGCCACCAACUCAAAUGGAUGGAAAAUUGCAAUUGACUUCAACCAUCCUUCCGCAGCAUGAAGGGGAGUAUUAUAAACUUGGCACCAAAUGCAACUACACACAUAUCGGAUAACAUCAUGUCGCAUCUUCGGCCGAUAGAAAGACCUGUGCAGCUUCUUGGUCACACGACGAUGUCCCAUAUGCCCACCUAGAAUAAAAGAAUCAUAGUAGGUAUGGAGAAACCGUAGAAUAAAGACAGAAGGCACCACCAGCCAUAAAGGAUCAUCAGGAUCCAACCCAACAAAAUAAAAAGAAGGCCGUCGUCAAGAAGAUACUAAGAAUGUAAAUGCUAGAAUGGCAAGUCAUCAGUAAGUGAUGCAAGACUUUUAAACCCAUAUCGAAACAUUCGAAUCCAUAGCUUAAGCUUUUGAGCCUUGCGAACCUCAUCAAGAGAAGGUAGAUCUUGCUCUGCCCCUUAUGAACACUGAACAUCAAGUAUAACAACCGCUGACGGCAUAGAAUCCUCGUUUAGAAAAUCCACAGAUGCCGGACAAUAGACUCAUCGAAAGCAUGAAAAAAGUGUGGAAAAGGAAGAGGAGCUUGAGAAAGGGCAUCAACAUUAGCCAUAGAACUCCCUGGGCGAUAAACAACAUCAAAAUCAUAUAUAUGAAGUUUCAAAGCCCACCAAGUAGUACAACCAACCAAGUUCUUUUGCUUCAAUAAUGAAGUAAUGGUAGCAUGAUUGUUGUGAAUAUAACUUUGGGUAUCAAAAAUUACCUGUCAGCUAGUCCUUUCGGAUACUCUUUCCUUACUGCCACGAUGGCAGGAGGUUGUUAUUGCUGGAUCUAUUAUCAAUCUCCACCUAAGCUAGUUGAGAAAUUGGUCAUCACAUGUGCACUUAGACCAAAAGGGCACUAAGGAAGGAAAUCUUACGUUGUCAUUUAGUUAAGUAUACUUGGCACGGUGACGAGAAACUCAUAUUGUUGACUUGCACUUGCUAGUGUUGGGAACCUUUGCAAUAUUGAGAUUGGUCCUUCAAUAUUCGCUAGAUGAUAGCUUACCGUGUCUACCAAACACCUUUGCUAUUAUACCUUUUGUGUUAGUCUCAUUCCAGUCCCAAAUGCUAUUUAUGGAAAGUGUUCAGAUUUGCUCAUUUGGCAUAUCUAUGGAAUGUAAAGAUUGUCCUGAACACAAUGGUGUUCAUCCCGUGUCUAAAUUCGCAAUCUAGGAACAUUCCAUAUUUAGUAAGUUUCGAGCUUGUCUUAGAGACUAACUCUUGGUACUAAGGGUGGAUUGGGGUGAAAGCCCAAAGCAUGUGUUCCUCAAGGGGGGGAGGGUUCCAAAUGUAUAAUAGGGAUAGUGGGUAGGUUAGACAUGGCUAACCAACCUGAGACAUAGUUUAACUCCUACUUGCGUGCUUGUCUUUGUUCUCCGUCCAGCUUGGGUCUAAGCCCAAAUUCCAUUCCAUGCUAGCUGAUGGAGUACUUAUAUCCUUGCAUUAGGCCAUUAGUAUGCUGAAAUAGGAGUGAAGGGACAGGAGCACGGAGCGACUUGGAAUAGUCCUAGAGCAACUAGCAUCCCAAUGCUAGGACCAACAUGCAAAACAGAGCUAAACGGAGUCUGGCGCUUAGGCUGUAUGCUUGGGAGUUACUCUAUGGUCCGGUUUCGUCAUUCCUUGGCUUUAUGCUUGGGAGUUUGGCACUGUUCCUUCGUUCAGUGGCCCAAGGCCCUGAAACUUGGGUUCCACACCAGGACACAUGGCAUAUGAUAUAUGGCAUGUAGCAUAUGUCAUGUGGCAUAAAGAGGGUUUAGGUUCCACUUUAUGGUGUUAUCCUAUGGUAAAUUACCAUAGGAUAAAGGGUAAAACCACAUGUGCUACAAUGAUCACCUUCAAGGAAUGUCUGAGAAUGAUAUAUAUAUGUAUGAAGUUUCUCGAAACCCCAGACUGCUGCUAAACACUCUUUCUCCAUCAUGGAGUAGUUCACCUCUACUAGUUGUAAUGUACAGCUUAUAUACGCAAUGGGAUGGUGCUGAACAGGCACACUCAGGCUCUUUUGCAUUAACACACCUCCAAGACCAAUAUCAGAAGCAUCCAUGUGCAAAAUAAAAAGUCAAGUGUAAUCAGGAUAUGCCAAAACUAGAGGAAUUGUUAAAAGCUCUUUCAAAUUCACAAAUGCUCGCUCACAAUCUGGAGAUCAGAUGAAAGAUGACAUUGAUGACUUUAACAAUGCUUGCAAUGGUGCAAUGCAAUCAAAAAAAUGAUCCACCAAAUAACCAAGAUACUACACCUGCCCAGGAAGCAUUGCACAUCAUUCACACACUUCAAAGUAGGGAGUUUUAGAACAACCACAAGUUUGUCAGGAUCAACUUACAAACCCUCACGAGAAAUACAAUACCCAAGAUAAAUUGUGUCCUUGGACCCAAACAUGCACUUCAACUACUUCAGCUUUAAACUAACGUUCCGCCGAUCCAACACUUUACAAAUAUCAUGAACAUAAUCAUUCCACGUCCCCUCCAAGUGGAUCAAGACAUCAUCAAUGAAGUCAGCAGUCACCUCUGGCAUAUCGUAAAGAACCUCAUUCAUCAUUCGCUAAAAAGUUGUUAAAGCAUUGUUCAAACCAAAUGGCAUCACCAAGAACUCAUACAAAUCAAAUGGUAUACGAAAAGCAGUCUUAAAAAUAUCUUCUUCGGUUAUCAGUAUUUGCUAGUACCUAGAAGGAAGAUUUAGUUUGGUGAACUAACGACUUCACCCUAGACGAUCCAAGAAAUUAGUAAUGUGAGGAAGAGGGUACACAUCUGGGAUCAUCACUUCGUUUAACGGAUGAUAGUCAAUAUAAAAACGAAUACUUCCAUUAAUAUGAGGUUCAUAUGCCCAAGGACUCCACGACUUUUGAAUAACACCCUUCUCAAACAUUUCUUUGAUGUUUGCAUGUAGAAUCUUAAUCUCUUUGGGUGACUGAUGACGAACAAGAACUUUGAUUAGACAAACAUCCCCAGUUAGAAUCAGAUGACGUGUGGCAAUCUUGGCCCUAGAUGGUAAGUCAAAUUCAAAGAGAUCAUAAUACUCCUUCAUGAGCCGAUUAACUACUACAGCACAAAAAUUGUUAGAGGGAUCAAAAAAGGGAAAAGUAGAAUAAAAUGGAAACAUAAGAGGAAAUAGUGGGGGGAUGAAAGUAAUGGAGGUAGAGGUAAAAGUAAAAAGACGAAAGGGUACGAAAAUGAAAGGAAUGGAUGAAAUAUAAGGAAGUAUGAAACAAGGGGGAGAAGCCUUAAAGUCAUAUUUGGCAUAAUUGCGCUACAACUAUAAUACCUUAAUUGAACUAUUUAUUUUUUUAUUAGUAUAAGGAAAAUUUUAAGUAGCAACAACCUACAUAUCUAUCAAAUACAAAGAAAAUUAUAAAAGUCAAAAUAUUGAUUCACUUACCAAUUUUAUCAUUUUAUUCAUCUUAAAAAUACCUAAUAAAUGCUUCUUCAUUUUGAAAAUUAAUUUCAAAAUAUUUGAUAAGUUCCUUAAUCUUAGCUCACUUAAUAGUAUCAUCAUAAAAAUUGUGUGAAUUAAAUGAUACUGUGAGGACCAAGUGUACAGCUAUAAUCCCGUAUACUAAUUUAGCAUAGUGGGAUUUUAGUAGCCAUCAGAUUAGUUUUAACCUAGACCACUCACUCUUAUAUAUAAACUAGAAUUUUUUGGCGCACAUUUUCUGUAUUCCCUUUCCAUUGUCCGUGCACUCACAUUGGUGGAGAUGAGGGGCACCUUUGAUUGUCCCUGAGAAGUGCUUGGAUUUGGGAUUUUGGUUUAAAUUUAGCUUUUGCAUUGUCUAAAUCUAGCUUUUUCCAUUUCCUUUCUUUUGUUCUUUCCCUUCAAGAUUUUGGUUUAAAUUUAGCUUUUUGCAUUGUCUAAAUCUCCAUUUCCUUCUAGGUUUUUGUCAUUCCUUUUUUUUUGUUCUUUCCUUUUUGUUCAUCUUCAUGGCAAAUUAGCAAUCUCCUCUUUUGACUCUAGAGCAGCAAUUGGUACAAUUACUUGAUGCUAUGCACUUGCAAUUGAACAACAAAACUCAGUUAAUGGCAGCGUGGUACAACUCCUCCUGCUUUUGGUGUCAAUCCUCGCGUUCGGCUGGAGUUUUUUCAUGGGAAUCUUGGGGAUGAUGUAUACCAUUGGUUUGAUCACUUCAUGGUGAUUGCCACAUAUCAUUCUUGAGAUGAUGCUCGAUGUUUGCAUGAGUUUCCCACGUGUCUCCAAGGGACAACAUUAUAGUGGUACAAUAGUUUGAGUGUAGCCACUCGUGGGGAUUGGAGUGUUCUCCUGGACAUCUUCAAAUGCACAUUCAAACAUGUCGACGAUUGUGAUGAUGCCUUCCAACAAUUGCAUCAUCUUCGCCAAGAGCCAUUGAGUCAGUGAUGUAAUUUAGUAUUCGUUUUCGAAGUCUUUUGUGGAGCCAAAUAUGUCGGAGCAGAUCAAGCUAGGAAUGUUGUGGCCAGCAUUUUAUCAAGAUUUUGUUGGAUUUAUGCAUGCACUUGCUCCAGCCACCUUAAUGAUGCGCUUUGUUUGGCACAACGUUAUGAAACGUCACCUCUUCCACUUCUCACUACCCGUCCUUCCACUCCUCUUCCUGUGGGUGAUGGUCCUAUUCCAAUGGAGGUUGAUGCUGCUCGAGUCCAAAGACAAGGGCGAGGACGUGGUCAUGGCCGUGACAUUCGCUAUUGGGCACGUAAUGAAGUUGGUCACACUUAUUGGCAUUGUUGGCAUUUUCCAGAUUGGUGACCUCCAUUUCCUGGGUGGAGACCUUGGCAUCAAUAACGUCCUGUUGGUGCUGCUGCAGUGGAAGGUCUAGACACUGAGAUGCAUCCAAGAAAUGAGGAGUCGCGCAAGUAAUAGAGCAACCUUGCGCAAAUAAGUCAGUGAUCCUUCCAUCUUUCUUUCAAGAGUAUCAUCAAGGGGUUCACUCAGCACCGAUUCAUCCAGUAUUUACUUUCCAAGCUUGUUUUUAUAACAAGAAGUCUCCUAUUAUUCUCUAUUGGUUAUUAUUGUUUGAUAUAAGUUCAAGUUUAUCUUCCAUUGCUCGAUCUGUUGCCACACGUUGCCGUUUACACUUGCGUCAUAUGGCGGAACCAGUUUUCAUUCUUUAUGGCAACGGCCGUACACAUGCAUAUGCACUGGAUGAGGUGGACCUGGUUGUGCGUGUGAGCGAUCUCGAGCUUGAGUUGCAGUCAUUGUGGGUGGUGCCGAGUCAAGCUUUUGACCUUAUUCUUGGUAUGGAUUGGUUGCAACGCAAUCAUGCCAAGUGUGAUUUUGAGGCUUCUCCCUCUUGUCUCAUACUUCCUUAUGUUUCAUCCAUUCCUCUCACUUUUGUACCUCUUUGUCCUUCUAUUUCUACCUCUGCUUCCAUUACUUUUGUUCCCCCACUAUUUCUUCCUAUGUUUCCAUUUUGUUCUGCUCUUCCCUUUUCCGAUCCCUCCGAUGAUCUUUGUGUUGCAGUGGUGGACCAGCUCAUGAAGGAGUAUUCUAAUCUCUUUGAAUUUAACCUAUCAUCUGGGGCCAAGAUUGCCCCGGUUGUCAUCCAAUUCCAACCGGGGAUGCCCGUCCAAUCAAUGUUUCUGUUCGUCGUCGGUCACCCAAAGAGAUCAAGAUUUUAAGUGCAAACGUUAAGGAGAUGUUGGAGAAGGGUCUUAUUCAGAAGUCGCGGAGUCCUUGGGCAUAUGAACUUCAUCUUGUGACGAAGCUUGAUGAGAGUAUUCAUUUCUGCAUCAACUAUCGUCCAUUAAACAAAGUGACGAUCUUGGAUGUGUACCCUCUUCCUCACACUGCUGAUCUCUUAGAUCAUCUGGGGCGAAGUCGUUAAUUCACCAAGCUAGAUCUUGCUUCUGGGUACUAGCAAGUACCAAUGGCUGAAGAAGAUAUUCCUAAGACUACUUUUCGUACACCAUUUGGAUUGUAUGAGUUCUUGGUGAUGCCGUUUAGUUUGAACAAUGCUCCAGCAACUUUCUAGCGGAUGAUGGAUGAGGUUCUUUGUGAUAUGCCAAAGGUGACUGCUAACUUCAUUGAUGAUGUCUUGAUCCACUCAGAGAGGACGUGGGAGGAGCACAUUCGUGAUGUUCAUAAAGUGUUGGAUCGGCUACGGGACGUUGGUUUAAAGCUAAAGCGAUUGAAGUGCGUGUUUGUGUCCAAGGACACAACUUAUUUUGGGUACCAUAUUUCUUGUAAGGGUUUGCAAGUUGAUCCUGACAAACUUGUGGCUAUUCUAAAGUUCCCUAUUCCGAAGUGUGUAAAUGAUGUGCAGCACUUCUUGGACAAGGUGCAGUAUCUCGGUCACUUUGUGGAUCAUCUUUCUGAUCGCACUAUACCAUUGCAAGCGUUGCUGAAGCCAUCAACAUCAUCUUUCAUCUAAUCUUUGGAUUAUGAGCAGGCAUUCAUGAAUCUCAAAGAGCUAUUGAUGACUCGUCCAGUUUUGGCAUAUCCUAACUACACUUGACCUUUUAUUUUGCGUGUGGAUGCUUUUAACAUUAGUCUUGGAGGUGUGUUGAUGCAAAAGAGCUCGAGUGUGCUUGGUCAGUGCCAUCCUAUUGUGUAUAUAAGUUGUACAUUAUAACCAAUGGAGAUGAACUACUCCAUGACAGAGGAGUGUUUAACAGCAAUCUGGGGUUUCGAGAAACUUUAUGUAUAUAUACAUGGUUCUCAGACGUUAUUUGAAGGUGAACAUGCUACUGUUACUUCAUUAUUGAAGCGGAAGAACAUGGUUAGUCAUACUACUUAAUGGGCUUUGAAGCUCCAUAUUUAUGAUUUUGAUGUUGUUCAUCGCUUAGAGAAUUCUAUGGCUGAUGUUGAUGCCCUUUCUUAAACUCCUCUUCCUUCUCCACUCUCUUUUCAUAUUUCUGACGAGCCUAUUGUUCUAGCAUCUGUGGAUUUUUUAGACAAGGAUUUUGUGCUAUCGGCGGUUAGGUUCGCGAGGCUAAGAUUAAUUCAUGGAUUUGAAGGCUUCGAGAUGGGUUUGAGAAUCCUACAUCACUUGCUAAUAAUUUACUUUUCUGGCAUUUACAUUCUCAAUAUCUCUUUGAAGAUGGCCUUUUUUAUUUUGUAGAGACAGAUCCUGAUGAUCAUUUACGUCUAAUGGUGCCUUCUGUCUUUAUUCCAUAGUUUCUCCAUGCCUACCAUAAUUCUCCUAUUCUAGGUAGGCAUAUGGGACAACGUCGUGUAAUCGAGAAGUUGCACAAGUCUUUCUAUUGGUUGGAGAUGCGACAUGAUAUUAUCCGGUAUGUGGGUAGCUGGGUUUAGUGCUAAGUUCGUAAUACUCCUCCUCGUGCUGCGGAAGGACGGUUGGAGUCAAUUGUAGUUUCCCAUCCAUUUGAGUUGGUGGCGUUUGAUCUUAUGAGACAUUUUCCACAGCCGAUUGCUGGCAAUGAGUAUGUUAUUAUUGCUUUUGACUACUUGACUUAUUGGGUGGAAGUUGGUGCUCUUGCUAGUGCCUCUACAAUUGCUGUUGGAUACUUCCUCAAUCAAAUAGUAUUCCAACAUUCUUGUCCAAAACAGAUUCUUUCGAAUAAUGGUCCUGCAUUUAUAGCUGAGGCAUUUCAUGUUUUGAAGUUUUAGUCGGGGAUACGCCACACUUUCAUGAGUGUUUAUCAUCCACAAUCAGAUGGUUUAGUGGAACGGCUCAUUCAGACAUUCAAAGGGAUGAUUACAAAGUAUAUGAACUUUCAGCAUUUGGAUUGAGAUGGUUAUUUGCCGUCUCUUCAGUAUGCAUAUGUCACAAGGGUGCAAAGUUCUAUUGGUGCUUCACCAUAUAAACUCUAAUAUGGUCAUGAUCUAAUAUUACUAAUGGAGUUGGGUUUACCUUCGCGAAUGCCACGAGCUGCCGAUGCUAAGUCGUGGGAUUAGUAUUUAACGAGAAUUUUUCCACUUGUCCAAGUAGAGUUUGCCGAACACUUAGGCUGCGUACAAGUGGGACGCUAAAACUCCCAUCAUUGUCCACCUACGAAGUACAAAAUGGAUGAUUUAGUGUUAAUCUGUUUUCCCCAUCUUACGGUAUGUGGUUUUUUUAAGGGGCUCCUUCACAGUGGAAAGGACCGUAUUGGGUGUUGCGGCAAGUUGGACUACAAGUUUAUGAGGUUCAGCAUGACAUCUAGCAGGCCAAUCCUCCAAAGAUUGUGCAUGUGCAAUAGUUGAAACGCUUCAUACAAAAGGAUCAAGAGCAAUUAAUACCACCUACGAAUUUGUCGAUGCCUCCUCCUGACGUUCCUCCAGAUCCUGGCCUAUCUACGAGAGAACUUUGAUGGUCUUCCAUUAUUCCAAGAGGAGGGAAUGAUGUGAGGGCCAAGUGUACAGCUAUGAUGCCGUAUACUAAUAUUAGCAUAGUGGGAUUUUGGUAGUCAUCAGAUUGGUUUUAAUUUGGACCACUUGCUCUUAUAUAUAAACUAGGGUUUUUGGGUUAAUUGAUAUACACGUUUUCUGUAUUCCCUUUCUAUAGUCCAUGUACUCACUUCCAUAAUCCAUGCACUCACAAUAUAUAAUAUCUUUAAAAUAUUUCUAUAUUUACAUCUAAAUAUCCCAUGAUUCCACCUUACAAAUAAUAUAUUUAAGUUAGGGUGCAGCGUGCAAAUCUUGAAAAACCUAGAAGGCCGCACUUGAACGUUGGAAGGCAACCUUGAAUCCUGCUUUUGCAGAUUCGACAUGAGCACGUAGAGCACCAAUUCCAUCUCCAAGAGUUUCUCUGCGGCACGAGCUGCCGCAUCGAUGUUCUUGCUGCUACCAUGAACUUUGCACAUGCUGAUCAAGCUCUUCCACGUGAGGAAAUGCGGCUGGAAGGGGAUCACCAGCAGCAGACCUUUGAGCCCAGCUUGUCCCAGCACAUCUGCCAUCGCCUGGAAGUGACUCACUUUUGGAGAAAUGCUGUACUAGGCCACCAUAUCGAAAGUAGUCGAGUGCCAGGGUGAGGCGAGAAAUGAGAUAAGUUUCCAGGUGAUUCUCCUGACUUGUAAUCACGGUGGGAAGCUCCAUGCUGCCAAAAAACUCAGCGGCUUUUCGCUCAUGGGCAUUCUGUGUGCAGCCAGGGAUCAUCGCGUUCCACGACACAAUGCCUUAAUCAGGCAACGUGGAUAAGAUCUUCCCGGCCUGCAAGAGAUUCCCCCUUUGAGCAGCAAUCCAGCUCGCUGUGUCUCUCAGCUCCCGCGCUUGGACGAGGGCAAUUGCUCUGGAUCUAAGCGUGUUUCACGCGACGCUAUCGUGCUGUGGCAUUUGGUCCAACAAGACUCAAGAUCCUGUGCAAAGCAAUUGCCGCAACCAUUGCCGUCUAAGCGACGAGAUCGCUCUGUGGCAUCCAUGCAAACAUCUUCAUGGCUUCUUCGAGGUGGCCGUGGUUGGAGUAGGCCAAUAUGAUAUUUUGGUUCCGCAUUUGAAAUUUUCUUCUUUUUCUAUAAUGCUCAUAAAAUCUCUCCAGCCCUUCAAAUGAGGAUCAUUAAGUUCCACAAAAUCGCCAAGACUCGGAGACAAUGCGACUGGAACCAGCAUCCAUACAAUGCAGCAAAUAACCUGUACUAAAUAAAAAUUUGGUUAACAAAACUUGUAAAAGCAUCCCAGAGCUUUGCAAAUACCCCAUACUUAUGGAAGCCGCAUUUACUACUUUGGAUAAAAGCCAAAUACAGGUCGGGUAUGUAAUAUUGCUUCUAUCUACUCGUUCUUCAUCUUCUGGAAGGAGCCUUUGAGCUCGUUGUAUGCGAAAACAAAAGAAAAGACAAGAAACAAAAUAAAAGAGGCAAACAAAAUUCUUGGCUUGUCUUCUGGAAGGAGACUGCCCCGUUUUCACGCCCUGCAUAAGAGAAACAAUCAAUAGAACUUUUGCAGAGGAAGAUAUACUCCACCUCCGGACAAUGGACUGGACACUUGCAGCACCCCACGUCCCCAAAGGCAUCCUGGGCAGCGUCACGCCCGAAGACCAGUCGAUAGAUCUUCUUCAUCCUCUCCAGCGAAGCGCCAGCGUACUGACAGACCAGAGUGGCAUAGACCUCGGGUUCUUCGGUGAUGACAUGUGCAGCCACUCCUCCUGCUUGCUGGAUUGAGCUGAGCCGUGGUCGUAGCUCGUCAGUGCAAGCGUCGGGCAUGUCAAAACCGAUUCCCGAUGCCGAAGAGAGAGCUGCAAUGCUCCUGGGGUCUUGGAUGAAGCCGCACCACCACCCAACAUCAGGGACGUCCCCGUUCCAGACCGCAUCCGGGAACAUGCCUGCUACUUUCACUCUGAAUGACUCCAGUAGCUUCCUCUUGAACAGGGCUUUGAGCGAACUCAAGGUCGACCGCAUCGAAGCCUUCUCCCGGUUUAGUGAAGUGAUCUGAUCUUUCAAGUCAGCGAUCUGCUGCCGCUGCUCCAAGUUCUCCUCUAUCAAAGCAGUGAUCUGCUCCAGCUGCACCGAGUUCUCAUCUUCCCAAGCAGCGAUCUUCACAUCCAAAGCAGCAAUCUGCUCCCGCUGCACCAAGUUAGAUCACUGCUUUGAAUGUGAAGAUUGCUGCCUUGGACGUGAAGAUCGCUGCUUUGGAAGACGAGUGUUGUCACAGACUUGCUACCACUAGACUCAGCUGCCAUCUCUACCGCUGCCUCCUUCAUCUUCCCUUUCUUCUCCUCCUCCACCUGCGCUGCCUGUGCCGCCACCUCUACCGCUGCCUCCCCCUUCAUCUUGCCUUUCUUGCACUGCCUGCGCUGCCACUUCCGCGAGCAACUUAGCCUUCGCAUAGUUCUGGAAACGCAGCGCCUGCCGGUAUAGCAGUCCAGUGUGAUCUUUGCUGUUGGCAUUAGGGCAGUACGCAACAAAGCCGCCCUGUUCUAUGAACUUAACGCACGGCCCAGCCUCCCUUACCAUGAGGAUGAAGGUUUCGCUCCACGCCAACCUCUUCCGAGAGACCUAGGGUGUUGAGCCACGCGUCCACGUCAGCCACGAAACCAUUGUCGUUGCAUAGAUCGUCCAUCUUCGACUCUGGGGCACCGGCCAGUCCUUGCGAAGCUCGUAGUAGAGGAUGGUCAGAGACACAGGGCUAACCGGUGGAUGCGGCGGAGGUGCCGGCGGCUGCGGUCUCUUCUGCUUCUCCUUGUUCUUGUACCCCAUCGCCCCCUAAUGCCCUAAUCCCGCCGGCUAACCUAGCCUUUCGUAGAAACUUAAAUGCCCUAAAAAAGGAAGCGAGCUUGAACUGAAAUGUAAGCUUGAUCUCUGACUAUGACGCCACCGCCCCCGCCGCCUCACCGGGAGCCGAGGAGGACGCCGCCGCCCAAACCAUCGCCAAAGAGGGCGCCGACAACUUCAUCUCCGCCACCAAAGAGGUCUCCACCGGUGCCAGCCAAGAGGCACAGUCAUUCACCACUGGUCAGUGAUCAGGAUGUGGAGGAGGCGUCUGUGCAAGCGAUGGUAGCCGGAUACUUUCUGUGCCACAGAGGGACACCACUCACCGGCAAUGCCACCAGCGAGUUCUCCUGAGCAUCAUGGAGAUGGACAUCCACCAGCGAGUUCUCCAGAACAUCAUGGAGCUGGACAUCCACCACCGAGCCCUCCGCCCACAAAGAGACACCAUGGACAUCGACGAGCUGGUGAUGGAGAUGUUACAGGGCCACCACCUUUUUCUUCAGCGCCCAACAAGGCCGACACUGUAACCUGGCGACCAAGGAGGGCCGGGCCGCCAUCGCCACCACCUUCGAGCAUAACGUGGAACCCAAGGCCGCCAUCGCCACCCUUCGACCAUAACAAGGCCCCUUGGCUUGGGCACCUCUCCGCCUACUGCGUCGUCAGCACCAUCUUCAGCAGCAGCAGCAUUCGUGGCAUCACCUGGUGUGCCCGCGGCAGGCAUCCUGCUCGCGCUGGUAGCCAUCGUCACUGGAGUCUGAAUACUCUUGAAGCGGAGAAGGAACAAGGUGCACGAUGACAUCUUGGUGGAGUAUGGCCAUCAGCCUGGCAGUGGCAACAGCCGCAGCAGCAGCAGCCACCAGGAGCACCUCAUUAAUGUUCCCCUGACCAAAGUAUUGCCUCGACCAUCUUCGUAGUUGAAUGCAGAAAGAAGGCAGCUGCUGAUCCCCGAAUUCACAAGCUCCUGAGGCCACCAAGGCGACUACGACCGUCUGCUCUUCCCGCUGGUGCUCGCCACAAGUCUGCAUCCGGAAACAAGCUCGCAGUGGAUCCACUCUUUCGUGCUGCUCAUCCAGUGCGGGAAACGUCAUGAUGGAGGAUCCUCUCGUCGUCUUUCCUGCGCAUGAAGUUGACGACAAGCCAAGGCUGUUCUCAGCCACUCCGGAGGAUGAUCCACUCUUCUCGACUGGUGGCUACUCUCAUCAUCCAGCAGGCGAGAAAAUGGCUGCAAACGAGCUCCCAGUGCGCCUAUCAUCUCGACGCGACGGGGUUUCAGAGCAGUUUCAUGGACGGGAACAAGGACGAAAGGUGGCGGAUCGUUCUGGCACCGUGUUCGAUCCUGGAGAUGUCGCACCACUGGCAAAGAAGCAGGCUGAGAUGGAGAAACAAAUGCAGAAGUUCAUCAUGAUGGACCCCCGCAUCCGGCCUUUUUCCCACAGGUUAGUAGUCUCUGCACUUGAGCUGACAAUAUGGACUGAUGAAGCUGAAACGACCAGGAAGGGCGAUGUGGAGAACAGCCCCCAGAUCAUGAGCGACGAGAACCUCGUCUGGAAGUUGACAGCCAAUGAUCCCAAGCGGGUCAAGAGUGAUUUGGAGGUGGAGCCAUCUGCUCCGGGGCACCCUCCUCUGACAUGUGAAAACGCCGACCAGGUACGAGCCUUUCUGUAUCCUGGUGAGUUCUUCCACCUCUGAGAGAGACAGGGAACUUGACGAGGUACGUUUCUUGGAAGCCAAUUUGGAUAGAUGCUACUCUUUGAUUGCAGGCACUGCAAGAGACAAAACAUAAGAACAAGUGAAAAACAAAUAGAAUAAAGAGCGAAAGCUCGUCAUUUAUCUGGCUUUCUCUUCAGUCCCUUCUAUGGGCUUGAUUAAGUCACAGGAAGGUCCUGUUGCCUUCCUCGCUUUUAAUCGGGGUACAAAAGUUUAGGAGGAGCCAUCGAUAUAAAUUUUUUUUUUUAAUUUUUAGAAUCUAAACUAUAGGUGCUUUGUUAUGCUGGAGUUGGUGAUAAUAUUAUUGAUUAGACAACACCAGAAAUCCUACGGCCUCUCAGUUGGUUUUUCUCAUGCAACUCAAAUCAAAUUCCAUGGUGGUUUUGGUCGCAGGCCCCCAGAAUGGUUAUUUUUGGAGUGGUGUUUGUCAUCGACGAUGUUCUCCCUCGCAUGACUCCCAGAUUGUGGGAAGAGCCAAAGGGACGUACAUCAGCGACGAUUCCACCAACACCAACAUCACAACCGGUUUGUUCUUGACAUUCUUGGCUGUGUUCAAGGAUGGGACAAUGAGCAUACGAGUAUAUAUGCUCUCUAUGACAUGAUCCUAGGUGGCAGUAGUGCCACCUCACUGAUCCAGGUGCAGGCAUGUAUGACGAUAUAUUUUAGCUAUCCUUUGAGCCAUCCUUGUCUGUUGUAGCUUUCUCUUUCCUUGGGUGCAGUGUGCUGUCCCAGAUCUUGAAAACCGAGCUGUUGCAAGGCAACGCAUGAAUGUUGGAAGGCAAGAUUUCUGUGGAAUCCUGCUUUUGCAGAUUCGACAUGAGAACGUACAGCGCCGAGUCCCCUGGUUCCAUCUCCAAGAGUUUCUCUGCGGCACGAUGCAGCAUCGAUGUUCUUGCCGCUACCAUGAACUUUGUAAGCGCUAAAACCUAAAACCGCAUGCGAGGAAAUGCGGCUGGAAGGGCAUCACCAGCAGCAGACCUUCGGCCUCGGCAACCAGCCCGGCUCGUCCCAGCACAUCUGCCAUCACCUGGAAGUGAAUCACAUUUGGAGAAAUGCUGUACUUGUUGUGAUGUAAAAAGGGAUGGACAUAACACUCAUGAGCUCGUUCAUUGUGUUCCGACUCUUCUUACAUGACUCAAGGGACACGACUCAUGACCACGUGGACAUGCCACGUCACUGAUCGAGACUGACAUCUCGACAGUACUAGGCCACACGGCGAUGGAGGGCGAGGCGAGAAACAAGAUAAGUUUCCAGGCGAUUCUCCUGACUUGCAAUCACGGUGGGAAGCUCCAUGCUGCCACAAAACUCAGCGGAUUUUCGCUCAUGGCCAUUCUGUACGCAGCCAUGGAUCAUCGCGAUGCUCUGAUCAGGCAACGUGGAGAAGAUCUUCCCGGCCUGCAAGAGAUUCCCCCUUUGAGCGCUCACGGCAAUCCAGCUCGCUGUGUCUCUCAGCUCCUGCGCUUGGACGAGGGCAAUUGCUCUGGAUGUACGACGCUAUCGUGCUGUGGCAUUUGGUCGAACAAGACUCUGGCAUCGAUCAAGCUCCCGUGCAAAGCAAUUGCCGCCACCAUUGCCGUCUAAGCGACGAAAUCGCACUGUGGCAUCCGUGCAAACAUUUUCAUGGCUUCUUCAAGGUGGCCGUGGUUGGAGGAGGCCAAGAUCAUGUCAGGCCACACCACGUCGUCGUGAUAGGGAGGUCGAUCGAAGAGAAUGCGAGCUUCUUCGAGCUGGUUUCUCUCGGCCAGUGCUUUGCUCAUUGUCGACCACGAUGCAACGUUCUUCUGUGGCAUGGCAUCAAACAGCUUCUUGCAGGCUGGACGUUGCCGCUAGCAUUGCGUUCCACGAGAUUAAGUCGCGGUGUGGCAUUUACUGAAAAGCUCCUUGGCUUUUUCAUUAUGCUCAAGCUGGGCAUAUGCAGUGACAAGAACAGUUGGUUUCGGGGAUUCUCAUAAACAAAAUUAGCGCGUUGUUAACAAGACCUUUUUUUGCAUACCCAGUAACCAUAACAGCCCAAGAAACUCUGUUGUGUUCUAGCAUUCCAUCAAAGAUCUGGCUUGCUUGAUACAUAUGCCCGCCAGAAAACUACAUUCCAUUCUGGAACCUGAUUAAACAAUGCUCGGCAUUCCUCCAAGUUUCCACGGUUUGCACGAACCGUCAUAAAAAUCAUCCAAGCAACAAUAUCCCUCUGUGGCAUCUGAUCAAACAGCUCUUUUUCUUUCUCAAGAUACCCACUUUGGGCAUAAGCGCCAAGCAGCAAGUUCCAGGAGAAUCUGUUGGGCUCGUGGAUGCUGAUAAACACCUGCCAUGCUCGAUCCGCCCGCUCGCAACUUCCAUAGAGUUGGAUGAGAAGAUUUGCGAGGUACCUGUUGGAUUGGUGGUGGCUGCUCCCAAGGAUGAGCGCGUGGAGCCUGGCACCUUGACGCAAAUCGAUGCAAGCUGUGCACGUAGUCGUCCUUGAGCGACGAUGCGCGCUGCUCUAGAUCGUCCACGGCCUGUUCUAGAGGCUUGAAUCGGUACGUCUGCGUGGUAGUGAUUCCUAUCAUCUUACCGGCGUUUUCCUGGAGACUGACAAGAUAGAGCUUUGAUUUGUCAAUGCGUUUCCAUUAUGCAUGAGGUUCGACUAAACAUUUCACCGACUUUAUCCAUAAUCCGUUAACUUCAUAUCGAUCCUAUUUGCGCUUUCAAAGAACACGUUGUAACCAGCGCCGAGGGCAUCGGUGGCAACUAUCGGACUGGCAGCGUUGGGCAGCAGCCUUUGCGAUUCCUCUCACGUCCACUCCCAUGGCUAGCAUCAGCAACAUGGCGAGAACCGAAAACAACACCAGGCAAGCCUUGUUCUCCAUGAAACAAAGAGUUCAACGAACUCUAGUAUAUUCGAGAGAAGUGAUUUGAUCUGCGAGGCCGCUCGUAUUUAUAGCUCCUGACGUAAUCUAGGCAGCAUACAAUGCUAGAGUGGCGCCUCUUGGGACGGCAUCACUUUGUCCUUUGAAAGGUAGUCGAGGAAGUCGUUUCCUUUUCUUUUCUAUAAUGCUGGGACAGAGCGAAAUGAAGCUGUGAAUCCAGAUGAGUAAAGACAGCAUUUUAGUUUUUUCACAGUUUAUAUAAUAUAUGCACUCGUGCAUCACCAUGCGCCACUGCUAAAGAUUUCACUGCCACUGAAAAGAACAAAAUCCAAAUAAAUAGUUGGAUCUUGACGAUCUUUAGAAGAGAAGUGUGUGUUUAAUUUCAUUUUCAAUCAUGUUUUAUAUAUGUUAGACUUUGUCUUGGGAAAGAGAUCAGAUUCGUUGAAAAACUUGUCUCCACUACUGUGUCAUAUUUCCAUCUGGUUGCUUUUCCAAGUUCCAUGUCGAGACUAAGAUGGCAGAGUGUCCACAACUUUCAUUGACAAAAAUAUAUAUUGUAUUACUAGCAAUUGCCUAGCAAAUGCUGGGUGGUUGGCAAAUUUCAUGCUAUUUCAAGAGGUUUACUGAUCUUAAUUAUGUUUGCUACUUGAUCAACUCCACAAUUGAAAGGCAUUCUCUUGACCAAAAAUGUCUUAAUGAUAAAUUAAAGUGCUAGACAUUUCAGAAAAACUAAAUUGUGGUGGCUGUGGUUAUUGCUCAGCCCCUGCAUCAUGCCCCACAAGUUAGUUGUAAUCAUAAAAUAGUAAUGGACUUAGUGUACUUGAUUGUUGUCUAAACUUCUCAAAUCCAGAUUUCAUAAGCCAAAUCAGAUCAGUAUUGAGUUGCAUUCCUCAAUUCUGAACACAAAAAGGCAGAAGAAUGCUUCUAAGUCCAUCUUUGGCUUAGUUGUUGCCACUUGCUCCACAGCCCACCCACAGCUCAAGAGAAUCCUCCUGGGAUGAGCUGAAUGGAGUGAAAAAAAUUAUUUCUUUGUUUACAGGAUAUUCAGAUCGUCGAGGAUGAAGAAAAGAAGCAAUAUGACCUUGAUAGCACAUUACCAUAACUAAAAUGGCACACCACUUAAUGCACACCAGUCAAUGCUAACUUUCCUGUGCCAUGAAUUUGAAACUUGCAAUUGCAAGUCAAGGGUGGCUGAGUAGAUAGCUCUGUAGAAUUAUAAUUGGAUUUGGAAUUAUGCCAUGUAAUUAUAAGAAUCUCACCAUAAAUUGUAUUCAGAGUGUGAAAGUGUUGAUCAUGUGGUAUAAGAUUGCCUUAAAAGGGGCUUACGAGCACUUGAACACAAAGUUGUUCAUGUAAUCUACAUAUUGAGAGAGCAACAUAAAGUUGACUAUGUAUGAAAACAGAUUAAGGGAGAAAAAGGCCAACAUGGUCAAAAGUUUGGCCUUUGGCUUUAGAAAUAGUUGAGCAAUAACCUAGAUGAAUAUUGCUAAGAAAUGACAAUGAAGCAGACCUCUUUCUAGAAUUCAAUAACAUAAACAUAUGUAAUGCAUUUCCUAAAAAUUCAUUUGAUUCAUUUUAAGAAUUCUUUAAGUUUUAAGUUGAAAACUCUUGAAAUAAGAUUAGGUCAAUCCUUAGAUGAUUUAUUUGGCUAUAAAUUUUGCACAAUUUUAGGUCACUUUAAGUUAUAAAUGUAAUGAAUAAGUUCAAGAAUGUGUGACAAUAGCAAUAGCAUCUUGAUAAUAUUGUUGCAUUGCUCGUGGGAUAUCAAAAAAUGUAAAAAGAAAAAUUAUAAUUUUUCAAGAUUCAACAUUAUUAGUAGCAGCUCUAUUGCUAACAUAAUCCAUAAGUAAUCCACUUUUAAGUGUUUUUUAUGAGUGUGAAAGAAAUAAAGGUUGUUAGACUCAACCUUUAAAUUAUUGAAUGAACUUCCCAGUAUGUAGUAAAUGAUCAUAAAGGAAAAAAUUGUUAAUGUUAUCUCAUUGAGAUAAUUAAUAUAUGUAAUACUAAAGUAGUAUGUACAACUUAUUAUGGUAGAUUGUUUUAUGCCAACCUUUAUCACUAAAUAGUAAAAGUAAAGGAUAAACUAUACAUCACAAAUUUCAUUAAGAAUAGAAAUAUUUUUUUGCUAUGAGUUAUAUGGAUGUAUGCAUAUUUCUUUGUCAAGAUAUAGCUCAUUCUCAUCAAUAGCAAAAAAACAGCAACAACAUCAUUAGUCCAUGGCAAGUUAUAACAAUGUAGAUUAGUACUUUCACUUUAAACAACCAUGUAAACACCAUAUUUUAGAGUUCCAUUGCUAAUUGAAUGAUGUUGUUCUUGUGAUUCAAUAUCAUACAUCAUUUGAAAAGCUUGUGCAUAUGGGUUUAUUGUUAUUAGCAGGUGAUUUAAUUGUAAUAACAAAUUAGGAUCACAAUUUGUAUUGAAUGGGUUUUGCUUUUCAAUAUUUAUAGUCUUAGAUGCAUCAAACAUGUAAAGUUAUCUAUAUAAUGGGAGCAUUUUAGCAGUAGGAUAUGCUGAAGCAAUAUUGUAAUAAAUUUGACCAUGUAUUCUAAAGAAAUAUGGGCAUUUCCCACUUAAAUUAUCAACAUUAGUACCCCCUGAUACAAAAAUCAAAUCACUAUUGAAAUUUUUAUAUUAAUUUUGAAGUUGAAGUUUUUAUUUCAUUAAAAAUCAUAUGCAAUACAGUAGGUAAAGAUGAAAGUUGGGGAAGGGAAAUCUUUCCAUUUUGGCAACACAUUAAUCUUGACUUAUUUUCAAAAUAUAGUGCACUGUAAAAAACACAUAUGAAUGACAUAUUUCAAAUAUUAAACAUCAUUGUAACUUUUUUAAUGUGCUAAUUCAUAAAUGGUAUAAUUGUGAUGAUUACAUGCAUUGUUAUUAGUCUUAUUAGCAUUUUCAAAGUCUAUAUUUUUAUGAGCUUCAUCAGCAUGUGCUAUAUUUAUAUUAACAUCAUUAAGAUUUGAAGUAAUUUUUGCAUUAGUAUGUUCAAGGUCUAAAUUAGUUUAUUAAUUAUCAUAUUUAAGGUUGUUAUGAGUAUGAAUAUGUGUGCUAGUGUCAAUAGUUGGAGGCAACUAUUAACAUAUACCUCUUAAUACUUCACAAAGUCAAUGCAUACUUUGCUAAGGAGGAAGUUGGUGUUUGAUAAAUGAAACUAUCUAGUCAAAUUUAAAUUUAUUGAGGCAUGAAUUUAAAAGAAGAUCAAAGCAUUUAUCUCAAAUUUUUCAAAGAUUCUAAGUAAAAGCUAGAACUCACAUUCUCACACUGAAAAAAAUACAGAAAAAAGAAAUUGAAGACUAUUUUAGUAGCGUAGGAGCACAAUCUGUACGAGCUGUAAAAAAAAGGGAAGUUGCACCAAUGCUAAUUUAGCAACCAACAAACCUAGAUAGAGGAUUAGCACACCUUUUCCAAGCUGUGGUGAGCACUCAAAAAGCCUCCCAUGCUUUCCAUUAUGUCUUGACCACCACCACCACUGCUGAAGCGCAAAUAAGCCUGGUUUGCUGAUCAAUAACUUGAGACGAUCGCACUUGUCGGGCAGGAAGAUCUGGCUCUCGAGUUUUUGAACAUGACAGAGGAUGAAGGAGGUGGCUGUGUAGUAGACAAUGCAAGCUACACUGCUGCUUCAAGGCUUGCUCAGGCCUGGCAGCCUAAGACGAAGGCAAGGAGCUCGAUGGGAAGCUUGUUAAAGUUUUUGAGAAUACAAUGACGCUUGGGCUGUGAGAGGUGGAUGGGGUUUGCAAGCUAUGGUUUCAAAAACUCACCUUGAGCUUGUUCUCUUUCAUGGAAAAACAAGGACUUCAGCCGCGUUAAUGGCUUCCACAAACCCAAAUGAACAUGUCUCAAAUGUCCACAGCACAGGGCCAAAUCAACGGCUGUCGCCCAGACGCUAAACGGGCACAAUUGCUUUGGGGGCAAGACACACUGCUGACACGUGUCAAAUGCCUUUAUUGCCUAACUCAAGCCAAUGAGCACUGGUGAUCUCCAAGAAUAACAUCACGAAAAUUUUGCGUGUGACCAUGCAAACCGAGCCUACCUCGGCCUGGGAUCCAACGGCCAGCAAGCAUCCCCCUAUAUAUAUAUAUAUAUAGAUAUAAUAUAAUUUUCAGUCCAGAUAGAUUGGCUUUUUCUCUUUUUUAUUUGUCAUGUUCUAAAUUAUCCUGUCAUUCUGGUUCAAGACUGACUAUAUGAAGUCCCUAUAUAUUAAAAGUCCAUACAUUGCAAACGUUACACUGCAACAACAACUCCCCAGAAAGCGCACCAUAUUUAUCUCAGGCCCAGGGCAUCAAACACGUAAAGACUCCAAAACAUCUUCGUUCACUCUUAUUCUACAUAUAUCUCAUCCAGGCUGUCAACCCAACUUUUCAUGAUUCACGAUUCGCUUCCGCACCCUCGAUGGCAGCUGUUGUCAUACCCGUACCAAUUGCAUUGCACGCAGCGAAAUCCGUUCCAGUAGGUAAUCCUCCACGGCACCGCUGCGCCAUCGCCUUGGUGAUCCCCCCGACCUCCAUCCCCACCGCUAGGUGUGCCUGGGCCUGGUUUUGAUGCUCCAAUCGAGUCUUAUUGCUUGCCAAUCAUUGGAGCAAUCGAAUGGAAGUAGAGGGAUUUGGAGGAAGGAGAAAGGACAGAUUCAGACAUUUUAUAUCAAGGCUUGGACAAUUUAAAUUUUAUUGCUGGAACUCAAGCAAUACCAUGCAACAUCGCACGAUACAGAAAACAUGUUAUCAUUGUCUUUAUUCUUGUUUCCAGACCCUUGGCACUGCAGGAUGAUAAAAUCAAAGGCAAUUAUGAUGCUGAUUCUUAACUUGGGCUUACCCCGUGAAACGAGGGGAUUCAGUUGCGCGAGCAGCGAUUGUUGCGCCAGCUCCAACCCUUCUGGCAACGGUGGCAACUGUUGUCAUACCAAUACCACCCCGACUGGCAGCGCUGGGCAGCAGCCUUUGUGAGUCCUCCCACGUCCACGCCCAUGGCCAGCAUCAUCACAAAUAUUGCGAGCGCCAAAAACAACACGAAGAAAGCCUUGUUCUCCAUGAUUUGCUGCUAGAGAAGUAGGCUUGUUAUAUUAGAGAGAAGUGGUUUGAUUUGUGAGGUGGGAGGGGCUUGUAUUUAUAGCUCGAGCCAGCACACAAUGCUAGAGAGUUGUUGUGGGACGGCAUUGCUUAGUCGUUAUCUAUUUUGGUUUUGUGUUUGAAUUUUUUUUCUCUUUCUAUAAUACUCAUAAAUCUCUCCAACCCUUCAAAUGAGAAUCAUUCGUUGCUAAAACUUCACAAGUUCGUACUACAAACUUGCAGAUAGAGAAAGCCAUGGAGUUUAGCUCGAAAAGAUGAAAACAAUCCUAAGUAGUGUUUGAAAGCAACACAUGUUCUUGUAAGACACACCACUUUGCAUUAGCCGCGUGUGUGCAAUAUCAUCAGUUAAAUAUGGGACGGUUCAGAUCAUGUUAGAUCGACGGCUUUGAUUUAGUUAAUACGAGAUUUUACACCGUGGGCGGCUCAGAUUGUAUAUAAAUAAACGGUCCAGAAUGUUUUAAAUGCACGGUCUAGAUUGUACAUGAAUGACUGUCCAAUAGACGGCCCAGAUUUCAAGUUCUCAGAUCUUAUAGAUUUUAAGAAUAUACUAUUCUUCUAUUUGUAUGAAAAGGAUUUCGUUUACCGUACUUAGCUUUCAGACACUUUAAUGCCCUAAAAAAGGGGAAGUAAACAAGCAAACUUGAGCACGAUGGUAAGCAAGCAAGCUUGAGCUGAAAUACGGCGACUUUUUCGUAAGCUUGAUCUCUGACUAUGGCUUGCAAAAUCUCCACGCCCCCGCCCAUGCCACCUCACCGAAGCACACAAAAAGGACGCCGCCGCCCAAACCAUCACCCUGACAACUUCAUCUCCGCCACCAAAGAGGUAUCCACCGGCACCAGCCAAGAGGCACAGUCAUUCACCAGCAAAGCCCACAGAGGGACAUCACUCACCAGCAAAGCCACCACCGAGUUCUCCUGAGCAUCAUGGAGCUGGACAUCCACCACCGAGCUCUCCGCCCACCAAGGAACAUCCAGCAGCUGAGCCAAAGAGGCACCAUGGACAUCGACGAGCUGAUGAUGGAGCUGCUACAGGGCCGCCACCUUCUUCUUCGCCGCCCAACAAGGCCGACACUGUAACCUGGCGACCAAGGAGGGCCGGGCCGCCAUCGCCACCACCUUCGACCAUAACAAGGCCCCUUGGCUUGGGCACCUCUCCGCCUACUGCGCCAUCAGCACCAUCUUUGGCAGCAGCUGCAUUCGUGGCAUCACCUGGUGUGCUCGUGGCAGGCAUCGUUAUGCUCCUGCUCGCACUGGUAGCCAUCGUCAAUGGAGUCUGGAUACUCUUGAAGCGGAGAAGGAACAAGGUGCACGGCGACAUCAUCCUGGUGGAGUAUGGCCAUCAGCUAGGCGGUGGCAACAGCGGUAGCAGCAGCAGCCAGGAGCACCUCAUUACCAAAGUGGAGCCUCGACCAUCAUCGCAGUUGAAUGCCGGCAGGAAGAAGGCGGCUGCUGACCCCCGAAUUCGUGAGCUCCUGAGGCCACCAAGGCGACCUUCCCACUGGUGCUCGCCACAAGUCUUCAUCCGGAAACGAUCCACUCUUUCGUGCUGCUGAUCCAGUGCAUGGCCAGCAGGGAAGCCAGGGAAACGUCAUGAUGGAGGAUCCUCUUGUCGUCUUUCCUGCAAAUGAAGUUGACGAGCAGCCACGGCUGUUUUCAGCCAGUCGUCCUGAUCCGGAGGAUGAUCCACUCUUCUCGACUGGUGGCUACUCGCAUCAUCCAGCAGGCGAGAAAAUGGCUGCAAACGAGCUCCAGUGCGCCUAUCAUCUAGACACGACGGGGUUCCAGAGCAGUUUCAUGGACGGGAACAAGGACGAAAGGUGGCGGAUCGUUCUGGCACCGUGUUCGAUCCUGGAGAUGUCGUAGCACUGGCAAAGAAGCGGGCUGAGAUGGAGAAACAAAUGCAGAAGUUCAUCAUGAUGGACCCCUGCAUCCGGCCUUUUUCCCACAGGUUAGUAGUCUCUGCACUUGAGCCAGGAAGCGCGAUGUGGAGAACAGCCCCGAGAUCACGAGCGACGAGAACCUUCUCUGGAAGUUGACAGCCAAUGAUCCCAAGCGGGUCAAGAGUAAUUUGGAGGUGGAGCCAUCUGCUCCGGGGCACGCUUCUCUGACAGGUGAGUUCUUCCACCUUUGAGAGAGACAGGGAACCUGAUGAGGUACAUUUCUUCGAAGUCAAUUUGUAUAGAUGCUACUCCUUGAUUGCAGGCACUGCGAGAGACAAAACAUAAGAACAAGUGAAAAACAAAUAGAAUUGAGAGCGAAAUCUGGCUUUCUUAAGGUCCUCUUACCUUAAAUGCUUUUCAUAGGCGUACCAAAUCAUCGAUAUACAAUUAGCAAGGAUGAUCACAUAUUUAUUUUGUUAAUUUCUAUUCUUUUUUUAAGCUAUUUUAUGCUAUAUUAUUGCACUAAUAGAUAUUAGACAACACCAGAAAUCCUACUGCCUCUCACUUGGUUUUUCUCAUGCAACUCAAAUCAAAUUCCAAAGUGGUUUUGGUCACAGGCCCCAGAAUGGCAUUUUGGAGUGGUGUUUGUCAUCAAUGAUGUUCUCCCUUGCAAGUUCAUUUUCCCCAGAAUCCAUUUUGCCCAAGUUUUGAGAUUGCAUAUGAGUGUGAUGGUUAAGUUUUAUAAUUAAUUUUAAUCUACUAAAUUUUGCUCUCUUUGCUUCAACAUAAUAAAUUUUACUUAAUGUUUGCAAAAUUGUCUUUUAGUUGCCCAUAAACAAUUACACUAAGUUGAAAAAACUUAAUUACUGUGUCAUUCACCUUUGAUGAUGAGAUACCAUAUAGCUAGAUUUGAAAAUGAUUAUACAUAAGAUUUGUAAACAUUCUAUUUAUCAAAUUUUACUUGAGAGUUGUUAAUAUCACACCUUUGAUUAAUUUUCGGUAUUCAUAAUUUUAAAUAAAACUAUAAUUUUUGCAAUAAGUAGUAAAUCAAUACUUCAUAUGAACUUUAAUAGUAAAUUGAUGAAUUGCCUAAUUUAUCCUUUGAGUGUUUUGUUUUUCUGUACGAAUAUAAAUUUCAUAUUGGUGUGAAAUACCUUAAUUGAACCAUUUUUCUUUUUAUUAGCAUGAGGGAAAUUUUGAGUAGCAACAACCUACAUAUCUAUCAAAUACAAAAAAAUUAUAAAAGUCAAAAUAUUAAUUCACUUACCAACUUUAUCAUUCUACCCAUCUAAAUUCUUCUUCAUUUUGAAAAUUAAUUUUAAAAUAUUUGAUAAGUUGCUUAAUCUUAGCUUACUUAAUAGUAUCAUCAUAAAAAAACUGUGUGAAUUAAAUGGUACAUAAUAUCUUUAAAAUAUUUCUAUAUUUACAUCCUAAUAUCCCCUGAUUCCACCUUACAAAUAAUAUAUUUAAGUUAGUUCCUCCUUAUGUGGUAAAUGCACAAUAGAAUUUAACAAUCAAAUGUAACUCUAUAUAAAAAAUUAAAUAUAUUAUAUUAUAUUAAAUCAUCAAUCAUUAUUGCAUGUGAUUUUCAAUCUGACAUAUGGUCUAAAACUGAAUUCUUAAAAACUAUCAUCCAAUUCUUCAUAUGUUGCAUACAACUGAAAGACCAUUUUUAUGAUCAUUAAAAACAAAUGUGAUUUACAAUAAGAAUUAUAAACAUUUAAAGAUUUCACUUUAAAAUAAAUGAAAACUUUACCUUAUAGUGAUUAGUUCCAAAAGUUGCAUCAAGACAAAACAAAUUAUUAUUUGCAAAUUUUACCAUCUUUUGCAGUUGCCAAGUUAUUUGAAUCUCAAUAGUAAAACAAUAUUUAUCAUCUAAAUACUUUCUUAGGAUUUGUGUUCUUCUAAAUACGUACACUCUUCCAACUACAUACACUUUGUGUAUUAUUAUUGAAGAAAGUCAUUUAAGAUCUAUUAUGAGGUCUAAGAGUUCCAUGAAGAGGAUUUUUUUUGUGCAAAUGAUUUAGAUUCAGAUUUUUCUAAAUUAAAUGAAAUUAUAGCUCCUAUUAUGUAUAUAUUACACAAAGAUUUGAAUAAAUUUCUAGAUGGUGAGAGAAAGGGUGAUAAGGUGAAAUUUUAGCAGUUUUCCAACAAAAUUCAGGAUCAUAGAGAUUUAAAACCAGAAAAAAACACAAGUUUUUUAUCAUUAAUCAGAUAUUUUAUUUAAUAACAAAAUAUAAUUAGAAAUAUUUUGACACAAGUAUUGGUGUGAAUAUGGAAAAUAAAAUGCUCAUGAAACAUCUAUUACACUUAAGUAAACUGGAUCAAAGUUUUAACAAAUGGAGCUGCAAUGUUUUGGUCAAAAUGUUUUAUAAAUACUAAUUAUGAUCAUAGAGAACAUUAUGAUACAAAUGGGAUUUCUUGUCAUGGUCAACUUGAUCCAAUUGAAGAAAUUCAUAUGAUCUAGCAGGAUUUUACAUCAAAUUAAAUUUAUAAUGAGCAUAUGCAAAUUGUGGGAAAGGACAAAUCAACCAAUGAACCUUUUUGUUAGGAUAAUUUUCUAAUUAUGCAACAUAUUAACAAAUUGCAUAAAAAGUAUUUACUGUCAACUUAUCAACUACAUAAUCAAUAUCAAGAUAAGUUAUUUGUUUUCUUCUGGAAACUGAUAUGUUUCCACCAUGAUCGAUCAUGGAAAAACCAUAAAAAAAUUUAGGUCAAUUAAAUUUAAGUCUGCAGACAGGUAGGUGUUUUGAUGCCUUGAAUAAUCCCCAGAAAGUCACAAAUAAAUGCAAAGUCAUUACCAAAGUAAGUGGAGAGAGUGAUAUAAGAUGGUAUUUAAUAACAGGUAACAAUGAGCAUGUGUGGUAAGACAGCAUUUUUUUUGAGUAUAUAUGCUCUAUAUAUGACAUGAUCUUAGGUUGCAAUAGUGCCACCUCACUGAUCCAGGUGUGGCAUGUCUCUUGAUCAGUAUAUUUGGCUAUGAUAUUCUAGCUAUCCCUAAAUCAUCCUUUUCUGUUGUAUCUGCUGCAUAUCUCUUCAAUCUUUGGUGAAGAUUGCAGUAAUUGCAGGCACCUGAGUUUACAGAUUGCAUCGGGGUAUUCGACCUACACGCUCAUUCCACCAUUUUUGGCAAUCUUGCACUAUUGAGUGUCAAUUGAUCAUGUCAAAAUUGAAAGAGCCGAAAAUGUAUCUAUUUCCAAAGCUUUUACAAACUCAAAGUUCAAUAGAACCUAGUCUGUGGUCAAAAUGGAAGACAAAAACUCUGAAGCAUAUAUAGUAAGAUUAUAUAUACUACAAGAAAAGUGGUAAAUGCUACAUUGUCUCUUCUCACUGGUAGGCUCUUGACAUCUCUUGGGCAAUCCAGCACACCCGAUCGAUCACGCAGCAGUAGGGAUCAGCUCAGCCAUUGGGAGGUAUUAUCCAUUUAAAAUUAAUUGUUAUUAGAUCUGUGUGCUGCUCUAGAUUGUCCACAGCCUGUUCUAGAGGCUUGAAUCGGUAAGUAGUGAUUCCUGCCAUCUUACCGACGUUUUCCUGGAGACUGAAGAUAGAGCUUUGAUUUGUCGCAAGGAAGUGCGCACUGAACGGUGGUCAUUUCACCGACUUUAUUAACUGUUUCUUCAUAUCGCUCCUAUUUAAAGGCGCUUUCAAAGAACACGUUGUAGCCAAAAUUUGCAAAACAAUCCCCAAGAGGAAACUUAGAGGAGCUAGCUGCAGCGCUUUUGACGUCCACUCCCAUGGCCAGCACAGCAACAUGGCGAGAACCGAAAACAACACCAAGCAAGCCUAUGAUCAACGAACUCUAGUAUAUUCGAGAGAAGUGAUUUGAUCUGUGAGGCCGCUCGUAUUUAUAGCUCGAGGCAGUAUACAAUGCCAGAGUGGUGCCUCUUGGGAACUUUGUCCUUUGAAAGUUAUUCGAGGAAGUCGUUCCGUAUUUGUCAAUUCCUUUUCUUUUCUAUAAUGCUGGGACAUAGAACAACACACGAAAUGAAGCUGUGAAUCCAGAUGAGUAAAGACAUCAUUCUAGUCUUUUCACCAUUGCUAUAGAUUUCACUGCCACUGAAAAGAAUAAAAAUCCAAUAAAUAGUUGGAUCUUGACGAUCUCUGGAAGAGAAGUGUGUGUCAUUUCAUUUUCGAUUGUGUUUUAUAUACGUGGUUGGUGUAUGUAAUUGCUAGACUUUGUCUUGGGAAAGAGAUCAGAUUCGUUGAAAAACUUGUCUCCACUACUGCUUCAUAUUUCCAUCUGGUUGCUUUUCUAAGUUCCACGUCGAGACUAAGAUGGCAGACUGUCCACAACUUUCAUUGAUAAAAAUAUAUAUGACUUUAGUUAAUAUUAUAUAAUAUAAUUUUGAGCCCAGAUAGAUUGACUUGGCUUUCUUUCUAUUUUAUUUGUCAUGUUCUAAAUUAUCCUGUCAUUCUGGUUCAAGUUUUUUGACUGAGUAUAUCAUGUUUCUAUAUAUUAAAAGUCCAUACAUUGCGAACGUUACACUGCAACAACAACUCUCCAGAAAACGCACCAUAUUUAUCAUUGACAGUCCCAGACCCAGGGCAUCAAAGACGAAUAGACUCCAAAACAUCUUCGUUCACUCUUAUUCUACAUAUAUCUCAUCCAGGCUGUCAACCCAACUUUUCAUGAUUCGAGAUUCGCUCCCGUGGUUCUUUGAGGCCCGAGGCUCGCGAACUUUGGCAAUUCUUCAGCAGAUGCAGCGGCUGCCAUUCCAGCGCCACCCUCGAUGGCAGUUGUUGUCAUACCCGUACCAAUUGCAUUGCACGCAGCGAAAUCCAUUCCAGUACCAAGCGCUGCGCCAUCGCCUUGGUUGUGCCUGGGCCUGGAUUUGAUGCUCCAGUCGAGUCUUAUUGCUUGCCGAUCAUUGGAGCAAUCGAUUGGAAGUCGUGGGAUUUGGAGAAGAGAGAAGGACCAAGGACAGAUUCAGACAUUUUUUAUCAAGGCUUGGACAAUUUAUAUUUUAUUGCUGGAACUCAUGCAAUACUAUGCAACAUCGCACGAUACAGAAAACACGUUAUCAUUGUCUUUAUUCUUGUUUCCAGACCCUUGGCACUGCAGAACGAUAAAAUCAAAGGCAAUUACGAUGCUGAUUCUUAACUUGGGCUUACCCCGUGAAACGAGAGGUUUCAGUUGCGCGAGCAGCGAUUGUUGCGCCAGCUCCAACCCUUCUGGCAACGGUGGCAACUGUUGUCAUACCAAUACCACCCCGACUGGCAGCGCUGGGCAGCAGCCUUUGCGAGUCCUCCCACGUCCACGCCCAUGGCCAGCAUCAUCACAAAUAUGGCGAGCGCCAAAAACAACACGAAGAAAGCCUUGUUCUCCAUGAUUUGCUGCUAGAGAAGUAAGCUUGUUAUAUUAGAGAGAAGUGGUUUGAUUUGUGAGGUGGGAGGGGCUUGUAUUAAUAGCUCGAGCCAGCACACAAUGCUAGAGAGUUGUUGUGGGACGGCAUUGCUUAGUCGUUAUCUAUUUUGGUUCUGUGUUUGAAAAUUUCUUCUCUUUCUAUAAUACUCAUAAAUCUCUCCAACCCUUCAAAUGAGAAUCAUUCGUUGCUAAAACUUCACAAGUUCGUACUACAAACUUGCAGAUAGAGAAAGCCAUGGAGUUUAGCUCGAAAAGAUGAAAACAAUGAAAGCAACACAUGUUCUUGUAAGACACACCACUUUGCAUUAGCCGCGUGUGUGCAAUAUCAUCAGUUAAAUAUGGGACGGUUCAGAUCAUGUUAGAUCGACGGCUUUGAUUUAAUUAAUACGUACACCGUGGGCGGCUCAGAUUGUAUAUAAAUAAACGGUCCAGAAUGUUUUAAAUGCACGGUCUAGAUUGUACAUGUGACUGUCCAAUAGACGGCCCAGAUUUCAAGUUCUCAGAUCUUAUAGAUUUUAAGAAUAUACUAUUCUUCUAUUUGUACGAAAAGGAUUUCGUUCUUAGCUUUCAGAACUUUAAUGCCCUAAAAAAGGGGAAGUAAGCAAGCAAACUUGAGCACGAUGGUAAGCAAGCAAACUUGAGCUGAAAUACUGCGACUUUUUCGUAAGCUUGAUCUCUGACUAUGGCUCGCAAAAUCUCCACGCCCCCGCCCAUGCCACCUCACCGAAGCACACAAAGAGGAUGCCGCCGCCCAAACCAUCACCAAAGACGGCGCUGACAACUUCAUCUCUGCCACCAAAGAGGUAUCCACCGGCACCAGCCAAGAGGCACAGUCAGUCACCAGCAAAGCCCACAGAGGGACAUCACUCACCAGCAAAGCCACCACCGAGCUCUCCUGAGCAUCAUGGAGCUGGACAUCCACUACCGAGCUCUCCGCCCACCAAGGAACAUCCAGCAGCUGAGCCAAAUAGGCACCAUGGACAUCGACGAGCUGAUGAUGGAGCUGCUACAGGGCCGCCACCCUCUUCUUCGCCGCCCAACAAGGCCGACACUGUAACCUGGCGACCAAGGAGGGCCGGGCCGCCAUCGCCACCACCUUCGACCAUAACAAGGCCCCUUGGCUUGGGCACCUCUCCGCCUACUGCGCCGUCAGCACCAUCUUCAGCAGCAGCUGCAUUCGUGGCAUCACCUGGUGUGCUCGUGGCAGGCAUCGUUGUGCUCCUGCUCGCACUGGUAGCCAUCGUCACUGGAGUCUGGAUACUCUUGAAACGGAGAAGGAACAAGGUGCAUGGCGACAUUAUCCUGGUGGAGUAUGGCCAUCAGCCUGGCGGUGGCAACAGCGGCAGCAGCAGCAGCCAGGAGCACCUCAUUACCAAAGUGGAGCCUCGACCAUCAUCGCAGUUGAAUGCCGGCAGGAAGAUGGUGGAUGUACAGCUCCAUGGUGCUCUGGCUUUGUUGGUGAGUGAUGUCCCUCUGUGGGCUUUGGUGGUGAAUGACUGUGCCCCUUGGCUGGCGCCGGUGGAGACCUCUUUGGGGGAGAUGAAGUUGUCGGCGUCCUCUUUGACGAUGGUUUGGCCGGCAGCAUCCUCCUCGCGUGCUCCCGGUGAGGCGGAGGGGGCGGUGGCGUGCGAGCCAUAGUCAGAGAUGAAGCUUACCAGAGAAAGUCGCAGUAUUUCAGCCAAGCUCGCUGCUUACGAGAAAACUCGCGCUAAAGUUUGCUGCGCCUUUUUUAGGGCAUUAAACUGUCUACUGGGUAAACGAAUGGUAAAUAUAUCCUUUUCGUAUAAAUAGAAGAAUAGUAUAUUCUGGAAAGCUAGUCACAAUCUAGACCGUGCAUUUAAAACAUUCUGAACCGUUCCUUUACAUACAAUCUGAGCCGUCCACUGUAUACAAUCUGGGCUGUCGUAAUAUUUAAAUCAAAGCCGUCGAUCUAAAUUGAUCUGAACCGUCCCAUAUUUAAAUGAUGAUAUGGCACACACGUGGCAAAUGCAGGGAUUCUUCGGAACUUGGAAUGGCUAUUUUCUGGAACUUAAUGAUCCUCAUGUAGAGAUUUUAUGUGGAUCCCAGCAUUAUAGAAAAGAGAAGAAAUUCUCAAACACGGAAUCAAAAUAGAUAAGAACUCCGUCCCACGACAACUCUCUAGCAUUGUGUGCUGGCUCGAGCUAUAAAUACAAGCCCCUCCCACCUCACAAAUCAAACCACUUCUCUCUAAUAUAACAAGCUUACUUCUCUAGCAGCAAAUCAUGGAGAACAAGGCUUUCUUCGUGUUGUUUUUGGCGCUCGCCAUAUUUGUGAUGAUGCUGGCCAUGGGCGUGGACGUGGGAGGACUCGCAAAGGCUGCUGCCCAGCGCUGCCAGUCGGGGUGGUAUUGGUAUGACAACAGUUGCCACCGUUGCCAGAAGGGUUGGAGCUGGCGCAACAAUCGCUGCUCGCGCAACUGAAACCUCUCGUUUCACGGGGUAAGCCCAAGUUAAGAAUCAGCAUCGUAAUUGCCUUUGAUUUUAUCGUUCUGCAGUGCCAAGGGUCUGGAAACAAGAAUAAAGACACUGAUGACGUGUUUUCUGUAUCGUGCGAUGCUGCAUGGCAUUGCAUGAGUUCCAGCAAUAAAAUAUAAAUUGUCCAAGCCUUGAUAUAAAAUGUCUGAAUCUGUCCUUGGUCCUUCUCCUCUCUUCUCCAAAUCCCACGACUUCCAAUCGAUUGCUCCAAUGAUCGGCAAGCAAUAAGACUCGAUUGGAGCAUCAAAUCCAGGCCCAGGCACACCUAGCGGUAGGAGUGGAGGUCGGCGGCAUCACCAAGGCGAUGGCGCAGCGCUUGGUACUGGAAUGGAUUUCGCUGCGUGCAAUGCAAUUGGUACGGGUAUGACAACAACUGCCAUCGAGGGUGGCGCUGGAAUGGCAGCCGCUGCAUCUGCUGAAGAAUUGCCAAAGUUCGCGAGCCUCGGGCCUCAAAGAACCACGGGAGCGAAUCUCGAAUCAUGAAAAGUUGGGUUGACAGCCUGGAUGAGAUAUAUGUAGAAUAAGAGUGAACGAAGAUGUUUUGGAGUCUAUUCGUCUUUGAUGCCCUGGGUCUGGGACUGUCAAUGAUAAAUAUGGUGCGUUUUCUGGACAGUUGUUGUUGCAGUGUAACGUUCGCAAUGUAUGGACUUUUAAUAUAUAGAAACAUGAUAUACUCAGUCAAAAAACUUGAACCAGAAUGACAGGAUAAUUUAGAACAUGACAAAUAAAAUAGAAAGAAAGCCAAGUCAAUCUAUCUGGGCUCAAAAUUAUAUUAUAUAAUAUUAACUAAAGUCAUAUAUAUUUUUAUCAAUGAAAGUUGUGGACAGUCUGCCAUCUUAGUCUCGACGUGGAACUUGGAAAAGCAACCAGAUGGAAAUAUGAAGCAGUAGUGGAGACAAGUUUUUCAACGAAUCUGAUCUCUUUCCCAAGACAAAGUCUAGCAAUUACAUACACCAACCACGUAUAUAAAACACAAUCGAAAAUGAAAUGACACACACUUCUCUUCCAGAGAUCGUCAAGAUCCAACUAUUUAUUGGAUUUUUAUUCUUUUCAGUGGCAGUGAAAUCUAUAGCAAUGGUGAAAAGACUAGAAUGAUGUCUUUACUCAUCUGGAUUCACAGCUUCAUUUCGUGUGUUGUUCUAUGUCCCAGCAUUAUAGAAAAGAAAAGGAAUUGACAAAUACGGAACGACUUCCUCGAAUAACUUUCAAAGGACAAAGUUCCCAAGAGGCACCACUCUGGCAUUGUAUGCUGCCUCGAGCUAUAAAUACGAGUGGCCUCACAGAUCAAAUCACUUCUCUCGAAUAUACUAGAGUUCGUUGAUCAUAGGCUUGCUUGGUGUUGUUUUCGGUUCUCGCCAUGUUGCUGAUGCUGGCCAUGGGAGUGGACGUCAAAAGCGCUGCAGCUAGCUCCUCUAAGUUUCCUCUCGGGGAUUGUUUUGCAAAUUUUGGCUACAACGUGUUCUUUGAAAGCGCCAUAAGAAUGUUAGAACACCAUUCGAUUGAGGAGGAAGUAUCCAAUAGCAGUUGCCGAGGCGCUAGCAAGAGCACAAACUUCCACCCAACGAGUCAAGUAGUCAGAAGCAAUAAUAACAUACUCAUUGCCAGCAGUCGACCGUGGAAAAGGUCCCAUAAGAUCAAAUGCCACCAACUCAAACGGACGGGAGACUGCAAUUGACUCUAACCGUCCUUCCGCAGCACAAGGGGGAGUAUUACGAGCUUGGCACCAAACGCAGCUACACACAUAUCGGAUAAUAUCACGUUGCAUCUUCGGCCAAUAGAAAGACCUGUGCAGCUUCUCGGCCACACGACAAUAUCCCAUAUGCCCACUUAGAACAAAAGAAUCAUGGUAGGCAUGGAGAAAUCGCGGAAUAAAGAUAGAAGGCACCACCAGCCAUAAAUGAUUAUCAGAAUCCGUCCCCACAAAAUAAAGAAGGCCAUUUUCAAGAUGAUAUUGAGAAUGUAAAUGCCGAAAAGGCAAGUCAUCAACAAAUGAUGCAAGAUUCUCAAAUGCAUCUCGAAGCCUUCGAAUCCAUGGCUCAAUCUUUUGAGCCUCACGGACCUCAUCAAGAGAAGGUAGAUCUUGCUCUGCACCUUGUGGACACUAAACAUCAAGUAUAGCAAUCGCCAAUGGCAUAGAAUCCUGGUCUAAAAAAUCCACAGAUGCUGGAAUAAUAGGCUCAUCAGAAACAUGAUAAAAGAGUGGAGAAGGAAAAGGAGCUCGAGAAAGGGCAUCAGCAUUAGCCAUAAAACUCCCUGGGCGAUGAAUAACAUCAAAAUUAUAUAUUUAAAACUUUAAAGCCCACUGAGUAGUACGAUUAACCAGGUUCUUCUGCUUCAAUAAUGAAGUAACGGCAGCAUGGUCACCUUCAAAUAACAUCCGAAAACCAUGUAAAUAGGCAUGAAGUUUCUUGAAACCCCAAACUGUCGCUAAACACUCCUUCUCUAUCGUGGAGUAGUUUACCUUUGUUGAUUGUAACAUAUGGCUUAUAUAUGCAUUGGGAUGACGCUAACCAAACACACUCGGGCUUUUUUGUAUUAACACACUUCCAAGACUAAUAUCAAAAACAUAUUCUUAGCUUGAGCAUAAUAAAAAAGCCAAGGAGCUUUUCAGUAAAAUGCCACACCACAACUUAAAUCUUGUGGAACUCAACGCUAGCAGUAAUGUCCAGCCUAAGAAGCAAGGUCUCUAUUUGAUGCCAUGCCACAUAAGAACGUUUCAUCGCGGUUGACAAUAUCACAGCACUGGCCGAGAGAAACCAGCUCGAAGAAGCUCGCAUUCACCUCCCCGACGACGUGGUGUGGACUGACAUGAUCUUGGCCUACUCCAACCAUGGCCACCUCGAAGAAGCCAUGAAGAUGUUUGCACGGAUGCCACAGCGCGAUCUCAUUGCUUAGACGGCAAUGGUGGCGGCAAUUGCUUUGCACGGGAGGUUGAUGGAUGGCAUCUUGUUCGACCAAAUGUCCCAGCAUGAUAUCGUCGCGUGAAACACGAUGCUGGGAGCUUACAUCCAGAGCAAUUGCCCUCGUCCAGCGCGGGAGCUCUUUGCGACCACGAUGGUGAGAGACACAGCGAGCUGGAUUGCCGCGAGCACUCAAAGGGGGAAUCUCUUGCAGGCCGGGAAGAUCUUCUCCACGUUGCCUGAUCGGAGCAUUGUGCCGUGGAACGCGAUGAUCCAUGGCUGCGCACAGAAUGGCCACGCUGAGUUUUUGACAGCAUGGCGAUGGAGGGCGAGGCGAGAAACGAGAUAAGUUUCCAGGCGAUUCUCCUGACUUGCGGAAGCUCCGAGUGGCACUCAACUACUUUCGAUCUAUGGUGGCCGAGUACAGCAUUUCUCCAUGUGAUUCACUUCCAGGCGAUGGCAGAUGUGCUGGGACGAACCGGGCUGGUUGCCGAGGCCGAAGUGUUGGAGCAGGAAUCAAGGCGUCAAGGACACAGGAAUCUGCAGCAGGAAUCUAGGAAAGAUUAAAGAAGAUGAACGAGCAUAUAAGACUGUAUACAACAAGCAUUCAACAGUAGCUUUUCCCGUUCCAUCAUGGUAUCAGAGAAUUUUCUGUUCAGCAGGGCAGUGGGCUUGAUGCAACGUAAUGCAGAUCAUGAGAGCCAUCACAGGCAAAGCUCUGGCGGCAGCAAGCUGCAUGGAACAGUGAUAGGAUCAGGCAAGCAGUGUUCCAGUCUUGUGUGGAUUUGCAUGCAAGUCGUGCACAGCAGUCAAGAUCUUGAGCAAUGUUCAGGAUAAGGCUGAACAGAAUUUGGUGGAGCAAGAGCUGGAGGCACUGUCAAGAUUGACACCUGUCGAUUGAGAUGUCGACAGGUGUGGGCGAGGCAGCGAUGUGAUGGGCGCAUCCUGGAGCAAAAGCGGACAUACCCCGAGUCCAGGUGAUGGUGUCCCUCGUGAAGGAGUCCACUUAGCAACCAGCAGGGAUUUGGAAGGAUUUCCCGUGGAAAUUAGUGCUGCUCUGUGCGAGGCCUACCGUCGCUGGCAGGGAAAUUGCGGAGACUUUCUUUGCGAGCUGUCAUCUGGCGGUGUUCUUCGCGCAUAUGAUCCAGCUAAACACCGGGACUGGAUACAGGAACUCGAUUGGUUGGUUUGACAGCGCUGGUUUUUUCAGCCCGAUCCAGCCAUUCGAGGGCCCUGGAUCGCUCGACGAUGUGGAGACGCUCCUUGGCAGUGGAAAAAGGAAGCUCGAGCUCUACCACCGACACGGCCGGGGCUUGUUCCACCGUGGAAGACGAGGGUGGCGAAGUGGAAGACGUGACUUCUAGCCGCAACAAGCUCUCCAAUCUUGUCGUUUCCAGCGGCGGCAGGCUCGCGAAGCUCGAGGUUGGCGAUCCAAAACUUGUCGACGUCAAAGCAGCGUUUCUAGCGGGGCUCGGGCGACUCUCGGCAGUGGCCGAUGUUACUUCGGUGUACAAAGUUCUUUACGACUGUCCUGGCUCGCCGAGAAGCGUUUGAGACGCUCAGCGCGAGGUGGGGAUGUGAAUUUGCAGCAGGAGGGGUGUUCUCCAAACGAGCUUCUCAGUGUCAUAUGGUUUUGGACUCCACCUAGGGUGUGGGGAUAUAUCUUAGUCCGGAGAGUCUGUCUCGUCUGAGUUGCAGAGGCACGGAUAUUGACGUCUUGCUGUGCCGUGCGAUUCUUGGCAAAGCUGAGCUUGUGCGAGAUACACCACCAGUGGAUGCUACUGAGGUCUUGCUGCAGCACAACAAACCGGAGACCUUCACCACAGAUUGUCACAGAGAUUGUCUUGAUGAUGGCUGGUCACACCCAAGCAGGGCUUUUCCUAUCUUUUUAUUCUCAUAGUUUGACCUUACAGCUUGGCAUCGUCAACUACUUGUGGAAGGCCAAAGGAUCUGAUACACAUGCAAGGACUGUUGAACGAAGCUACAAUGAAGGCUCUUUGGAAAACUAAGGUACCUCAAUAUUAUUCAAGUUUAGUUUCAAUGUUUGGAGAUGAUUUGUGGUGCAAUAGUAGACGACUUCAACCGUCACUCCAUUGUUUGUUUUCUUAAACAGAGCGAACUGUGACUCGAUCCAUUGUGAUCAGAUCCACUCUUUCAUUUCUUUCUCGAAGAAUUUCGAAGAGCUCUAGUCUCAUCUCCAUGUGAGCAUAAGUCUUGGAGAUGAAGAUGCUGUCUCGGCAGAAUUUCAUACAAUUCUGGCCACACAUUGGAUCUCCCUCCAUGGUCAAGACGAAAUUGGGGAGAGCAAAGAUGGCAGCACUUCAUACAAUUCUGGCCCCACAUUGGAAUCUCCUUCCAGAUUUCUGCACCAUACAAGCAUGGUGGGAAGGAGAAGAAGAUGAUGAGAUGCAUCUUAUGCAACGCUGAAGUCUAUGAUGUACCAGUCUUCAGACAGGUACAACACUUACUCUUUUGUAUUUACAUGUGUUUUGAAUGUAUAGGAUAUCUGUAAGAUGGAUUGCUAUGGAGGGACAAUGUUCUCUUACUCAACCAAGACCAAGGUAUUUCUUAUUUCUGGCAUUAAACCAAAGGUGGCAGGUUACAGUGCUAUCCGGAUACUGCUGUAUUAGUACUAAGCAGAUUUGCCACUCUUGGAGGAAAAUACAAUGCCAUAGUGCUCCUAGAGCCUCCAACUCAGAGAAAGGUACAAUUCUACAUGGCACUGACCCUAGAAAGUGUAGGUCCAGAUACUUUACAGGUCUAGCCAGAAAAUGAUAGGUCUUGGUCAGUAAUUUUGAAGUUUGUAGUAUCUUCUAAUACAUGGGUUCUACGUGUUCACAACAUAAGUAUAUUGCAAACUUCUUAAGGUGUUUCUAAACCACGUUCUGAGGGGGAGAAAAAGGAGAUGCUUUACCAGAACGUGUUUCUCAAGUCAUAUAUUUUGAUGAGUGCUCCUUCUGGCUGUCGUACAUGGACACUGCUAGGUUCUUCUUGGAGAGCAACUCAAUCCAGGACAGCAGCGGCAAGCUGAUGCAAGAGCUGUGUGCUGAGGAUUGUGGAGCUUGUUACCCAGAUGGAAUGCCAGGGAUCAGCAUGUUCGUCGACACUUUCAUGGAGGACAUGGAGAUGAGGGAGACGAUCCGGGCCGACAUAGCUGCCAUCCCCGAGCGGCGAUUUUGAACGUUGACAAUAAACGAUACAACCAGGUACAUUAUUUUAAUUUACUAAUGCAGUGAGUUUUUGGUGUAGCAUGCAAUGUUGCUAUGGAAGGCAGCUAAAGAAACACUCUACGUUUUGAAUUGCAAACAACCCUGAAUGACAACACAGGUGAUUGCCUGGAAAGAAUGAAUACUUUCUCAUGAAGAUCUCAACACUUGCUACUGAUAGGCAUUGUGAUCAUGGGGGCGAACUUGGCAGAGCUGAGGAGUCCACUGACAACAUGAUCACAUACUAGUACGUGCUGUGCAAUCAUGAGCGUGAAUGUGGAGCUCAGAAUCGAUGAAAAGGAGCAGCUGGAACUCCAAGACGAGCCAAUACUGGUUCCAAUGCUCCAUGCUUACGAGUGCAAGCUGUUUGCGAAGGCAACUCUGGACACAACAGUUCACCACAAGCUAGGACCGUACCAACCCAGGGGGAGUAGGCGAUACGGUCUGAUCUCUAGGAUGGAUCAGAUCAAGGGGGAGUGUUGGAGCAGGAAUCAAGGCAUCAAGGACACAGGAAUCUGCGGCAGGAAUCUAGGAAAGAUUAAAGGAGAUGAACAAGUAUAUAAGAUUGUAUACAACAAGCAUUCAAUAGUAGCUUUUCCCAUUCCAUCACGAAGGUCUGCUGCUAGUGAUGCCCUUUCCUCACGUGCUUGAUCAGCAGUUGCAAAGUUCAUGGCAGCGGCAAGAACAUCGAUGCUGCAGCUCGAGCCACAGAGAAUAUCUUCAUGAUGGAACCAGGGGACUCGGCGCUCUACGUGCUCAUGUCGAAUCUGCAAAGGCAGGAUUCCAGAGAAAGCUUGCCUUCCAUGCGUGACCUUCGAACAGCUCGAACUGGGACAGCAGGAAGAAGAGAGAAAAGUAAGAAACAUAAACACAAAUUUUGACCAACCUGAUGUGAUCUAACCAAAUUCAUUCAAAUGAAUUUGCUUGUGACCAGCAAAGAGGUUUGGGAAGAAUUGUGAGCAAUUUUCGGUUGCAUCUACAUAGUCUGCAAAUAUUUAUAACUUUAACAAGACUUAAUAUCAGAAAAUAAUUAUUAAUUGAUUAAUUUUAAACGCAUAAUACCUCCCAUGCUGGAUGGCUGAAGCAUAGACCACUUUCUGGUCCCGUCACUGAUCACUCUGCGUGAUCAAUCUGUUUGGGUGCUGGAUUGCCCAAGAGAUUGUCAACAGCCUCCCAGUGAGAAGAGAUGAUGUAGCAUUUACCACUUUUCUUGCAGCGUAUACACUCCUAAUAUAUACGCUCCAGAGUUCUUGUCUUCUAUUUCAACCACUGACUUGGUUCUAUCGAGCUUUGAGUUUGAGCUAGAAGAGGGACUUCAGAGAUAUAGAUACAUUUUCGGCUUGUUCAAUUUUGACAUGAUCGUUAACACUAAAUAGUGCAGCAUCGAUAGUUUAGAUUUCAUAAAAACAGAAUAAAAAUUAACAAAAUAAAUUUGUGAUCAUCCUGGCCAUUGAUUGAUGGUUCCUCCUAAACUUUUGUACCCCGAUGAAAAGCGAGGAAGGCAACAGGACCUUCCUGUGACUUACUCAAGCCCAUAGAAGGGACUGACAGAUAAAUGACGAGCUUUCGCUCUUCAUGCUACUUGUUUUUCUCUUGCAGCGCCUGCAAUCAAAGAGUAGCAUCUAUACAAAUUGACUUCGAAGAAACGUACCUCGUCAAGUUCCCUGUCUCUCUCAGAGGUGGAAGAAUUCACCAGGAUACAGAAAGGCUCGUACCUGGUCGGCGUUUUCACCUGUCAGAGAAGUGUGCCCCGGAGCAGAUGGCUCCACCUCCAAAUCACUCUUGACCCGGUCGGGAUCAUUGGCUGUCAACUUCCGGACGAGGUUCUCGUCGCUAGUGAUCUCGGGGCUGUUCUCCACAUCGCGCUUCCUGAUCGAUUCAGCUUCAUCAGUCCAUAUUGUCAGCUCAAGUGCAGAGACUACUAACCCGUGGGAAAAAGGCCGGAUGCGGGGGUCCAUCAUGAUGAACUUCUGCAUUUGUUUCUCCAUCUCAGCCCGCUUCUUUGCCAGUGCUGCGACAUCUCCAGGAUCGAACACGGUGCCAGAACGAUCCGCCACCUUUCGUCCUUGUUCCCGUCCAUGAAACUGCUCUGGAACCCCGUCGCGUCGAGAUGAUAGGCGCACUGGGAGCUCGUUUGCAGCCAUUUUCUCGCCUGCUGGAUGAUGAGAGUAGCCACCAGUCGAGAAGAGUGGAUCAUCCUCCGGAGUGGCUGAGAACAGCCUUGGCUUGUCGCCAACUUCAUGCGCAGGAAAGACGACGAGAGGAUCCUCCAUCGUGACGUUUUCCCGGCUUCCCUGCUGGCCAUGCACUGGAUCAGCAGCACGAAAGAGUGGAUCGUUCCCGGAUGCAGACUUGUGGCGAGCACCAGCGGGAAGAGCAGACGGUGGCAGGCGCCUUGGUGGCCUCAGGAGCUCGCGAAUUCGGUGGUCAGCAGCCGGCUUCUUCCUGCCAGCAUUCAACUGCGAUGAUGGUCGAGGCUCCACUUUGGUAAUGAGGUGCUCCCGCUGGUUGCUGCUGCUGCCGCUGUUGCCACCGCUAGGUUGAUGGCCAUACUCCACCAGGAUGUCGCGUGGUGGAUGUCACCGUGCACCUUGUUCCUUCUCCUCUUCAAGAGUAUCCAGACUCCAGUGCCGAUGGCUACCAGUGCGAGCAGGAGCAGAACGAUGCCUGCCGCGAGGACACCAGGUGAUGCCACGAAUGCUGCUGCUGCUGCUGCUGAAGAUGGUGCUGACGACGCCGUAGGCGGAGAGGUGCCCAAGCCAAGGGGCCUUGGUUGCCACGUUAUGGUCGAAGGUGGUGGCGAUGGCGGCCUUGGGUUCCACGCUAUGGUCGAAGGUGGUGGCGAUGGCCCUGGGUUCCACGUUAUGCUCGAAGGUGGUGGCGAUGACGGCCCGGCCCUCCUUGGUCGCCAGGUUACAGUGUCGGCCUUGUUGGGCGGCGAAGAAGAAGGUGGCGGCCCUGUAGCAGCUCCAUCACCAGCUCGUCGAUGUCCAGGAUGCCUCUUUGGCUCUGCUGCUGGAUGUUCCUUUGUGGGCGGAGAGCUCGGUGGUGGAGGUCCAGCUCCAUGAUGCUCGGGAAACCUCGGUGGUGCUCCAUGAUGCUCGGAAGAGCUCGGUGGUGGAUGUACAGCUCCAUGAUGCUCAGGAGGUAGCUUUGUUGGUGAGUGAUGUCCCUCUGUGGGCUUUGGUGGUGAAUGACUGUGCCUCUUGGCUGGCGCCGGUGGAGACCUCUUUGGGGGCGGAGAUGAAGUUGUCGGCGCCCUCUUUGGCGAUGGUUUGGGCGGCGGCAUCCUCCUCGCGUGCUCCCGGUGAGGAGGCGGGGGCGGUGGCGUGCGAGCCAUAGUCAGAGAUGAAGCUUACCAGAGAAAGUCGCAGUAUUUCAGCCAAGCUCGCUGCUUACGAGAAAACUCGCGCUAAAGUUUGCUGCGCCUUUUUUAGGGCAUUAAACUGUCUGCUGGGUAAACGAAUGGUAAAUAUAUCCUUUUCGUAUAAAUAGAAGAAUAGUAUAUUCUGGAAAGCUAGUCACAAUCUAGACCGUGCAUUUAAAACAUUCUGAACCGUUCCUUUACAUACAAUCUGAGCCGUCCACUGUAUACAAUCUGGGCUGUCGUAAUAUUUAAAUCAAAGCCGUCGAUCUAAAUUGAUCUGAACCGUCCCAUAUUUAAAUGAUGAUAUGGCACACACGUGGCAAAUGCAGGGAUUCUUCGGAACUUGCGAUUUUGUGGAACUUAAUGAUCCUCAUGGAGAGAUUGUAUGUGGAUCCCAGCAUUAUAAAAAAGAGAAGAAACUCUCAAACACGGAACCAAAGUAGAUAAGGACUCCGUCCCAUCUAGCAUGCUCGAGCUAUAAAUAUGAGCCCAAAUCAAACCACUUCUCUCUAAUAUAACAAGCUUACUUCUCUAGCAGCAAAUCAUGGAGAACAAGGCUUUCUUCGUGUUGUUUUUGGCGCUCGCCAUAUUUGUGAUGAUGCUGGCCAUGGGCGUGGACGUGGGAGGAAUCGCAAAGGCUGCUGCCCAGCGCUGCCAGUCGGGGUGGUAUUGGUAUGACAACGGUUGCCACCGUUGCCAGAAGGGUUGGAGCUGGCGCAACAAUCGCUGCUCGCGCAACUGAAACCUCUCGUUUCACGGGGUAAGCCCAAGUUAAGAAUCAGCAUCGUAAUUGCCUUUGAUUUUAUCGUUCUGCAGUGCCAAAGGUCUGGAAACAAGAAUAAAGACAAUGAUAACGUGUUUUCUGUAUCGUGCCAUGUUGCAUAGUAUUGCAUGAGUUCCAGGAAUAAAAUAUAAAUUGUCCAAGC
RNAcentral lists this long non-coding RNA (90423 nucleotides) under Selaginella moellendorffii. RNAcentral's name for it is "long non-coding RNA (SMOE_LNC000421)". The record is from RNAcentral. Lineage: Eukaryota; Viridiplantae; Streptophyta; Lycopodiopsida; Selaginellales; Selaginellaceae.